CCAAAAAUGCUUAAACCUGCCUUCCUUAAUAAUUACGUACAACUUGUAAUCGCCCAAUGUAACAAUUGCAAUUGAUGGAUGCAAUUUGGAAAAGAAACUGACACUUGAAGCCGAUUCAUUUCAUACAAAAAUUGAAGGAAAAAAAGCCAACCAGCAUAUUCUCCAAAUUAAAACACUACCGAAGUAAUAAACAAAGAUGUAGAAAUUUAUUAUAUAGUUUCACUUUCACACAACAAAAAUGUGCUUAGACGACCAAGAGUUGGAGAGAUAUUACCAUCAAUGCCGUUAGAAGACUAUAGUUUCACUUUCACACAACAAAAAUGUGCUUAGACGACCAAGAGUUGGAGGGAUAUAUCCCCAGAUGUAAUUAUUAGAUAGAUCCAGGUGGACAAGAUUCCUCAAUCUCCCCAUCUCUGAAGGAAUAAUUCCUGUUGCGCAUGUGAUUUAUGAAAAACGAGAUCAGUAUUCACUAUCCUCAUAGCAAAUAAAAUUUAUAAAGCAAUCCUCGUAAAAAAAAACUUCUUCAGUGUUGUAAAAACAGACGCCUGCUUCAAGCAUGAGCACGACUUCAUACAUACAUACAUACAUACAUAUAUAUAGUGAAGUUUCGUAGCAUACCGGUAAGAUAGUUGGAGGACAGUUCAAGAGUUUGGAGCAUUGAAAGGGCAGUAAUUUCAGAUGGAAUGCUCCCAGAGAGAAGAUAAUUUGAAUGAAUUUUGAAACUUCUGAGGUUCGGAAAGCAAGAGAAUUUGAAACGACCAAGCUCUCCUUCGAUGUUAUCAUUUUCAUACCAGAGUAAGCUGACCCCGAGUACGCUUCCCGCUGAAUUGCAACUGAUGCCAGUCCACUUAUAAUGAUCGGACGUGGAGUUGCCCGUCGCCCAAUUGUUGAUCCACCAGCCUGUACCAAGUAUAGCUUCCCUUUCUAACUGUAUGGGUGACGACAACAAUCCUGCAGCUGAUGCUAUUACAAAUACUGUCGUAUCACUUAUAGCACCAACAUUUAUUAAAAUUAUAAUGACCACCAGUCUCGAAACAGAGGACGCUGAUGCCAUGUUUAUGGUGGUUUUCGGUUGAUUGAGCAUUUGAUUCUCAGCAAAGCGUUUAUAUAAGAAUUAAUUGUUUUGCAACUUCCCGGUGUUAAUUUCCAACACGCGUUUUCAAAUAGUGUGAGUCAAGGUCUUCUCUAGAUGGAUUUAAUCAUGGAGAUAUAACCUUAUCGGCUUGUAUUUGUGAGGUGUAGAUCUAUUUGAACAACAUUGCAGAAACAUGAGAUAAUACGGACAAUAUUAGAAAUAAUUAAUAGCAUUAUUAGUAGUAUAAGAUAUUAAGUAUUACCCAAAAUAAGAAAAGGAAAACCGUUCAAAGAAAAUAAUUGUUAUAAAUAAUGGCUCAAAUAGGAAAAUAAACAAGACUAAUCAUAUCUUUUGUAACAUACAUACCAUAGCUCAUGGGCUAACUAACAUUUUUUUUUUUAACCCUAAACAUCAUAAAUGAAAGAAGAUGAAAUUUUCAUUACCGCUCAAUUUUUCUGCACGCAACCAAAUUUUUUUUAAAAAAAAACAAAAAGAAAGUGUUAGAAAAAUAAUGCGCAAGUAGCUACUUGAGGCAUGAUUUUGAAUGAGACCUUUUUGGUAUAAGUGAAAAUUCAGAAAUUGUUUCGCAUAUUCCUCUAUGAGUACUUCGGAAUGUUAUCUAUACGAUCAAAAUGAUCCUCAAGUGAAUGAGAAAUUAUUACUCAAAGUGCACUCAUGAAUUUGAAAAAUUAAAGGAAAAUACAUUUGUCCCACAUUGGAAAGAUUUAUACAUAAUUACUAGAUGAACGGUAAGCUAUUAUAAGCAAAGGGGCGUUCCUUGUGCACGGUCACGGGAGUGCAAAUUUUAACCACCCCAAUUAGCUUAACCAGUGUUCAUAUUGGGGGUGUUUACCCGACCCUUAGUUGGGGUUAGCUAAUGUGGCAACUUAGUUUGCCUUUUUUUUUUUUUCUCUUUGUAAUAAUAAUAAUAACAAAUUAAUAUAAUUUUUUAAUUUAAUAUUAUAUUACAUAAUAUUAAAUUAUGUUUUAAUUUUUAUUAUUUUAAAUAUAUAACUAAACAUUGUAUUAUUUAAUUGUAUUAUUUUAAUUAAUAUAUAAAAUUAUAUUAAUUAAUCUUUAAUAAGUUAAUAUAAUUAGUAAUAAAUACUUAAAUAAUAUAAUAUUACAUUAUUAAUUAUAGUACAAUAAUUAAUUUAGCUAUUUUUAAAUAAUUUAAUAUAACUAACAAUAAAUAUUUAAAUUUGAAUAAUAUUAAUUGAAAAUUAAUAAUAUAAAUAAUUACUGGAUUAUUUAGCUCAAUUAUAUCACUUUAUUAUUCUAUAAUUAUCUUGUAAUAUGUAUAAACUUUUAUUCUAUCAUCCUCAAAUGAUUUUUGAAUUAAUCUUGAAGAUUUCAACUAUUUAUUUAUGUUGUUAAAUUAUUUAGUGAUUAUUUGAUUAAAUUAUUUACUUUGAUCUUUAUUUCAUAAGUUAUAUAUUUAGAAAAUACUAAAAAAUACACUUCCAAAAAUUUAAGACUAUAAGCUUCGGAAGAAUUAUGACAUUUCAAUAUAUAUUUUUAAUAAAAAUGUUAAAUUUCCAAAAUUUAAGAAUUUUAUAUUUAUUAUUUUUAAGUACUAAUAAAUAUUAUUUUCUAAAUAUAUAAUUUAAAUUAAUCACAAAAAAAUUAAUACAGUACAAUGUAACGCCAAACAUUGUACAACAUUAUUAUAAUACAGUGUUAAUGCAAUACAACAUAAUACAAUACACCUGCAAUAAAAUAAUGCAAUACAACAUAAUACAAUACAGUUUGUCAAACACACCAUUGUAUUAUUGUUUCGUUCUCAUUGUAUAAUUGCCGUCCAUACCUGUGCAAAACAUUAAGAGUUAAAAAAAUAUAUUUUUAUGAUUAAUUUUAGAUAUUUUUUAAACUUUAAUAAUGCCAUAUUAUUUAAUAUUACAAUUGCCGUUCGAACAUGUGCAAAACAUGAAGACUAAUAUAUAUAUAUAUACACCAUAUUAUUUAAUAUUUAAUUUUUAAGGCAACUUUUACUUAAAAAAAAAAAAAUUUAAGGCAACUUUUUUAGUUGAGGGCAGGGAACCCCUACGAUACCUAAUUCCAUAACACGCUCAUCUAAUCACCUUGACUAUAAGACUUCUCCUAGUCAGCAAUUAUUUGGAAAAAAACGUCUUGACAUGUGCUGUGGAAAUUAAAGAAUGAGGUGGACUUACGAAGUCAAGGGGUUUUUCUAGUCUACAUAUUUUAAUUUAUAUGUGUAGAAAAUUAGAAAUAUUCAAUGUCUAAUCUGAUUCUACAUAAACACUAAUGCCCCAAGAUUGUGAUUGAAAUGCUAUAAGCAGUUUAUUUUAUAAGUUUAGAUAAAAAUGAGGUUUGAUGGCUUUGUUAAAAGUUGCUUCUUUCACAAUUUUCUCAAUUUUGACUAAAACUUCUAAAAACAGGCAGGAGAUUAUUUUGAUAAGCAACUUAUUAAAUAAGUUGCUAGAUCUUUUUAAAUGUUCCUAUAAUAAUCUUAAUAUUUUAAGAAAAGAAUAAUUAUAUCUUUCUUUUCUAUAAGCUCUAAUAUAUAAAUAAAACACAGUUUAAACUUAUGUCUAUUUUAGUGAUUAAAUAAUACAACACAUUCAUAAUCAAAUUUACCAAACACGAGCAAGACACUUUUUUAACCAUCAACUUAUUUCAUCCUCACAACAAAAAUAACUUAUUUUAUCAGCCACCGCCAUCCUAAACUUGAUGCUAAGUCACGUUUGGGAUUGCAUUAGAUUGUCAAAUAAUUAAGAGAAAUAGCCAUUAUGGAGAAGAAUAGGGAGAGGUUCGCCUAAAGCAAUAUACUCGUAAGCUUGGCUACUAAUAAACGGAGCAUAUAAGCAUAAACACCUAACUUUUGAGGCAUAUAAGGGAUCUAAAAGUGCGGAAACGUUUGGAAAAACUUUAAAACCACAGGGUUUUAAAGGUUUAAACCGCAUGGUUUAUGUGUUUUCCUAGAUAUUCCCGCACUUUAAAAUUUCAGAUUAAAACAUUUCCAUAUGUGUGUGUGUGUGUGUGUGUGUGUGUGGAGGGCAAAUCUUUGACUCUCUCCAGCUUCAAGUACCUAUACGGUAACUCUUAAAUCAAAGGGAGAAAAUGGUUAACCCAAUCUUAUUGUAUAUGAAUUGAUAUUCACCAUAUGAUUAUUACAUAAAGAUUGAGCCUUAAGUGCUUUACAUUAAGUAAUAUUGCACACCUGUUCUACACAUUUAGACAACUCAGAGUAAAAAUAAUGAAAAUGACAACCAAAUCCAAACUACCUGUUCUACACAUUUGAACCCUAAUUUUUUAUUUUAUAGAAAAAUUUAAAUACCGUUUCUUGUUGUCACUGCUAUUAUACUGUCUGAUAUAUCUUCCAGAAUCCUAUAAUCCCCCCCCCCCCCAAAAAAGAAGAAACAAAAAAAGGUAUAUAAUUAAACAGGUAACUUCGAUAGAAAAGAGUGUACAUAAUUCUUAAGCUUAAUUACCCCUCGCUAUUAUAGGGAUCACGAAGGCCAUUAGAGAAAAUAAUGUUGCUACCAAAUCUCUUUAAAACCACUCUUAUAUCUUGCAAAUUAAAAAGAAAUAGAAAUCAAACAAAACUUGAGGUGAACUUUAUAAUUAAAACAGAAAAUGAGAAACCUUAAAAUAUUAGAAGAAUUAAUUUGGGGAUUAAUCGACACUUACAUUACCACUUUAAUAAGUUGUAAUCCAAUGUGGUCUUGGAACCACUCCAUAAGACUUAUUGCAUGAAUCCAUAUAUUCUGUCAGAUUAAAUGUGUCUGCUUGAAACAUUAUGUCGUUUUUGCCAAUUCCAAUUGGUGAGACCAUUUCACUGCAUGUCUGCAUGAGAAACCCCCCAAAAAUAAAAAAUAAUAAUAAUAAAAUAAGAUAAAGAAGAAAACUAUUUUUAAUCAUUCAUAAAUAUAAAGUCUCAUAAAUAAAAUUAAGAGAUGUACAUAAAAUAGGUAUUGUUCUCAUUGCCACAUGUUGUUUAUUUAACGGUCUCAAUAGAACUAACCAAUGAAAUCAUGUCACUUGUAAUUGCAUACCUGUCUGCCCCAGCUGGAGUCCAAUGUUGCAUCGGAGAAGAAUUCAUCAACAUCAUGGCAAGAAUCCUCCCCUCUUAAAUCAACAAUUCCUGAGAAGAUCCGGUCUAGGGUAUCUGUGCCUUCUAAAGCUCCAUCAAUACCAUUACAGGCUUUGUUCACUGGGCUUUCCUGAGGAUCAUCAUACUGAGCUGCACCCGUAUACAUAUACUCUAAAUAAUCUUUCAAUUCUGAAACAUCCUUCAGAGGCCUGUAAUCAAAUAAACAAUAACAUAGAAUUAAGUGCCACAAGGUCAUUAACUUUAUAAAAGAUCUUUCAACAUACUGUCUUAAAAAUGUUGUUAUAUUUAGUUAGAUUACAAUAAACUUUAUAAGUAUGAAGCUAUUGAUAUUCUCAAAUGCAAACGUUCAAAUUUGGCCUCAUUUGAUUAUCAGAGUUUUGCGUGGUUUUGUAGUUUAAAUUUAGAUUCUGCAAAAUAUGGACGUCUGAACCUAAGCACCAGUAUACUAUAUAUGGUAACGCAAAGGCCGUGUAUAAGCCCAAAUCCAGAUUUUUACUUUGUAUAUUACACGUUAAUCGAAAUGUAUAUACACGCUGAGGAUGACAGAUAAUUAAUUAGACAUGGUACAUUCGAUAACGAUGCUAAAAUAACAUUGCAUUAAUUGUAAUUAAGGGAAAAUCGGAUGGAUAUACAAUAUAAGCAGUUAUGUAAAGUAAUAUGAUUAAUUACUUGCAGGUUUUGAACUUUAUAGAGAGAAAAGCAAGUCCAUUUUUUCCAGCAGCGACUUUAUCGAUUUCAGCCUAGGACUGUUUGAUGGUCUUGUAGCAGCUCUCGCUGGCUUCCUGCAUCAUUAAUUUUUAAAAUUCAAUGGCUAAAUUUUAACAAGAAAACAUAAUCAUGCUUAUAUAAAAUUUUAAUUAACUAAUUUAUUUCUUACCCGAAAGUCCUUGGUGACAAGAUCAUAAUAUGCGUUUGACGGUGUGAUAUUCUCAAAGUAGAGAACUGGGGCGGAUGAGGCAACUGCUCCCAAAGCAAUGUGAAGAUACUUCAAGUGAAACCAUGCAGCAAGCAUUGUUGAUAACAAACCAACAAACAAGUAACUCUCGAAACCAUAUCACAUCCCAGAUCUGAUAAAAUAGGAUGAAUUGAGAAGAUUAUUUUUAAAUACAUAAUUAUCUUGAAUAUAUUUAUUAUUUCUUGAUUUUACGAUCGCCAAGAGUAUUCGUUAGUUGCAAUAUUAAAUAAAUUUGUAUCAUAGUAAUAUUGCCGUAGUCAAUAUCUUGAUCGAUCAAUCGUGAUCUAAAUGAGUAAAAUGAUGUGACAGAUGACACGACAUUAAUCAAAAGAUGUAAGUAAGUUAAUAAUAUUAUAAUUUACUUCCUCCAUAAGAUGCUCCAACAACCAUAAUGGGAGACAUUUCGUCCGAUAAAUUUUUCUGGAUGUGUAAGAGAAUCUCUGCGUAAUCAGCCAAAGCUUGAGCAGAGUUGAAAUAUCCACGAAGAGUUGCAUUCUUUGGGGCAUCUUUGCUUGAUACAAAAGGUAUUGAUUUUCCAUAGAACCGAUACUGCAUAAAAAAUUGAAUUAAAAAAAAAAUCCAUCACAACUUUUCGUAUGUGAACUCUAUUUCAAUUAUUAUCAAGCUAGCCUGAUAACAUAUUCUUUACUUACCUCUAUGUAAACUUGUAAGGCUUUAAAUCGAUGAGCACUAUUAGUUAGCCAUCCAAUGCCACCAAGGUCAUCAUAUCAAGACUACUCUCUUCACCAAGAUAUGCCAAUAUCGGCGCCGCCAUGGCUCUGCCACCGCCCCAAUGCUUGAAGUUCAACGCAUAUCUAUGAGGAAAAGUUAAAUAACUUUGUGGAUUAUAGUUAAAGUGAUCAAGUGUUUGAUAAUAAUAGUAAGUUUCGAGAUCAUAAUAGUAACUUUGUGGAUUUUUUUGCUAGGGUUUUGAAAAAUAGUCCUUCCACGAACAGCACCAAGCUUUGGGAUGUUCUUUAAUGGUGAAGUGGAAGCAAAAGCAAAAUUUGUGAGGAGAAGAAGAAAAAGGCAUGGAAGCCACCGACCUUUCAUGGCAAAGUUGUAAAUCCUUAAUUAGCAGGAUGAUUAUGUAAAUACAGAAGAAAUAGAGUUAAGAUUAGAUUAUAAAUUCAGCUUCAAAAUCGACGUGUUUGUUAAUAUAUCCUGGAUUUGUUGUUAUCGUAUAAUUUAAUUAAUGUUGGUUUUAGUUUUAUAUUAGUAUGGAUCUUCAUUUUUCAUAAAAUUAUAGUGUGUCGAAUAUAUAGUUAUCGGUUUCGUAAUUAAUAAAAAUUUUUAUUAUUUCUUUCCUAGUAAUUAAUUAUCUUGUGCUUACCAGAAUAUCACUAACCACAACUUCUGCAGAAGCUUCCUCACCUUCGGAUGACAUCAGCGGUGCGUCCAGGAUGUUUGAUCGGAUCAGCUAAAUUAAAAAUUUAUUGUAUAUGUUUGUGUGAAUAUUUACAAAGGAGUGAAAAAAAACUAAUAUAUUGAAUAACGCGACAUCAAGAACUUCGUUCUGAAUGAAAUUUUUAUAUAUAAUUUGCAAAAUAAGCUAAUAAAUAGAAUGACAAUUUACCCUUUUUAACUUGUAGAGACACAACCUUAAAUUCCUUAAUAUGCUGGUUAAUUCAGAUCAUUGAGAUGGAGACAAUUAGACAAACCUUAUUUUAUCAGAGUGAACUGCGAAAGUACUAGCUUUACAAAAGAGACUAAUGUCGUAGUGUGAAUGGAAUUAAAAAAUACUAAGGCAGACAAUUCGUCGAACACAUAAUAUUUGCUACAUUGCUACUACCUAAUAAUUUCACAACCAAUUAACAGUCUCCUUUAUUGGAAAAAUCACAUUAAUCAACCAAAUACAUUUCUUGGUUUCUAAGCUCCAAAAUUGAAAUUUCAUGAAAAGGUUUCUGCAUUGGUGUCUUAUUGCGAGCGAUAAAUUCGUUGGACACGAGUUGCAUUGUAGGUCGAGACUUUGGUUGAGAACGCAAGCAUGAAAAUACUACUGUUGAAACAAGAAUGAUAUCCUGCCUAAUCAUUUGAUCCCCCGGAGGCGGGAGGCGUGGGUCCAACAAAUCAAUCAGCUUUAUAUUUUUAUCCAAUGACGAAGAUGACGAUGAGAGGAGCUCUCCUGGAUGCUUUCCCAUUAGUACUUCUAGUGCCACUACUCCGAAGCUAUAAACAUCAGAUUUCUCUGUCACAACCAUGGUGUAGGCACGUUGUAUAGGAAAACGGAAGUCUUUAUUAGUAAUGUUUCCAUAAACAAUAACAAGCACAAUUUGUUCAUGUUUUUUAGCUUCUUUAGCAAGGUAUGACAGAGAAGCAUAUGUUCUAACUGAUAUUCAGUGUAUGUGUGUUUUGAAAGGUAAAGGGAUAGGUAAAGUCUAAAUUCAGUUAUAGCUCCUUAGUUUUUUCAAAAUUCGAACCCAAGUAGCGAGCUAAAUAAAGCUGGUUAAAAACUACUUAGCAGAGUAUAUAUAAAAAUUAAAUAAGAGGAUAACUAAAGAAGCAUAAGAGGAAUAGCUAGAAGAUGACCUGGAGCAAUAUAUCCAUAAGUGCCAGCUAACAGAGUUCGAUUGGAUGAGUCAAAAUUUAACAAUCUAGCAAUACCAAAGUCAGCAACAAAAGCUUCGAAUUCUGAGUUGAGUAGAAUGUUGUUGCUUGAUAUGUCGCGGUGAACAAUUGGUGGUGUGCAGUGAUGAUGCAAGUAUGACAAAGCAUGAGCCAUACCCUUCACAAUGUUCACCCUUUUAGUCCAAUCCAACCCAACAGCUUCCUCAUCUGUGCGUAGAAUACAGAACAAGCUUCCCAUUUCCAUGUACUCAUAGAUCAAGAACAUGCAGUUCUCGUGCAAACAAAAGCCGUAAAGCUUUACAAUAUUUCGAUGCCGUAUUUGGGACAGUAGACGAGCCUCAUUCCGGAAACUCUCGAGGGAAGCUAACUCCUCAGUUUCUGAACGGUGAAGCUUCUUCAAAGCAACCACUUUUCCACUGGGCAGCCGUGCUCUGUAAACGCUGCCGUAGCCUCCGGUUCCAAUGCAGUAUUUGAUAUCGAAAUCCUCAGUGGCUUCAAUCAUGUCUUGAAAUGUAAUUCUACCAUCGUAAUUCCAAAUUGCAAACUCAUCAGCGCACUUGGUAAUUUCUCCUGUCCCAGUUGGUUCAACUUCCUUAUCCCUUCGUCUACGGAUAAUCAAGAUUCCAAAUAUCAAGGCAAGGAAUGCGACCAUAGCAAGAAUAAUUGCAACCAAGCGAGUGGCAAUUGUUUUGUGAUGUGGCGGUGGCGCAUUUGCCAAAGUAGUUGAGAUUUCUCCUCCCAAUUUAUUGCCUGACACAUCUAAGUGUGGCACUUUUCUGACAAAUACAGGGAUUCCACCGGAAAGGUUAUUCAUGGAAAGGUCCACAGUGUCUAUGCGUGGAAAUUCUCCAAGUUGGGAAGGUAUUUUACCAUUAAUGAAGUUACCGCUUAGAUCAAGAUAAUAUAGUUCUUGAAGUUUGCCGAUCUGUGACGGAAUGCUUCCGCUUAACAAGUUGUUUCCCAAUUUUAAUAUCCUCAGCUUUGAGCAAUUCAUGAGUUCUGGAGGAAUUGGGCCAUCAAGUUUGUUGUUGUACAUAUUCAAAGUAGUUAAUUGAGUCAAAUGACCCAGAGACGAAGGGAUUGGGCCAACAAGUUUGUUUUGGGACAAGUCUACACUUCUCAACCACUUUAAAUGGCCAAGUGUUGUAGGAAUUGAACCUCCAAUUUCAUUUCUGGACAGGUCAAGAGCUUGAAGAACCUUCAAACUCCCGAUUCCUAAUGGGAUGGAACCAUUCAUUUGGUUUGAGGCAAUAGCCAAAGUAGUUAGCUGGGUUAGAUGACCUACAUUGGAUGGGAUAUUACCGACAAGGGAGUUAAAAGACAAGUUCAAAAUUUUCAAUUUGCUUAGACCACAAAGAGUUGGAGGGAUAUGUCCCAUGAGGUGAUUAUCAGAUAGAUCCAGGUGGACGAGAUUCCUUAAUCGCCUCAUCUCUAAAGGGAUAAUUCCUGUUGUGCAUGUGAUUUAUGAAAAACGAGAUCAGUAUUCACUAUCUUCAUUAAAAAAAAAUUACAUAGAGGGAGAGUCAAGCUCAAGUGCGGACGACUCACACUUCUUUAGUGUUGUAAAAACAGACGCCUGCUUUAAGCAGCAGCGCGAUUUUAUACAUACAUAUAUAUAUAUAUGGUGAAGUUUCACAGCUUACCGGUAAGGCCGUUGUAGGGCAGUUCAAGAGUUUGGAGCAUUGAAAGGGCAGUAAUUUCAGAUGGAAUGCGCCCAGAGAGAACAUAAUUUGUACGAAUUUUGAAAUUUCUGAGGUUCGGAAAGCAAGAGAAUUUGAAACAACCGAGCUCUCCUUUGAUGUUAUCAUUUUCAUACCAGAGUAAGCUGACCCCGAUUACGCUUCCCGCUGAAUUGCAACUGACGCCAGUCCACUUACAAUGAUCGGACGUGUAGUUGCCCGACGUCGCCCAAUUGUUGACCCACCAGCCGGUAGCAAGUAAAGCUUCCCUUUCUAACAGUAUGGGUGACGACAAUAAUCUUGCAGCUGAUGCCGUUACAGAUAUUGUCGUAUCACUUAUAGCACCAACAUUUAUUAAAAUUAAAAUGACCACCAAUCUCGAAACAGUGGAUGCUGCUGCCAUGUUUAUAAUGGUUUUCGGUUGAUUGAGCUGGCUAUUUGAUUCCUUGCAAAGCGUUUAUAUAAGAAUUAAUUGUUUUGCAAGCUCCCGGUGUUAACUUCCAAUACGCGUUUUCAAAUAGUGUGAGUCAAUGUCUUCUCUGGAUGGAUUCAAUCAUGGAGAUAUAACCUUAUCGGCUUGUAUUUGUGAGGUGUAGAUCUAUUUGAACAACUUUGCAGAAACAUGAGAUAAUAUGGACAAUAUUAGAAAUAAUCAAUAGCGCUAUUAAGAUAUUAAAUAUUACCCAAAAUAAUAAAGAAAAAAAAAAGCUCGAAGGAUUGUUGUUGUAAAAUAUGACUCAAAUAGAAAAAUAAACAAGACUAAUCAUAUCUUUGUAUAAAUUUAAGUAUAAAAAAAACUUGUAGGUGUAUUAUUAUAAUAAGCUGUAGAGAAAAGAAUUUGUAGACUUCUGUGAUUUGACAAAAUAAUAAAAUAAUCCCUUUAUUUUUUAAAAUAGUUACAAAACUCCUUUUGCAACAUGCAAACUAUAUGGAAAAUUGGAAAUUCAUGGGCUACCUAAUAUCCCUCUUAUUUUUUUAUUUUUUAUUUUACACCAAAACAUCAUAGACAAAAGAAGAUAAAAAUUUCAUUGCACUCAAUUUUUUUCAUGAAAUCAAACAAGGAAAAGAAGCAAAAAGUGUUGGAAAUAUAGCACAAGUUACUAUUUGAUGCGUGAUUUUGAGUGAGACUUAUCUGUUGUUUCAAAUAUUCCUCCGUAAAUACUUCAGAAUGAUUUUACCUAUAUAAUCAAAAUAACCCUUGGAUAAAUGAGAAAUUGUUACUCAAAGUAAAUUCAUGGAAUUGGAAAAGUAAAGGAAAUUAUAUUUGUCCCACAUGAAAAAGAUAGCAAAGGCAUGAAAGGUUUGUAUAUAAUUACUCAUGUGUGUAUAAGUAAAAUAUAAACCAAGACGCUCUCUCUUCCGUGCCCCAUCCUAAGUACACAAAUUCAAUGUGAUACGAUCCUAUAGUUUCCGUUCAAACCUAUGCACACUUUAAAAAAAGGUUUUUUUUAAUAUAUUUUUUAUGUAUUUUACAUUUUUUUUAAAAUUUAAUAAAUGCCAUAUUAUUUAAAUAUUUAAUUUUAAGGCAUCUUUUUUAAGUUGAGGGCAAGGAACCCCUCCGAUACGUAAUGCCGAAACAUGCUAAUCUAAUCACCUUGACUUUAAAGACUGCUUCCCCUAGUCAGCAAUUAUUUGGAACUUACGUCUUGACAUGUGCUGUGGAAAAUAAAGAAUGAAGUAGACUUAUUGAGUCAAGCUGUUUCUUCAAUCCAGAUAUUUAGUUUAUACGUGUGCAAAUAUUCAAUGCCUAACUUUAUUCUGCACAAAGCCUAAUGUCCUAUUUGGGAUAACGGUUGAAAUACUUAUAAGUUUUGAUAAAAAUGAUGUUUGAUAAAUUUGUUAAAAGUUUAAUUCAUAUUUUCUCCAUUUUGACAAUAACUCUUAAAAUAAGUAUGAGAUUGUCUUUUAUAAGCAACUUAUUAAAUAAAAUGCCAUUUUUUUAAAGUUUCUAUUAUAACUUUAAUAUUUUAAGAAAAGAAUAAGUGUAUCUUAUUUUUUAAAAAAUCCUAAUAUAUAAGUAAAAGACAAUUUAAACUUAUGUUUAUUUUAAUGAUUAUAUAAUAAAAUAUUAUUUUCGUAAUCAAAUUUACCAAACACUGAGUGAGCUACUUUUAUAAUCAUUAGAUAAUUCCAUUCACAUCGCAGAAGCAGCUUAUUUCAACAGCCACCAAAAUCUUAAACUGAUCCUAAGUCAUGUUCGGAAUUGCAUGGGAUUGUCAAAUAAUUAACAAAAGAAGCUAUUAUGUAGGAGAAUAGGAACAGGUUCACCUGGAGCAAUAUACUCAUAAGCUUGGCUACUAAUAAACGGAGCGUGUAAGGAUAAACACCUAAGUUUUGAGAGAUACAUGUAUCUGGAGGGCAAAUUCUUUUUCUCCCACCGGCUUCAAGGACCUAUACAGUAACUCCUAAAUCAAAGGGAGAAAAUGGUUAAUCCAAUGUGGUUGUGUAUGAAUUGAUAUUCACCGUAUGAUUAUUACAUAAAGAUUGAACCUUUGUACGUGCUUUAUAUUAAGUAAAACUGCACACUUGUUCUACACAUUUAGACAACCCAGAUUAAGAAUUAUGAAAAUGAAAUCUACAACUAGCUAGGUGCACUAUUAUUUAUCUUUGCUCCUUAAAUAUUAGAAAGAUAGAGGAGAGGGAGAAAAAGAAAAGACUAAUUUUGUAGUCCAAAUUUAAUCUUAUGCUCUGAUUUUGAAGCAAAUCAGCAGAGUAUUUGAGGAACCAAUCAUGAACCAUGUCCAUUUCAAUCUUUCGCUGCAUUACUAACCAUUCGGGGUCAUCUUCUGUUGCUGGCUGUAUGUCUAAGCAAUGGGAACCUGCUCCAAUUUACACACUAUUAAUUAUGUUAUCCAAUAAUUUAGUUAAUAAUUGAACACUAAUUUUUUAUUUUAUAGAAAAAGUUACAUACUGUUUUUUGUUGUCACUGCUAUUAUAUUGUUUGAUAUAUUUUCCAGAACCCUAUAAUCCCAAACAAAGAAAGAAAAAGAAAAAGGUAUAUAAUAAAACGGGUAACUUCAAUAGAAAAGAAUAUCCAAAAUUCUUAAGCUAAAUUACCCAGCGCUGCUACAGGGAUCGCGGUGGCCAUUAGAGAAAACAAUGUUGCUACCAAAUCUCUUUAAAACCACUCUUAUAUCCUGCAAAUUAAAAAGAAAUAAAAAUCAAACUCAAGAACGAGGUGAAGUUUUUAAUUUAAAAAAGGAAAGAAAAAGAGAAAAUUAAAAGAAUUAAUUUGGGGAUUAAUUGACACUUACAUGACCACCAUAAUAAGUUGUAAUCCAAUGUGGUCUUGGAACCACUCCAAAAGACUUAUUGCAUGAAUCCAUAUAUUCUGUCAGAUAAAAUGGGUAUGCUUGAAACAUUGUUUCCUUUUGGCCAAUUCCAAUUGGUGAGACCAUUUCACUGCAUGUCUACAUGAGAAACCCCCUAUAUUAAUAAUAAUAAUAAUAAGAUAAAGAAGAAAAAUAUUUUUAAUCAUUCAUAAAUAUAUAGUGUUAGAGUGCAAUUUAUGCACUAGUUUUGCAUUGUUUACUUCCCUUAAUAUCGAUGUUUUGCACUUAAUAAUAGUGAUUUACUUGUGUUUUACUUUUGUGGGUGCAGUUCUAUUGAUUUGUGAUAAAAUUGAGCUAUAAGAUGUUGUUUAAAGAUGAUUGUUCUCUUGGAGAAAUUUAGAGCGUCAGAAGAACUUUGUUGAUAAGGCGUGGGCGCGUGCUGUCAACUGCGGGCCUGCAGUUUUUAGUUUAACAUGUUUUGUAUUUUUGGUUAUUUUGUAAUUACGAAUUUAAUAUUUCAGUUAUUAGUAUUUUAUUUUAAAUAGAAUUCUAAAAGAGAAGAGAGAGAGAGUAUUUAAGGGAGGAAUCUAUUGUGAAAAAGGAGACUUUUGGAGAAGAGAAAGAAACCUUAGGUCUAAACUUUUCUCUUCUCUCUAUGAAGCACUAAACCUAUUUUUCUGGUUGAAGGAUAAUGAAGCUUUGAUUCAUCACUACUGUGAGAUCUAUUUUAUGCUUUAAUUGUUUUAUUGCUUUUUGGGUAUUUGUUUAUUCUCUGAAUUAUUUUCAUGAUUAUGUUUGUUAAUUAGGUAAUUGGCCACUAUUUAAUUAUCAACUUAAUCUAUUAUUAAUUAAAGGAUUCAUCGUAUGAAAAUUUUAAUGUUUGUGACAAAUAACAUACCAAUGAGUUGUGUUAUGAGAAUAAACAAUCUAAUUUAAAUGAAUCAUCGUAUGUGUUGAUUAGGAUUUGGGUCUCUCUGGUCUUUCAGGCUAUCAAUUGAUUAAAUCCUAUGAUCGUAUCUAGGAUUGUCUAUUGAUUAGGGAAAUAGCCAACGGUCGUACCUUGGUUAUCGACUAGUUAAGGAGAGAUUGGCUAUUAGAGGGUCUCAGUAGCUAUAACCGGUCUAUUCAUAAGUAAUAAUAAUCUAUAUUUGAAUCAAUGAUCAGUAAUCGAAUCUAGCUGAAUUAAUUCCUUCAACCAGAGCUUUCUCCAAUUUGAAUUACAACUUUAAUUUGCAUUCUUGUUAUUUUAAUUUGAUUUUUAUUAUUGUCAACAAAACCCCCAUUUUAUGUUUUACGUUUUAAAAGGAUUUAAAUAAUUACCGAUCUCUGUGGACACGACCCUGCUCAAUCACUAUACACAAUUUAUUUAGAGUAGGAAUUUAUUUUUGUUGGCUUCGACAACCAUCGUAUAGUCAUAUAAAUAAAAUUAAGAGAUGUACAUAAAAUAGGUAUUGUUAGGCGAAAGACUAAUUCAUUGCGACAUGUUGUUUAUUUGAUGGUCUCAAUGGAACUAUCCAAUGAAAUCACGUCAUCUGUAAUCGCACUUGAGCAGAGUUGAAAUAUCCACUAAGAGUUGCAUUCUGUAGGGCAUCUUUACAUGAUACAAAAGGCACCGAUUUUCCAUAGAACUGAUGCUGCACAAAAAAUCAAAUUAAAAAAUAUAUAUAUAUCACAACUUUUUAGUUGAUAUUAUAGAUUAAAUUUAUCUUUAUUAUUAUUGUUUCGCGUUCGAACUCUGUUUCAAUUAUUAUCAAAUUCUUUACUUACCUCUAUGUAAACUUGUAAGCCUUUAAAUCGAUGAGCAUUAUCAGUAACCUGGAUUUGUAUGUUAUUAGGAGGUCGUUGCUUAGAGAUUCCCAUGUCCACUCUUAGUGCCAAAAGACUUGGUCUUGAUGCACAGGUGACAAGUUUGUUGGGGAGUACAUUUGGACUCGCUAUCUUGAUUUAGUUCCAAACAUCAUAGCAUUUGGUUAUUUAUGUUGGUCAAAGUUCGCAAGUUCAGUUUGCGUGGUCAACUCAAGUAGACGAGAGAGUUGUGCAACUCUUGACCAUGCGUGCAAAUGCCAAUGUAUGUGGCUUUAAAAUUUGGCAGUGAGGACGUAUGAUCCCCCACAGCCUGGAAUCAAUGUGUGUCUGAAACCUUUUUUGAACGAAAACACGGAGCAAAUGUGAGCUUCUCGCAGGCUAAGGUUCCAAGAGAGGUUACAUAUGUUUACCAUGAAGUGUCAUAUGAACUUGUACAGAUUGAUUUCCGAUGUUUCUUUUUCCCGGUAAUUUCUUAUUUUAAAUCUUAUUGCUUGUCUUUGUGUAUGUGCGUUGGGCUGGAGGCUCCAUUGAAAUGGUGUUUCCUCAAAUUAUGAAUUAUAAUGCUCGUAAGUGUUAAUAUCAUCUCUUCUAGUCCAGCUUAUUAAGAAAGUCUUUCAGAAUCCUAUUCAAACAUAUUCCUUUUUUUUUUGUUUUUUGGAAGGAAAGAUUUUCUUGCUGGAAAUGUUGUUAAUUAACAAGGAUUCUGGUUGUAUUAACUAUUUUGUAAACAAAUUCUUUCAUCUGUACUACAAUAGCAGAUGACGGAGCUCACUGGGAAUAUUUUAUAUUUUUACCAUUGAUGUGAUAACUAAUAUAAGGCAUAAUGGUUUCUGUACCAUUUCCAGCCUCAGCCUGAUUCCAAUACUUGUGGAUCAAAGCAGAAAGUUGCCACACCACCUGUAGGUCCUGGAGAGCUUCCUUCAACGGGUUCAAACAAACCCAAGGAGUGGAGUUGUGCCCUCUGUCGGGUCAGUGCUACUACCGAGAGAGGUCUAGAUGAGCAUCUUCAAGGUAGGAAGCACAAGGCCAGGGUUUCAGGACUAAUUAGAGAUAAGAAAAUGUGCAGUAACUCCACUUCAUCCACGUCAAAAAAAUCUACUGAAAGCAGAGAUGGUGUUGGCCAAGAAAUGAAGACUAAAGUACAAGAGGAAUCAGUUAAAGCUAAUAAAACUGUUGUUGGUCUAGACCAGAAAGGGGAGGUUGGUCUAGAUGAGCAUCCUCAAGGUAAGAAGCAGAAGGCCAAGGAAGAAGAACUACUUGGAGCUCAGAAGUGGAUAAAAAAUCUAAUGAAAGCAGAGAUAGUGCUGGCCAAGAAAUGAAGACUAAAGUAGCAGAGGAAUCAGUUAAAGCUAAUAGAACUGUUGUUGGUUUAGACCAGAAAGAGGAGGGUUGUCAAGCCCUGCAGGUUAAGCCCUAUCCCAACCUUUGUGGAUCAAAGCAGGAAGCUGCCACACUACCUGCAGGUUCUGGUGAGCUCCCUUUGACCAGUUCAAGGAAACCCAUGGAUUAAAGCUGUGCCCUCUGUCAGGUCAGCACUACUCACAACAGAGAUCCAGAUUAGCAUCUUCAAGGCAAGAAGCACUAGGCCAAGGAAGGAGGACUACUUGGAGAUGAGAAGAUGUGCAGUAACUCCACUUCCAGAAACUCUACUGAAAACAGAGAUAGUGCUGGCCAGGAAAUUAAGGCUACUCUAGAAGAGGAAUCAGUUACACCGAAUAAAAAUAUCGUUGAUUUAGACCAGAAAGUGGAGGGUGGUCAAGAUGAGCAUCUUCAAGGUGAGAAGCACAAGGCGGAGGAAGCGGAGCUAAUUGGAGCUCAGAAGAUGUGCACUACCUCAUCUUCAUCGACAUCAAAAGAUUCUGGAAAGACAAGUAGACCAGAAAGUGGGUUAAGACCAGAAAGUGCUGGCCAAGAAAUGAAAGCUAAAGUAGAAGAGGAAUCAGUUAAAGCUAUUAAAACUGUUGUUGGUUUAGACCAGAAAGUGCAGGGUGAAGAAGAUUCAGAGAACAAAAAUAAGGAGCUGCUAAAGAAGGACUUGAAUGCAAACACUCAGAAGAUGACAAAUGGAAUACCGACUGGAGAGACGAUGAAGAGAAAACUUCCCCUUAGAGAGAAUUUCGAAUUCUGGUGUGAAGUUUGUCGAGGAGCUCAGAAGAAAUGAAGAGAAACUUCAUAUAUGCAUGGUUAUGACAUUGGACUCUUCGGCUCAAAGCAAAUUUUUCUUGAUCAUGACCUGACAUUAGUUUAUCUUUUGCUGGCAGGUAGUUGGCGGGAUAUCACUAACCACAACUUAUGCAGAAGCUUCCUAACAUCAGCGGUGGGUCCAGGAUGUUUGAUCGGAUCAGCUAAAUUAUUGUAUAUGUUUGUGUGAAUAUUUACAAAGGAGUGAAAAAACUAAUAUAUUAAAUAUCAAGAACCUCGUUCUGAAUGAAGUUUAUAUAUAUAAUUUGUAAAAUAAACUAAUAAUUAAAAUGACAAUUUACCCUUUUAACUCGUAGAGAUACAACCUUAAAUAAUAACAAGAGAGGAGCUCUCCAGGAUGCUUGUAGUGUCUAAAAAAUUAUCAUCAAUGAAAAUGGGAAUGGGAGGGCGUGGUGGGGUUGAUGAUCUAAGACUCUUUGCUCAUCACUGGUGGCCGUAAUAAUGGGGGCUUGGAGCACCUUCACUUCAACCCCCAGCAGCUCCUCGGCCUUUACCACUCAAUGAGCAAACCCUCUGGCGGCAGCAGCAUCUCCUGUGGCUAUCAUUGUUGCUGAACGAUAAAUUUGUGCUGCCCCUGAGAAGCUGAAAUUGCAAGAACAAGGCAGCAACUCAAAAACCAGCAAUCUUUUAAAUGUAAGCAAGCAUAAUAAUUAUUCAUAAAACGUUGAAACACAAAGUCCUGCUAGAUUCAAAAUUUAGAAGACUCGUGAUACAAUAAGAACUUAAAGUGUAUAUACGAUUAUGCAUUACAAGUGAAGUUGCAUGCUAUAUGAAGUUUUAAAAUAUGUCUCACUUUUCAAUGAUUUCUGGUAAAUCGCUAAUCCGAUAAUAUCAAAUAUCCUUCAUAAUCUUCAUCUUCCUCUUCUUCGUCGUCAUCGUCUUCUUUAGAUAUUUUUCCUCCUUCAACACCGUUAACCAUAUUUUUCAACUGCAAUGUCAGUUUGGAAGUAAUAUUUAUGAAGUUCAACAAGUUUCAAAUUUUGAUAUUGUUUGAAAUGUGAAUGAUAAGUACAACUUCUACCAUUAUUUAUAGAAAAAUAUGCAAUAUUGGCUUUGAGGAAAUAUAAUAAAGUUUACAAUUAAGAAAGGUGUAAUCCUAAAUCUCGAAAAAUCUGAUACUAAAUCUUAAAAUGUAAAUAUUUAAAUCCCGAAGAAUCCGAUGCAUAUUCUAACAGAUAGUGUUAUAAUUGUUGGAUUUACAUGGAGUCUAAUUAUAGUAUUAACGUUAGUACUCGAAUUCUCAUAUGAUCUAAACUUCUCUUGAGUAAAACUCACAUGGGAGAUUUGUGAUCCAUAAAUAAUUAUAUAAAAAAAAGAUAGUAAUUAAAUCAUAAUCGGGAGCGCUUAGAUCUUUUUUAUUUUUACUAUGAAGAGCUCAAUCGGGAGAAAAUUUAAAUUUUUAAGGGGAAAAAGCAACCCACACUCCCGAAGUUUGCUUAAAUAGUCACACAAACCCCCUUAAUUUCAUAAAUGAUGGAUUGCAUACCAUUAAGUCUAAAUUUCAUAAAUACUGUAAUAUUUUUAUCUAAUGAUGAAGAUAACGAUGAGAGGAGCUCUCUAGGAUGCUUUCCCAUUAGUACUUCUAGUGCCACCACUCCAAAGCUAUAAACAUCAGAUUUCUCCGUCACAACCAUGGUGUAGGCAAGUUCUGUAUGAAAACAGAAGCCUUUAUUAGUGAUGUUUCCUAAAUAAUAACAAGAGCAAUUUGUUUAUAUCUUUGAGCUUCUGCAGCAAGGUAUGACAGAGAACCAUAUGUUUUUAACUGAUAUUUAAAGUGUAUUUUUUUUUUAAAAAAAAGUGAAACUGGUAGGCAAAGUUCAAAUUCAUUUUUCCAGCUCUUUACCUAUUCAAAAAUUUGAACCUAAGUAGCUAAUUAAAUAAAACUGCUUAAAAAUUACUUAACCGAGUAUAUACAAAAAUUAAUUAAAAGAAUAAUUAAAGAAGCAGAAGAAGAAUAGCUAGAAGAUUACCAGGAGCAAUAUAUCCAUAAGUGCCAGCCAAUAGAGUUCGAUUGGAUGAGUCAAAAUUUAAUAAUCUAGCAACGCCAAAGUCAGCAACAAAUGCUUCUAAUUCUGAGUUGAGUAGAACGUUGUUGCUUGAUAUGUCGCGGUGAACAAUUGGUGGUGUGCAGUCAUGAUGCAAGUAUGACAAAGCAUGAGCCAUGCCCUUCACACCGUUCACCCUUUUAGUCCAAUCCAACCCAACAGCUUCCUCAUCUAUGCGUAGAAUACAUAACAAGCUUCCCAUUUCCAUGUACUCAUAGAUCAAGAACACGCAGUUCUCGUGCAAACAAAAGCCGUAAAGCUUUACGAUAUUUCGAUGCCGUAUUUGGGACAGUAGACGAGCCUCAUUCCGGAAACUCUCGAGGGAAGCUAACUCCUCAGUUUCUGAACGGUGAAGCUUCUUCAAAGCAACCACUUUUCCACUGGGCAGCCGUGCUCUGUAAACGCUGCCGUAGCCUCCGGUUCCAAUGCAGUAUUUGAUAUGGAAAUCCUCAGUAGCUUCAAUCAUGUCUUGAAAUGUAAUUCUACCGUCGUAAUUCCAAAUUGCAAACUCAUCAGCGCACUUGGUGAUUUCUUCUGUCUCAGCUGGUUCAACUCUCUUAUCCCUUCGUCUACGGACAAACAAGAUUCCAAAUAUCAAGGCAAGGAAUGCGACCAUAGGGAGAAUAAUUGCAACCAAGCGAGUGACAAUCUUUUUGUGAUGUGGCGGUGGCGAAUUUGCCGAAGUAUUUGGGAUUUCUACCUCGAAAUUGUUGCCUGACACAUAUAAGAGAGGCACUUUUUUGACAGAUUCAGGGAUGCUACCGGAAAGGCUAUUCAUGGAAAGGUUCACGGUAUCUAUGCGUCGAAUUUCUCCAAGCUGGGAAGGUAUUUUACCAUUAAUCAAGUUAUGGCUUAAAUCAAGAUAAUUUAGUUCUUGAAGUUUGCCAAUCUCUGACGGAAUGCUUCCGCUUAACAAGUUGUUUCCCAAUAUUAAUAUCCGCAGCUUUGAGCAAUUCAUGAGUUCUGGAGGAAUUGGACCAUCAAGUUUGUUGUUGUACAUAUUUAAAGUAGUUAGCUGAGUCAAAUGACCCAGGGACGACGGGAUUGGACCAACAAGUUUGUUUUCGGACAAUUCUAAAUCUGUCAACCUAUUUAAAUGACCAAGUGUUAAAGGAAUAGAUCCAGUUAGAUUGUUAUAUUCCAGGGACAGAGAUGUCAAGUUGACUAAACCAGCUAUGGUGGAAGGAAUUGGACCUUCAAGUUUGUUGUCGGACAGGUCAAGAACUUGAAGAAAGUUCAAAUUCCCGAUUUCUAAUGGGAUGGAACCAUUGAUUAGGUUUGAGUGCAUAUAAAAAGUAGUUAGCUGAGUCAAAUGACCUACAGACGAAGGGAUUGGGCCAACAAGUUUGUUCUGGGACAAGUCUAAACUUCUCAACCUCUUUAAAUGGCCAAGUGUUUGAAGGAAUUGAACCUCCAAUUUCAUUUCAGGACAGGUCAAGAACUUGAAGAAAGUUCAAAUUCCCGAUUUCUAAUGGGAUGGAAACAUCAAUGUGGUUUGAGGCAAUAGCCAAAGUAGUUAGAUGGGUUAGAUGACCUACAAUGGAGGGGAUAUUACCAACAAGGGAGUUAGAAGACAAGUGCAAAUUUUCCAAUUUGCUUAGACGACCAAGAGUUGGAGGGAUAUAUCCCCAGAGGAAAUUAUCAGAUAGAUCCAGGUGGACGAGAUUCCUCCAUCUCCCCAUCUCUGAAGGGAUAAUUCCUGUUGCGCAUGUGAUUUAUGAAAAACGAGAUCAGUAUUCACUAUCCUCAUAGAAAUAAAAUUUAUAAAGAAAUGCUUAGGUUGUAAAAAUUAAUAGAUUUUUUAGUGCUCUAAUAGUUUUUUUUUUCUUAUUUUUUGUUGGGGCUCGUCAAUGCUGCAAAUUUUAGACUGAAAGUUAAAUCUGCAGAUGCAACAAAUAUAUCAAUAAAUUAAUACAAAACUAUGGAGAUUAGAGAGAAUCACUCUCAGUGCUCUCAAUUGACUACCCUAUUGUUGUGCAAAUUUUAAUGAACUCGCAAGCGCACGAAUCUAUUGUAGUAUAGACUAAUGGUGACGAGUGUCGAUCCCACGAGGAGGUGGAUUUUAAUUAUAUAUAGAAUUAAUUUUGUAAAUGGGUGGUUGGAAUUGUGGUGGAAGUGAUUUAAAUUAUCCUAAAAUUGGAAUUGAAAUGGCGAUAAUAAAUUCUAAAAUUGGACUUGCAAUGGCGAGAAUAAAUUGAAGAGAAAUCUAUUAAAAUGACUUAUUUGGGUAUCUGGAUCCGUAUCAACAUGCAUCAUGGGCUAAAUAUUCCUUAUUAAUGCCAAUUAAAUCAUGAGGGGGGAAUCCACACCUCAUGAACCACGCUCUAAUCAAUAUGGUGCUAAGGGCUUAUCGUGCCAAAUAAUAAUAACCUUGUACUAGAGGGCCGGUGAAACCAAGGCGGUACUAGACAAGAUUAGUAUUAUUUGUCGACGAGAAGUCAAAACAUCCACAAAAACUAGAGGGGAAGAGAAAAUAAAUUUACCAAAUUAAGCCCAUGACACAUGUUGAGACUUCACCUUCAACCCAAGCUUGAAAGAAAAUUAGCCACUCAUAAUUGAACUAGGGGCAAAAUGAGAAUUUAUUAAAAUACGAAGAAAAUACAAGAUAAAGAAGGAAUUACAGAAAAUAAAGUCCAAAAAUGGAUUCAGCGAUAUCAAAUUAGGGGGGGGAGGCCCCCUUUUUAUAGAUACAUGGAGUAAAUUAUGGCCAUCGGAUUAAAAACAGUUUGGACGCUCAGGAUUACGCCACGUCAUCAGUCAACAGUCCACGGUUUGACCACGUGGAUGAACAGUAAUACGGUUUGACUCGGAUGAACAGUAACGCGGUUUGGUUGAAAAUAAUCCUGUGUGAUGCAUGUACCGUACGCGAGAUUUUUCGUCCACUGAUAUGCUGCCACGUCACCAUCAACAGUACAUAAGAAUUUUAGCCCAACAGGAUCGUGACACCUCAUCAGUCAAUGCCACAUCAUCAUCUGUCUAUGUGAACAGUGUCGUGAACAGUAACGUAUAUACAGUACCGUACACGUGAAUAGUACCGUACAUGUGAUCAGUGCCAUUUUUCUUUUUAUGCUUCUCCUAAGGUUUUCGACCGUCCUGAGUUCAAAAGUGAUGUCCGUUUUGCCAUCUGAUUUCUCGUUUAUUGUGAAAUGACUAUGAUGCCCCUAAAAUACAUAAAAUACUUAAUUAAAAUAAAACACAUGUAAUUAAAUCACAAGAAAGUUAAAUACAUAAAAGUAAGGGUUGUUAAUAAGACUUGAAAUGUAAAAUGACGGUUUUCUCCUUUAUAAAUAUGCAUUUUCUAACACUCAACACACCCCCCAACCAGUUUAUUGCUAGUCCCUAGCAAAUAAAGCGAAAACAAAAAAAAUAAUUUUUUUUAAUAGAAACACUCAUAUUUAUUCCAUCAGAUUAAUGAUAGCAAUUAAAUAAAAGUAUAAGCAUUAUCUCCAGUCUAAAGCAACAUCACACCCACAUCAACCAUCCACAUGAAUCAGCCCAGUAGACUUUGUCAUAGCUACUUUCAAGAAUGACAUGUCAAACCCCAAACUGGAAGUAGUGACACUCUCACAAAGAAAUUAAAACCAAUAAAAAUAGUCACUCCAAUGAAUGGUAAUUGAGAGAGAAAAUAAUAAAGAAGUGAUAUCACAUGCUCUCACCAAAAUGAAAUAAAUAUGCCCUCAGCUUAGAAAUAAUACGAUCUCAAGUCAAAUAAAAAUGCUAGUUAACCCAAUUUAUUUGUCUUAUUUAUUUAUUUAUUUAUUUUUAUUAUGCAGCACUACAUCUUUUUAGCUCAUAUAACUAGCUUCUACUUCAGACUAUAGUUCCCUAAACUCAAGAAGGACUUUUAUUAGGACGUACCGUAGGUUAGGGACAUGGUUAACAAAGAAGGGAAAUAAGGAAAAUAAAGUGUAUGUUUGAGAAAAAAAAAUUGCAGGGAUUUUUUUUUUUUUGGAAGUUGCAAGGUGGAUUUCACCUAUUGUUGUUAUUUUUUUAUUUUUUAUUUUUCUUUUGAAACAACAAUUUUUGUUUUUUUGUUUUUUGUUUUUUUUUUACUUUUAUUUGGCAUAACUUCACUGAACAAAAAUACUUAUUUACAUUUUUCUCAAACAUAAAUAGGUGAUGGAACUUAUAAGACAUUGGGUAAUACUCCAAAUCGGAGUGGGUCAAGAUAAGUUAAACAAAUAAAAGGUUUUUUUUUUUUUUAAAAAAAGGCUCAAAAUGGUUAACUAUGGAUAUUUCACAAAAGGGAUGGCUAGAAAGGCUCAAACGGAUCAAAGAUGGCCUUUCCAUCGUCUUUUAGGGCUCUAAAUAAUCAUCCAUAUCUACUAGUUAGAUGGGCCUCCCAAUGUAGCAACAUACAUUUUUUUUUCUUUUUCUUUUUUUUUUAUUUUACCAUUUUUUUUAAGGGUUAACUCAAAAGAAAUCUAGAGAUCGUGUAUAAAAUAAUAAACUGCUAAGCUGUAUAGAGAAUGGGCAAAAGGGUUACUCUCCAAGAAAAUGAUAGGCUCAACAACUCACUUGGCAUUUAUUUAUAGCAUGUUCAUUCCUUCAAGCAACUUAUAUUUGUCUCCGACAUCAACAUGUAAAGUAGCAAACAUAGCGUAACAUCACUUAAGACUAAAGAUAAUACAAAUACUAAAAUUUGAAAUUAAUCAUGUCAUCCAAUGUUAAAACAAAUCACACAAAUUAUUAUUAUUAUUUUUUAAACAACAUUCUACCCCCCAACCUAUUCUAAGCAUGAAAGGAAAAUAUGCAUGCAGAAAUGUGAAUAUGAUGCAGAAAAACUAAUUAGAAAAGUUACACUUAAAAUGAUGGAAAACCAAAAUGAUUUUUUUUUUAAAGAAGAUGCGUUUCUAGAGGAACUACACUCCAUAUUCAGCCAUCUUCGACUCACAAGUUGGAAAAUGUAUAUUUAUAGAGGAGAAAUUAAAAAGAAGAAAAAUAAACAUAAAAACAUAAUACAGAAAAAGAAAAUGUCUGAAAUUUUUUUAAUUUUUUUUUAAUUUCUUUAACGAUGAAGAUGCGUUUCUAGAGUAACUAUACUCCAUAUUCAGCCAUCUUCAACACAAAAAGUUAGCAACAGUUAGUUUCUACAACAAAAAAUUAGUAAAAACUUAACCAAAAUUCCACAUUUGUCGACUAUUCCCUCCCCCCAACCAGAACGAAACAUUAUCCUCAAUGUUUUAAAGGAAAGAAGUAGAGUUUAGAAGACAUCACCUGGGUGGUGCAACACAGAAGAAAAUAUUUAUAGGCGGAGAGUUAAAUCUAAUUUUUACUUCUUACUGCGGCUACUGUUACCAUCAUUAUUUGGAGGCUCCAACCCCAACACAAAGGUCUAGGGGUCUGGGUCCGGUUUAUAAGCUUGUAACAGAUCAAGUAGCUCAUUAGCAGUGUGAGCACAAAUAAAGAGUUUUUUCGCAUUAGGGGGAAUGAAAUAGUUUUUUAUUGCAUGGUUAAGAAAUGCGAUAAAGCCAUCAUAAAAGUUAUUGACAUUUAACAAACCGAUGGGUUUCUGGUGGAUGUACAGAUGGGCCCAAGAUGCUAGUGUGAUAAGUGCCUCUAGUGUUGCAAGAUCUCCUGGAAGGAAAAUAAAAGCAUCAGCAUGAUUAAGCAUUUCAGUUAUUCUUUCUUGCAUACCUGAGACGACUAACUCUUCUCCAGUUGAUGAGUCAAACGAACUACCCAAAGGUUUUAGGGCUCUUGGGAUGAUGCCUAACACUUGGCUGCCUCUGAUAAAAGCUGCUUCUGAGACCAUUUUUGUUAACCCUCGAUUACCUCCUCCAUACACCAAGUGUAAUUUUCUCGCUGCUAUGCUGCGACCAAGAUCUAUGGCUGCCUCAACAAACUCUUUAUGUUUGCCAUAUGAAAAUCCAGAAAGCACACAAAUGUUCUUGAAUUGUCUAUUUGGAGUAGCUGCCAUUGGGAUACUUCUCAAAAAAUAAUUUGUUAGUGCUUGACAAAAAAAAUCACAUUUAAGAGUCUUGGUGACAAUGGGUCACAGUUGUGUAUGAGGUAACAUGUCAGUGUCAAAUAACGCGUAAAGCACGUGGCUCGCGAGUCAAAAAGGAAACAGUAAAAAGGGAAAAAGAAAACAAUAAUAAGGAAAAAGCAAACAGUAAUAAAAUUAUUAAAGACAAUAAUGCACACAGUAAAACAAUAGUGAAAUAAAAUAACAGUAAAGUGAAAGGAUAUUUACAGGUAGUUGCGACUGUGGCUCACAUCUUCCUCUGGUUUUACGUCCAGAAACGGCUUGAACGCCCUCUAUGGGUCGAGGAUAGGCUUCAUAUCCAGUUUUCUUAUAAAUUGGCAAACAGGGUCGUUUAUAGUCAGAUUCCCGAGACUAUAUCGUGCAUGCUCUUUCUGGAAUAAUGGCCAUAACUGGAGAAUCGCUCCUUGCACAUAUCCACUGGGAUGCGUUUCAAGAGGCAAAAGGAUAUCAUCCAAUGACUCCUUAUUCAAGCCAUCCUUAAUGAAUUGAAUCUUAUCUUCCCUGUUAUCAGACAUCAUUCCUAAAGAACAUGGGUUUUUAUUGCAACUCAUUCUGGCACACUUAUGACAAGCAACAGAAAUUCUUCGAGCUCGUCAUUUUCUUGCAUAAUUUCCUUUACCACAACCAGGCAUGUAUGUAAUAAAUUUUGGAGGUAACUCACCUGUCGAUCGUACUUUAGCCUCGAUUAACCAACGGAUGUCAGCAGGUAUGUUAUUCCUCAAGAGUAAUCGGAUGCGUUCGGACCGAACUUUAUAGAUCGUAAGGAGGGCACUCUGACGAAGUAAAGGGAAUCGCUUGUGAAGCUUCGCUAGAAUCUCGUUUCUGUCCAUACUUUCGCCUCAGAAUAUUAGUUAUUAUGGGAAACUGAAGUAACCGACUUGAUUGUCACGGAGUACCGUUAUCCGCCACUUCACCGGGGUAACAAACUAAAGCACACAAAUAGAAAAACAAAUUAAAACACACAAAGAAAAUUAAAAUCGUCCUCUUAUUGAAUUUACCUCAAGCUCCAACUGGAUGUCAUAAACACUUCUCUCAAUGUCUCUGAGUUGGCUUUCUAAACCCUCAACAUAGGCUACUAACUCUGGUGGUUGUAGAGUCCAAAUACGAUGUGUUUUACAAAAUUGAAUCUGUCUUUUGAGAUGAGUUUUGACACGUUAAAGUGGUUUAAGAAUGUUCAGGAGGAACGGUCUAAGUAUGAGACUCAUGAUUAACAAUGAUAAGAGAAAACUUACUAGUUAAACAAACACACUUAUGCAAAAAUAAUUUCAAUUAGCAAAAGAAUAAUAUAAAGAAAGAAAGAAAAAUCAAAUCAACGAAAAGAAAAAUCAAUUCAAAUCUGGUGGGUCACUCAAAUUUAUUUCGGUGUCUUCUCCAUGUGGUUGGUAUUCUAGAUAUGGUUUUAAUCUUUGACCAUUAACUUUAAACGUGACACCGUUCUUUGGGUCCUUAAUUUCAAUUGCCCUAUGUGGAAAAAUAGUAUGAACAAUAAAUGGGCCAGACCAACGAGAGCGUAACUUACCUGGGAAUAGGUGCAAACGAGAAUUGAAUAAAAGCACUUUCUGACCUGGAGUGAAAGAUUUUCUCAUAAUUUGCUUGUCAUGGAAGGCUUUCAUUCGUUGCUUGUAAAUCUUGGCAUUUUCGUACGCGUCAUUGCGAAUUUCUUCAAGUUCUGCCAGCUGUAAUCUUCUUUCUGAGCUGGCUUGCUGCAUGUCAAAAUUGAAUUUCUUGAUGGCCCAAUAUGCACGAUGCUCGAGUUCCACAGGUAGGUGGCAAGCUUUUCCAUACACUAGCCUGUAGGGUGACAUCCCAAUCGGGGUCUUGAAAGCCGUUCUAUAUGCCCAUAAUGCACCAUCAAGUCUUAAUGACCAAUCUUUCCUGUCUGGCCUCACUGUCUUUUCUAAUAUGUGCUUUAUUUCUCGAUUGGAAAUCUCAACUUGGGCACUGGUUUGCGGAUGAUACGGGGUCGCCACUUUGUGUGUGAUUGAAUACUUUGUCAAAAGAGCCUUGAAUGGUUUGUUACAAAAGUGGGCACCACCAUCACUGAUUAUUGCUCGAGGGAAUCCAAAGCGCGAAACAAUGUUGCUUUUCAAAAAUCCUAUCACCACCUUGUGAUCAUUGGUCCUACAUGAAAUUGCUUCUACCCAUUUCGAUAUGUAGUCAACAGCAACCAAUAUGUAUUGAUGGCCAAAAGAAUGGGGAAAGGGUCCCAUGAAGUCGAUACCCCAUACAUCAAAAAUCUCAACCACUAAAAUUGGAUUUAGUGGCAUCAUGUUCCUUCGUGUAAUGCUCCCCAUUCGUUGACACCUAUCACAUGAAGAACAAAAAGUGUAAGCAUCUUGAAAUAUAGUUGGCCAAUAAAAACCACAUUGUAAAACUUUAGUUGCUGUUUUCUUAGCACUGAAAUGGCCUCCACAAGCUUGUUCAUGGCAGAAUGAAAGAAUAUUCUGAAUUUCAUUUUCUGGGACAUAUCGUCUAACAAUUUGGUCUGCACAAUACUUGAACAAAUACGGGUCAUCCCAAAAGAAAUUCUUUAUCUCUGCAAAUAAUUUAGCCUUAUCUUGCUUGGUCCAAUGCUCUGGAAGUUUACCUGUAACAAGAUAAUUAACUAUAUCACCAUACCAAGGCAAUACUUCCGCACUCAUUAAUUGUUCAUCUGGAAAUGACUCAUUCAAUAUUAAUGGCUCUGUAAUUGUGUCAAAAUGGAGACGAGAGAGGUGGUCCGCCACAACAUUUUCUGUCCCUUUCUUAUCUUUGAAUUCCAAGUCAAAUUCCUGCAAAAGUAACACCCAAUGAAUUAGUCUGGCUUUUGCAUAUUUCUUUAUGAGAAGAUAUUUAAGAGCAGCAUGAUCCGUGAAUAUAAUUAUUUUACAACCAAUGAGAUAGGAUCGAAAUUUUUCCAAUGCAAACACUACUGCUAGCAUUUCUUUUUCAGUAGUUGAAUAAUUCAACUGGGCAUCAUUUAAUGUCAUACUAGCAUAGUAAAUAACGUGGGGAAUUCGAUCAACUCUUUGUCCUAAUACUGCUCCUACUGCAUAAUCAGAUGCAUCACACAUGAGCUCAAAUGGUAAGUUCCAGUUCGGGGACUGAAUGAUGGGUGAUGAUGUCAAUAAAUGCUUUAAUUUUUCAAACGCAACAAGACAUGAAUCAUCAAAGACAAAAGGUACAUCCUUAGCAAGUAGAUUGCAUAAGGGUCUAGAAACUUUGCUAAAAUCUUUAAUGAAACGUCUAUAGAAACCAGCAUGCCCAAGGAAAGAUCUUACUUCUCUGACUAUUUUGGGUGGAGGAAGAUUAGAAAUGAGAUCCACUUUAGCUUUGUCAACCUCAAUACCAUUGCUCGAAAUAAUGUGACCAAGAACAAUACCUUGUUUUACCAUAAAAUGGCACUUCUCCCAAUUUAAGAUCAAGUUCUUCUCAAUACAUCUCUGCAGAACUAGUGUUAGAUGAUGUAAACAUUGAUCAAACGAAUCACCAAAGACAGAAAAGUCAUCCAUAAAGACUUCAAGGAAUCGUUCAACCAUAUCAGAAAAAAUGCUCAACAUGCAUCGUUGAAAUGUAGCAGGUGCAUUACAUAAUCCAAAUGGCAUUCUCCUAUAUGCAAAAGUGCCAAAAGGGCAAGUGAAAGUGGUUUUCUCCUGAUCUUUUGGUGCUAUGGGGAUCUGAUUAUAUCCUGAGUAGCCAUCUAAAAAGCAAUAAAAUUCAUGACCUGCUAAUCUAUCAAGCAUUUGAUCAAUAAAUGGUAAAGGAAAAUGGUCUUUACGUGUGACAGAAUUCAACUUUCUAUAAUCAAUGCAUACACGCCAUUCUGUAGUUACUCUAGUUGGUAUCAAUUCAUUAUCAGCAUUCAUAACUACUGUGACUCCUGACUUUUUAGGGACAACUUGUACAGGACUGACCCAUGAACUAUCAGAAAUUGGGUAAAUGAUACCUGCGUCUAAUAGCUUAAGGACUUCAGUUCUAACAACUUCUUUCAUAUUAGGAUUUAACCGACGUUGCAUUUCCCUAGUAGAUUUAGCAUUUUCAUCGAGGUGAAUGUAAUGCAUGCAGUCUACUGGGUUUAUACCUUUCAUGUCUGCUAUAGUCCAUCCUAAUGCUCCUUUGUGCUCUUUUAAAACAUCCAACAACUUACCUUUUUGUUCGUCAUUGAGGGAUGAUGAGAUGAUUACCGGCAGAGUGCUUUCUUCUCCCAAAAAUGCAUAUUCCAGAGUGUUGGGUAAUGGUUUGAGCUCGAGUUUCGGUGGUGAUUCUGAUGAUGGGAUGAGUUUCUUCUCUGAUGGUGCUAGUUGUUCAACUCUUGACUUCCAUUUAUUAGUGUCCAUGGAUGGUGCUAAGUCAAGUAGGGCAUUGACCUCAUCGACCGAUCUGUUAAUAUUAAAAUCAAAACCAAAGUGAGUUAAACAUGUUUGUAAAGGAUCAUCACUAAGGUUUGAAAGAAAAGUGUUAUCAACUAUUGUUUCAAUUAAAUCCACAUCAAUAAUUCCAUCAUCUGCAUUGUGAGGUUGUUUGGCAAUGUUGAAGAUGUUCAGUUCCAUAGUCAUAUUGCCGAAGGACAACUGCAUAUUUCCAGUUCUGCAUUGAAUGUGAGCAUCCGCAGUUGCCAAGAAAGGUCGGCCUAGGAUAAUGGGGAUGUGCUUCCUUGAAUCCUGUAUUGGUUGAGUGUCAAUUACAAUGAAAUCAACAGGAAAAUAGAACUUGUCUACCUGGAUAAGCACGUCCUCCACAAUACCACGAGGUAUUUUUGUGGACCAAUCUGCAAGUUGUAACACCAAUGGAGUUGGGUGUAAUUCUCUCAAUCCAAGUUUCACGAAUACUGAAUAAGGCAACAGAUUUACACUAGCUCCUAAAUCCAACAAAGCAUUCUCAAUUGUGUGGUUCCCUAUACUGCAUGAGAUAGUGGGGGAGCCUGGGUUUUUGCAUUUUAAAGGAAUUUUAUGUUGGAGUAUAGAACUAACGUUUUCUGUUAAAAAUGCCUUCUUUUGAACAUGUAUAUUUCUCUUUUUAGUACAAAGGUCUUUAAGAAACUUGGCAUAAGAUGGAACUUGUUUAAUAGCAUCAAGCAAAAGGAUGUUAACACUUACCUGUUUGAAGAUUUCAAGAAUCUCACCUGUGGAUUUUCCCUUUUUUCCUUUAGCUAAUCUCUGAGGAAAUGGAGCUUUGGGAACAUAUUCCCGUGGGUUGGUUUUUUCUUUCUCCUCCGGUGAUGAGUCCUCAAGACUCACAUGUACAAUUUGAUUUUCUUUUGUCACCGACAUCUCCACUUUGUUGUCGACUUCUUUUCCUUUUCUCAAGGUCAUAACUGCUUUGACUUCUCCAUGCUGUUGUAGUGAACUGGUACUUGCUUCAUGCACUCCUUUAGGAUUAGGCACUGGUUGACUUAGAAAUUUACCUUUCCCAACAGUCAUUGCCAAGGUCUGAACUGAAGAAGCCAGUUGUCCCACCAUCUUCUCGAGGCUUGAAACUGAUUGGGCUUAUGAGUUGAAGCCCGCUCUCAAUUCAUUUCGUAGUCCAUCAAUGGUGCGGUUCUGUUGCUCAAUCGUGGAGUGAAUAACAUUCUUGAAAUUCUGGAAUGCAUCCUCCCAUGGUCUGGGUUGAGAGUAGUUCUGGUUUUGAUUGUAUGGACUAAAUGGGGGCUGAGAGGCUUAAGGAUUUUGUGGAAUUUGUUGCAUUGGUGUAGCUGGAGCUGCUGGUCCAUUCUGUUGGAAUCCUUGAGACCAUGAAAAAUUAGGGUGGUCUCUCCAUCCAGGGUUAUAUGUGUUGGAGUAUGGGUUGUAAUUUGAUGGCUUUCUCAUUACACCUAUGGCAUUGGCUUGAUCUGAGUAUAAGUCAUGGUCAUGUGGCUCUGUUGAUUUAGCAGUCGAUAACGAUGCUAUUUGUCGAGCAAGACCUUCAACCAUCUCCUUGACUUCUUUGAUUCCCGAAGUUGACUCGCCAAUUUGAACCUCAUUCACUCCUUUAAUUCUUCUAGUAUUCCGGAGUGAUCGACUCCGUUGUUGGGAAUUAUCCGCUUGUCGUUGAAAGAAUUCCCAAAUCUCUGAUGCACUUUUUGACAUUAGCUCUCCUCCACUUGUUGCCAUUAGCCAUUCCUGCACAUUCGGCAAUAAUCCCUCCAAAAAGUAUUGGCAUUGGUGCCAUUUCUCGUACCUAUGAUGUGGACACUUCAAGAGUAGCCAAUUGAAUCGUUCCCACGUUUCGAAAAACUACUCGUCUUCUCUCUGUGUAAACUCUGAAAUUUCCCUGCGAAUAGCAUUGGUUUUAUGCACUGGGAAAUAUUUAUUCAAAAAUUUUGUAACCAUUUGUUCCCAUGAUGUGAUGCUAUUAGCAGGCAAAGUAUUUAACCAUGAACGAGCUCUAUCCUUUAAAGAAAAUGAGAAUAAUCUGAGUUUAACAUCAUCGUUUGAAAAAUUUUCAUAUUUAAAAGUUUGACAAAUUGCAUGAAAAUCAUUCAGAUGAUUAUAUGGGUCCUCAUUUUCUAGGCCAUAAAAUGUUGGGAGACAAUUUAGCACACUGGGUUUUAAUUCAAAACUUCUAGCAGCUACAUUUGGGUAUCUUAUGCAUGAUGUGCUCAAAUUAGCUAAGGGACUAAAAUAGUCCUUAAAUGGCCUCUCUUGUGGUGCUUGUAAAUCCAUUCCAAUUUUAUUUUUAAUGUGCUUUUGUGUGCGAAGUAUUUUUCAAGUUCAAGGUCUAUAGGUUCAAGAUUGGGUAAUAAUGACCUUCGACCAUGCAUGCAAAACAAAUAAAAUAAAAAAUAAAGAUGGGAACAAAAUAAAUAAAAAUAAAGAAAAAGAAGAAAUUACGAUACUAACCUUAUUGCGCUAUUACAACCUUUCUAUAAAAAUACACAAAAAUAAAUACGUGAAAUAAAUUAACUAAAAAUUAAAUUAAUUAAAUAAAAAAAUUACAAAGAAAAAUAAAUUGAAAAUUAAAUCACAGAAUUUUAAAGAAGAGAAAAAGAAAAGAAAUACUAACCUUUAAAUGUAGAUUCACUUUUUUUUUCUUUUUUUUUAAUAAAAAUAAAAAAAUACAAGAAAACAAAUAAAAGAAAUUAUUCACAAAAAUUAAUUCUAUGAAUUAAAAGUACUUACCUCCCCGGCAACGGCGCCAAAAACUUAUUGUGCAAAUUUUAAUGAACUCGCAAGCACACGAAUCUAUUGUAGUAUAGACUAAUGGUGACGAGUGUCGAUCCCAUGAGGAGGUGGAUUUUAAUUAUAUAUAGAAUUAAUUUUGUAAAUGGGUGGUUGGAAUUGUGGUGGAAGUGAUUUAAAUUAUCCUAAAAUUGGAAUUGAAAUGGCGAUAAUAAAUUCUAAAAUUAGACUUGCAAUGGCGAGAAUAAAUUGAAGAGAAAUCUAUUGAAAUGACGUACUUGAGUAUCUGGAUCCGUAUCAACAUGCAUCAUGGGCUAAAUAUUCCUUAUUAAUGCCAAUUAAAUCAUGAGGGGGGAAUCCACACCUCAUGAACCACGCUCUAAUCAAUAUGGUGAUAAGGGCUUAUCGUGCCAAAUAAUAAUAACCUUGUACUAGAGGGCCGGUGAAACCAAGGCGGUACUAGACAAGAUUAGUAUUAUUUGUCGACGAGAAGUCAAAACAUCCACAAAAACUAGAGGGGAAGAGAAAAUAAAUUUACCAAAUUAAGCCCAUGACACAUGUUGAGACUUCACCUUCAACCCAAGCUUGAAAGAAAAUUAGCCACUCAUAAUUGAACUAGGGGCAAAAUGAGAAUUUAUUAAAAUACGAAGAAAAUACAAGAUAAAGAAGGAAUUACAGAAAAUAAAGUCCAAAAAUGGAUUCAGCGAUAUCAAAUUAGGAGGGGGAGGCCCCCUUUUUAUAGAUACAUGGAGUAAAUUAUGGCCAUCGGAUUAAAAACAGUUUGGACGCUCAGGAUUACGCCACGUCAUCAGUCAACAGUCCACGGUUUGACCACGUGGAUGAACAGUAAUACGGUUUGACUCGGAUGAACAGUAACGCGGUUUGACUCGGAUGAACAGUAACGCGGUUUUGUUGAAAAUAAUCCUGUGUGAUGCAUGUACCGUACGCGAGAUUUUUCGUCCACUGAUAUGCUGCCACGUCACCAUCAACAGUACAUAAGAAUUUUAGCCCAACAGGAUCGUGACACCUCAUCAGUCAAUGCCACAUCAUCGGUCAAUGCCACAUCAUCAUCCGUCUAUGUGAACAGUGUCGUGAACAGUAACGUAUAUACAGUACCGUACACGUGAAUAGUACCGUACAUGUGAUCAGUGCCAUUUUUCUUUUUAUGCUUCUCCUAAGGUUUUCGACCGUCCUGAGUUCAAAAGUGAUGUCCGUUUUGCCAUCUGAUUUCUCGUUUAUUGUGAAAUGACUAUGAUGCCCCUAAAAUACAUAAAAUACUUAAUUAAAAUAAAACACAUGUAAUUAAAUCACAAGAAAGUUAAAUACAUAAAAGUAAGGGUUGUUAAUAAGACUUGAAAUGUAAAAUGACAGUUUUCUCCUUUAUAAAUAUACAUUUUCUAACACUCAACACCUAUCCUGUAAAUACAAAAGUAAAUUUAGUAAAUUAAUGAGGAACUGUGUAUGUGUGAAAUUAAAAAUAGUGCUUUUGAUUUGUAAUCAUAUCUUUUAUAGGAUAUAUUCAUUGUCUACAUAUUUUAAUUUAUGUGUAGAAAAUUAGAUAUAUUCAAUGUCUAAUCUGAUUCUACACAAAGACUAAUGCCCCAAGAUUGUGUAGGGGUGUUCAUAAUCCAAUCCGAUCCGCUCAAUCCGUCUGAUCCGUGAAAAUCCGAUCCGUGGAUCCGUGAAUUGGAUAUGGAUUGAAAAUUUAAAAAUCCGCAGUCGAUGGAUUGGAUAUGGAUUUACUUCUAUAAAUCCGUAAAAAUCCGUGAAUCCGCAAAAUAUAUAUAUAUAUAUAUAUAUAUAUACAUUUAUUUAGUUAAAAAAUUAUUAUAAAUUUAAUUAAAGAAUAUUAUAAAUGUGACAUUACAUAGUUACAUAAGCACUAUAAUAUGUCUUAGCUAUUACCCAAUAAUAAUAUUAAAUAAUUAAAUAAUCAAAUAUACAAAUAUAACUUGUAAAAAUUGUAAAACAAAAUAAAAGCAAAGUCACACGCACUAGCAAAAACAAAGUAACAUAACGCCAAGUUACCAACAAUUUGCAAAGUCACCCAAAAGCAAAGUAACAUAACACCAAGUCACCAACAAUUUGCAAAUAAAAAACCUUAAGCUUCCUUGUUGUCACAUGCAAUAGCAACACUCAAUACUGGUUCGAUACACUCUCGACACUGAUUUGAAGGACGUCGGCCGCACGAUUCCAGCAAGAGCAAGCCAUCUUCUUCCCCGAGCCCAUCGAGCCACUUCACAAUCACUGGUUCCAGCCAAACAAUUGCACUAUCACAACCUUCAAGAUCAUCACCCGUACUUCUCCUAGUUCCAAUAGUUGACGGCUCCAUAAUCACCACUUUUCGACAAGUAUAACAGCCCUGGUGAAGGAUCAUACUGUGUUUGGUUUCAGAAACUUCACCAUUUCAAUUAAUUGUGACUUUAUUUGAAUAAUUAAUUUCGGUGUUAUAUUAAUGUAUUAUUGUAACUUUAUUUGAACAAUUAAUCUCGAUGUACUAUAUUUUGAAACUUUGAAUGUAUUAUUUUAGUUUUAUUUAAAUAAUUAAUUUGUUUAAAAUUUAUUCAAUUUUAAAUUUAAUUGGUAAUAAAAUUAUUUUUAUAUUAGAUUUUUUUUUUAAUUUCAUUAGUUCAUGGAUUGGGGAGAACUAAAAAUUUUUAAUUCGGAAGCUAAUGCGUAAAAUGGUGGAUUGGAUAUGGAUUAAGUUAAAUCCGCAUCCGAUCCGCAUACGUAUGGAUUGGAUAUGGAUUGAGUCAAAUCCGCAUCCGAUCUGCAGACGUAUGAAUUGGAUUUGGAUUGAGUUUAAUCAAUCUGUGGAUUGGAUUGGAUUGAAAAAUUAUAAUCCGCAAAAUUGUGGAUCGGAUAUGGAUUGAUGUCCAAUCCGUAAAAUCUGAUCCGCGAACAUCCCUAAGAUUGUGAUUGAAAUGCUAUAAGCAACUUAUUUUAUAAGUUUAGAUAAAAAUGAAGUUUGAUGGCUUUGUUAAAAGUUGCUUCUUUUAUAAUUUUCUCUAUUUUGACUGUAACUUUUAAAAACAGAACAAACAUUAUUUUUAUAAGCAACUUAUUAAACAAGUUGCUAUAUCUUUUUAAAUAUUCAUAUUAUAACCUUAAUAUUUUAAGAAAAGAAUAAUUAUAUCUUACUUUUCUAUAAGCUCUAAUAUAUAAAUAAAAGACAAUUUAAACUCAUGUUUAUUUUAGUCAUUAAAUAAUACAGCACAUUCAUAGUCAAAUUUACUAAACAUGAGCAAGAUACUUUUUUAAUCAUCAACUUAUUUCGUUCUCACAAUAGAAAUAACUUAUUUUAUCAUCCACUGCCAUCCUAAACUUGAUGUUAAGUCACGUUUGGGAUUGCAUUAGAUUGUCAAAUAAUCUAGAGAAAUAGCUAUUAAGGACGAAGAAUAGGAAGAGGUUCGCCAUAAGCAAUAUACUCGCAAGCUUGGCUACUAAUAAACAGAGCAUACAAGCUUAAACACCUAAUAUAUAUAUAUAUAUAUAUAUAUAGUAGUUUUUUGGCACAGGAUCUUAAAGUGCGGGAAACAUUAGGAAAAACUUUAAAACCGCGGGGUUUUAAAGGCUUAAUACUUAAAGCACUUAAACUGCACGGUUUAUGCGUUUUCCCAGACGUUCCCACACUUUAAAAUUCUAAAUUAGAAUAUUUUUAUGUGUGUGUGUGUGUGUGUGUGGAGGGCAAAUCUUUAACUACCUCCGGCUUAAAGGACCUAUACAGUAACUCUUAAAUCAAAGAGAGAAAAUAGUUAAUUCAAUCUGAUUGAAUAUGAAUUGAUAUUCACCAUAUGAUAAUUACAUAAAGAUUGAGCCUUAAGUGUUUUACAUUAAGUAAUACUGCACUGCACACUUGUUCUACACAUUUAGACAACCCAGAUUAAGAAUAAUGAAAAUGAACUCUUAAACUAGCUAGGUGCUCUAUUAUUUAUCUUUGCUCCAUAAAUAUUAGAAAGAUAGAGGAGAGGAAGAAAAAGAAAAGACUAAUUUUGCAGUCCCAAUUUAAUCUUAUGCUCUGAUUUUGAAGCAAAUCUGCAGAGUAUUUAAGGAUCCAAUCAUGAACCAUGUCCACUUCAAUCUUUCGCUGCAUUACUAACCCCUCUGGAUCAUCUUCUGUUGCUGGCUGUAUGUCUAAGCAAUGGGAACCUGCUCUAAUUUACACAUUAUUAAUUAUGUUAUCCAAUAAUUUAGUUAAUAAUUGAACACUAAUUUUUUAUUUUAUAGAAAAAUUUACAUACUGUUUCUUAUUGUCACUGCUAUUAUAUUGUCUGAUAUCUUCCAAAACCCUAUAAUCUCCCCCCCACCAAAAAAAAAGAAGAAAAAGAAUAAGGCAUAUAAUUAAACGGGUAACUUCGAUAGAAAAGAGUGUACAAAAUUUUUAAGCUUAAUUAAUUACCCAGCGCUGCUAUAGGGAUCACGAAAGCCAUUAGAGAAAAUAAGGCUGCUACCAAAUCUCUUUACAACCACUCUUAUACCCUGCAAAUUAAAAAGAAAUAAAAAUCGAACAAAAAUUGAGAUAAAAUUUAUAAUUAAAAAAGAAAAUGAAAAAAAUUAAAUUAUUAAAAGAAUUAAUUUGGGGAUUAAUUGACACUUACAUGACUACCGUAAUAAGUUGUAAUCCAAUGUGGUAUUGGAGCCACUCCAUAAGACUUAUUGCAUGAAUUCAUAUAUUCUAUCGUCUGCUUGAAAAUUGUAUUAUUUUUUUCAAUUCCAAUUGAUGAGACCAUUUCACUGCAUGUCUGCAUGAGAAAUCCCCCCCUCCCAAAACAAAAAAAAAAAUCAUAAUAAAUAAAUAACUAAAUAAAGGAGAAAACUAUUUUUAAUCAUUCAUAAAUAUGUAGUCUCAUAAAUAAAAUUAAAAGAUGUACAUAAAAUAGGUAUUGUUAGCUAGGUGAGAGAUUCAUUCAUCGCAACAUGUUGUUUGUUUGACGAUCUCAAUAGAAGUAUCUAAUGAAAUCAUGUCACCCGUAAUCACAUACCUGCCAGCCUCAGCUCGAGUCUAGUGUUUCAUCGGAUAAGAAUUCAUCAACAUCAUGGCAAGAAUUCUCCCAUCUUAAAGCAACAAUUCCUGAGAAUAUCCGGCCUAGGGUAUCCGUGCCUUCUGAAGCUCCAUGGAUACCUUCACAAGCUUUGCUCACUGGAUAUUCCUGAGGAUCAUCAUACUGAGCUGCACCCGUAUACAUACACUCUAAAUAAUCCUUCAAUUCUGAAACAUCCUUCAGAGGCUUGUAAUCAAAUAAACAACAACAACAUAGAAUUAAGUGCCACAAGGUUAGUAACAUUAUAAAAGAUCUUUCAACAAGCCGUCUAAAACAUGUUGUUAUAUUUAGUUAGAUUACAAUAAACUUUAUAAGUAUGAAGCUAUUGAUAUUAUCAAAUGCAAACGUACAAAUUUGGCCUUAUUUGAUAAUCAGAGUUGUGCGUGGUUUUGUAGUUCAAAUUUAGAUUCUGUAAGAUACGAACCUUUGGAGGCCUGAAUCUAAGCACCAGUAUACUAUAUAUAUAUGGUAAUGCAAAGGCCGUGUAUAAGCCCAAAUCCAGAUUUUUACUUUGUAUAUUACACGUUAAUCGAAAUGUAUAUAUACUCUGAGGAUGACAGAUAAUUAAUUAGACAUAGUAUAUUCGAUAAUGAUGCUACAAUAACAUUGCAUUAAUUGUAAUUAAGGGAAAAUCGGAUGGAUAUAUAUAAGCAGUUAUGUAAAGUAAUAUGAUUACUUUCUUGCAGGUUUUGAACUUUUUAGAGAGAAAAGCAAGUCCAUUUUUUCUAGCAGCGGUUUUAUCCAUUUCAGCCCAGGACUGUUUGAUGGUCAUGUAGCAGCUCUCCCUGGCUUCUUGCAUCAUUAAUUUUCAAAAUUUAAUGGAUUAAUUUUCAAAAUUUAAUGGUUAAAUUUUAACAAGAAAACACAAUCAUACAUAUAUAGAAUUUUAAUUAAUUAAUUUUAUUUCUUACCUUAAAGUCAUUGGUGACAAGAUCAUAAUAUGUGUUUGAGUGUGUGAUAUUAUCAAAAUAGAUAAUUGGGGCGGACGACGCAACUACUCCCAAAGCACUGUAAGAUGGUUAUUUUUUAAAACGUAAUUAUCUUAAAUAUAUUUAUUAUUUCUUAGUUUUACGAUUGCUGAAAGUAUUCAUUAAUUGGAAUGCAAAAUAAAUUUGUAUCAAAAUAAUAUUGGCGUAAUCAAUAUUUUGGUCAAACGAGAUCAAAAUGAAUAAAAUGAUGCAAUAAAUGACACGACAUUAAUCAAAAGAUGUAAGUAACUUAAUAAUAUUAAAAUUUACUUCCUCCAUAAGAUGCUGUCAAAUAAAGUGGCCAUUUAGAUGGUCUAAAGCAGCCAUCUAGAUGAUCAACAACAAUUUUGUUCAAAGAAGACGAAGAAUUUUGCAGCAAGUUUGAAAGAAAAAGAAGCACACGGCUUUAACAUUUGAAAGAAGAAAAAGAAGGUAAAAAAUAAUAUAGAAUUGAUGAAUAGUGCCAAAGCUUUCUCUAUAAAUAGAAACGAAGAGAAUGGGCAAAUGCAUUCCAUUUAGAAAGCAAUUUAGGGAGUUGAGAGAGAGUUCAAGAGCUUGCAUUUAUAAGUUCUUGUUACAGUGAUUGAGAGAGUUUGGGUGUAUUGGGGUUUUUGGGAAGUGAGCUAAAAUACUACAAUACUUGUAACUCUUUUUCACUAGUAAAAUAUUUCCUUCUGUCUUCGCCCGUGGAUGUAGGCUAAAAGCCGAACCACGUAAUUUUUGGUGUCCUCUAUUGUACUUGUUCUUUAUUUUCCUUCUAAUUUCAUUUUAGCUGCGGUCUUACUUCACCCUCCAAUCCUAACAGUGGUAUCAGAGCUAUUGGUUGUAUUUUUUAGAGUCAGGAACUGUUCACGUAAGGGGUACUAUUCACAUAUACGGUACUGUACACAUAUACAAUACUAUUCACGUAUACGGUACUAUUCACGUGAAACGGUGGAAGUGAUCCAAGAAUUUUGUGGUGCAAAGCAGGAAAUAGUGGUGUGAGUAAAGCAACUGUGUGAUUUUGUACAUGUCUAGGAAAGUUCUGUCACAAAGGCGAUAAGAGCUUAAGGAGUCUGGGUUUUAAGUGGGACCAUUGUGACCCCUCCAGUCUUUCCUGGGAACUUUCCUGGUGUGCAUUCUCACACAUACUCACAACUAUUCAAGGUGGUACACUAACUUGUGUGCAAUAUUUAUCAACAAAAUGGUGGCAAAGUAUGAAAUUGAGAAGUUUAACGGAAAUAAUUUUUCGUUGUGGAAAAUAAAGAUGAAAGCUGUAUUGAGGAAAAAUAAUUGUUUGGCAGCAAUUGGAGAAAGGCCCAUGGAGAUAACUGAUGACAAGUGGAACGAGGUAGACGGCAACGCCAUUUCUGAUCUACACUUGGCACUUGCGGAUGGAGUAUUAUCCAGUGUGGCAGAGAAAAAUACGGCGAAGGAAAUAUGGGAUACUCUCACAAAAUUAUACGAGGCCAAGUCACUACACAACAAAAUCUUCUUGAAAAGAAAACUCUAUACUCUUCGAAUGGCGGAAUCUACAAUGGUGACCGACCACAUCAACACAUUGAAGACUCUAUUUUGGGUCAUAAUAUAGAGGAAAAUGAGCGUGUAGAGCUUCUAUUUCAAAGUCUACCAGAUUCGUAUGAUCAACUCAUCAUCAACCUGAUGAACAACAAUCCAGUGGAGAGUCUAGUUUUCGACGAUGUUGCAGCCUCCGUAUUAAAUGAGGAGAGCAGGCGGAAAAAUAAGGAAAACAGACAAGCAAGUUCGCAGCAAGCGGAGGCGCUAUCGGUGACGAGAGGGAGAUCAACAGAACGUGGCCCCAGUAGGAGUCAAAAUUAUGGUAUAUCAAAAUCCAGAAGUAAGAAGAAUGUUAAAUGCUACAACUGUGGCAGGAAAGGGCACGUCAAGAAAGAGUGUUGGAGUAACCAGAAGAGAAGAGAUGGUAAAAAACAUGAGUCAUCAAAUGCUCAGGGGUGUGUAGCAAGUACCUCGGAUGAUGGCGAAAUACUCUACAGCGAGGCAAUAACUGUUUCAGAAGGCAGAAAACGACUAUCUGAUGUCUGGCUUAUAGACUCAGGAGCUACCUGGCACAUGACCUCUCGGAGAGAAUGGUUCCACACAUAUGAACCUAUCUCAGGAGGAUCUGUAUAUAUGGGUAAUGAUCAUGCCUUGGAGAUCGUUGGUAUUGGUACUAUCAAAAUUAAAAUGUUUGAUGGUACAAUUCGCACAAUUGGAGAGGUACGACAUGUCAAUGGCCUGAAGAAAAAUCUAUUGUCUUUGGGACAAAUGGAUAGUCAUGGGUACAAGACUCAUGUGGAGAAUGGAAUUAUGAAGAUCGUUAAAGGCGCGCUUGUAUUGAUGAAGGCAGAAAAGAUCGGUGCUAAUCUAUUCAUGCUUAAAGGAGAAACACUAUAGGAGGCUGAUGCGUGUGUCGCGUCAAAUGGAGAAGAGUCAACGAUGAUGUGGCAUCUCAAACUUGGUCACAUGUCAGAACAAGGUUUGAAGAUUCUCUCUGAGCGAAAAUUACUUCUGGGGCUCAAAUCGGUAAGUUUACCAUUUUGCGAGCAUUGUGUUACAAGUAAGCAGCAUAUAUUAAAAUUCAGUAGAUCUAUUGCUAGAAGUAAAUGCAUUCUAGACUUGAUUCAUUCUGAUGUUUGGGAAUCACCGGAUAUAUCCAUGGGAGGUGCAAAGUACAUGGUGACUUUCAUUGAUGAUUAUUCCAGAAGAUGUUGGGUGUAUCCAAUUAAGAAAAAGUCAGAUGUAUUUCUAGUGUUUAAAGAAUACAAAGCGCGGGUGGUGACACAACUUAAAAGUAAAUUUUAACUCCCAAGUAUAAGAGUGUCUUGUUGUAUUAUAACUCGGUGAGUCCGAGGUCGAUCCACAGAGAAAAGAUUUAAUUAGUUUAUUUUAUUUUAUCUAAAAAUUGAAAUUAAAACUUGAAUAUAAACAACUUAAUUUAAAUGAAACUAUGGAAUUGAACUAGUUAGGGUUAUGGAUCCACUCUUAGAAAUAAAUAAAACUUAAUAAAUUCUUUUUGCCAAUUUAUUUUAGAUUUAUUACCCAAAAGAUUAAUUAUACAAAUUAUUAUUAUUUUCCCUUUAAUUUUAUGAUGGAUUAAGUAUUUAUUGUGCCAAAAUUUAAUUUGUCUACAAUAAGGCAAAAUACCAUUUCACCAUGCCUUAUAUUAAGAUCUUAAGAAUUUAUUGUGCCAAAUUCAUUUGUUUGUCUACAAUAAAUCAAAAUUUCAAAAUAUAAAACAUGUAUAAAAUUAAAUAGAAAAUAAUUUAAUUUAUAAAAUUAAACAUAGAAUUUGAUUAAAUCAUAUUUAUUUCUUAAGAGUUUCACCUUCCCCUAACUAAUAUUAUUUAGUUAAGCAUAAUUAAAAUAAAAAGUAGUAAAAUUGAAUUACUUGUAAUUAAAAGAAAUAAAAACAACUAAAAUUGGAAAUAAAACUAAUUUUAUUAAUGAAAAUAAUUAUACAAAAUAUUAAAAACACACCUGGAAAUCAAGAUUACAAGGAGAUGGAGAGAAUUUGAGAAGAAGAGAGUUGUAGAGAGAUGAUUAAAACAUAAAAAUGAGGCCUUAUUUAUAGAAAAAUAAAUUCAUAAUCCAGUGCUUUGUGGUCCAUCAUAGGCUUCAUGCAUGUGCUCCUCACAACCCUUAGAUCAAGAUCCAAUGGCUGGUCAAACUUCAAAAGUCAACAUCACACAUGGCAUCAUUUGACUCGUCCGAUUUGCCCAAAGAACGGUUGAGAUUUGGCGGGUUAAUGGGUGGAUCGGGUCGACCCGAAUACAAAGAUUCGGAUCCUCCAACUUGCUUCACCAACCAUUGCCACGUGGCACAAUCAUGGCCAUUGAAUGAUGAACGGUUGAGAUUUAGUCAAGAUUGCCAGUUAUCCCAUGCACUCAUAUCUAUUGUAAGCUCAUUUCAUCAUCCAAUCAGUGCUCGGUCAACAGGAAAAGUCAACUUUUUUUACACAAGCCCAAUUUUAAGCCGAUCUUGACUGAUCUUAAGGUUUUCGGACCUCCGGAAUCCAAAUUUGACCUCCGUUUAUUUGUUUGGAGCCUCGAAGUACGUGAAAUUAAUAAUUUUCCUAAUAAACACAUAAAAAUACACAAAAUUAAAUAUAUUUAAAACAUAAUUAAUAAUUCAUAAUAUAUUACAUAAACACAAAUAUAAAUUAUAACAUAAGCAUAAAAUAACAUAUUAUCGCUUGAUAACUAAACAAUUUUUAAUACUAAUCACACCCCCCAACCAGCUUAUUGCUAGCCCUCUAGCAAUUAAAGCGUUAUAUUAAGAUUUAUAAAAUUCACAUGCAAGUUAAUAGUUGUUCAUCUAUCCUCUAAAUUACCAAAUAAAUGAACUCUCCCAAAUUCCUUUACCACAUUGAUGUUCACUCAUUAUCCAGAAUAUCAUCAAACCUUCUUUUGUGCUCAAGUAAUUAACACAAUACUUAUGGGGCUUCAUUAAAAGAAAAACAACAUUUUCGUUCUAAAAUUCAUUAGAAAUUAUAUCUUUAGGCAAUAGAUUAUUCACACAUUUUUUUUUUAUAUUACAUUUCUAACCCGUUUAGCAAGCUUUAGGUCAGUGACUCCCAGACCAGUUGGCCUUAGGGCACUAGGUGUUGAAGCACCCCUACGGACUUAAUUACUCGGGUUUCUAAUAAACAAACAAUAUAUCUAUUACCCAUGUAGCGAGCUUUAGGCCAGUGACUCCCAGACCAGUUGACCUUAGGGCACUAGGUGUUGAAGCACCCCUACGGACUUAAUUACUCGGGUUUCUAGAUAUAACAAAAUUAAAAACAUUUUUUCUUCUUCUUUUUUUUUGAUUUUUUUUUUUUGGUUUUUUUGUUUUUUUGUUUUUGGAAAUAUACACUUUCUACUACCUUAGAUACUAUUCCUAAUAAAUCAAAAGAACUAAAUGCUGUAAAACUUUAACUUACAACCCACUAGUAUGUGUCAUAGUGUGUGUGUGAAGAAUGAUUCAAUAAUACCUGUUAAAUGAGUAAACAAUUAAAUAACUUAAUAACCAAGUGGAGAGUUCACAAAUUUGAGUAAUUCAAAGAAAAGGGAACAAAAACAACUUACUAUGAAUCUCAAAAUCAAAAUAUAAUACAACAAGACUAUUAGGAUGCGUCUCAAAAGUCGUGACUCUUUACACGGCCAUCCUAGACAAAAAACAAAUUUUUUUUUUUUUGGUUUUUUUUUUAACAAAGAAAAGAAAAGAGAAAAGAGAAAAACAACACACAUAUUUAAAAUAUACGUCAAUUAUCCCCACCCCACAACCUAAUCUAAACAUUAUCUUAACAUUUUAUAAUUUUACAGAUAUGCAAAAAAAUAAAAAUAAAAGAGAAUAAUAAAAGAAGAAGAAGAAGAGAUCUCACCUGAACUUGAUGCAGAAGCUUAAAAGCAAAUAACAAAGAUGAAGAAAGAGUCAAUUUUUUUUUUUAACAACACCCUUAAGAUUAAGAAGAUGCGUUUCUAGAGAGACUACAUUCUCUAUAUCCUGCCAUCUUCGACUCAAAUUUGUCCUAAGUUAGUCUUUACAGAAAAAAAAAUUUUUUUUUUUUUUGUUUUUUGUUUUUUUUUUUUUUUGUAAACACAUAACCAGGACUAAGACAUUCCACAAUUAUCAACUAUUCCCUCCCCCCAACCUGAAAAAGACAUUGUCCUCAAUGUUUUAAAAGGAAAGAGAAAGAGUGUAGAAGACAUCACAUGAACACUACAACAGAAAAUAUUUACAAACGGAGAGUUAAAUCUAAAUCGCACUUCUUAUUAUUGCUACUGUUACCGUUACCGUCAUUAGUCGACCAAUUCAGUGCAACAGUCUGUGGAUCUGGCUCUGGUGUAUAAGCUUGCAAAAGAUCAAGUAACUCAUUAGCAGUAGAAGCAGAGAUAAAUAGUUUUUUUACAGAAUGUGGAACAAAAUGAUUCUUUAUUGCAUGAUUAAUAAAAGUUAGCAAGCCGUCAUAAAAAUCAUUAACAUUUAACAAACCGAUGGGUUUUUGAUGAAUGUUCAAGUGGGCCCAAGAUGCAAAUGUAAUUAGUGCCUCAAAAGUUGCAAGAUCUCCUGGCAAGAAAAUAAAAGCAUCAGCAUGAUUCAUCAUUUCAGAUAUUCUCUCUUGCAUACUUGAUACCACUAAUUCUUCUCCAAUUGGUGGGCCAGACAUGCACACUAGCGGUUUCAUGGGUUUUGGGAUAAUGCCGAGUACUUGGCUUCCUCUGGUAAAAACAGCUUCUGAGACAAGUCUUGAUAACCCUCGUUCACCUCCUCCAUAUACAAGAUGCAGUUUCCUCUCUGCUAUGACACGACCAAGAUCUACAGCUGCCUGAACGAACUCUUUGUACUUUCCAUAGUGAAACCCAGAAAGCACACAAAUGUUUUUGAAUUGUUUACUCGAAGAUGAUGCCAUUGGACUAAUUUUUCAAAAACAAGUUGUGAGUGUUUGAAAAAUGAGCUCAUAUUUAAAGAUCUUGGUAACAUAAAUAAUGAGAAACAGCUGUAAAUGGGUUGGCAAUAUUUGUCAAAUGACGAGUAAAACUCGUGGCUCAAUAAUUCAAAAACAAACAGUAAAAAGAAAGUAAUGAUUAGAAAAAGCAAACAGUAAAAGAAAACCAAAUAUUUAUUAAAUACAAAAUCACAUCGCUAAAUGCAAUAAUGCAAAUGAUAAAAUAACAGUAAAGUAAAAUAACAGUGAAGUGAAAGGAUAUUUACUGGUAGUUGUGAUUGUGGCUCACAUCUUCCUCUGGUUUUACGUCCAGUAACGGCUUGAACGCCCUCUAUGGGUCGAGGAUCGGCUUCCCAUCCAGUUUUCUUAUAAACUGGCAAACAGGGUCUUUUUGAGUCAGAUUCCCAAGACUUAACUGUGCACUUUGUUUUUGGAAUAGUAUCCACAAAUUGUAAAUCUCACGUUGCACAAUUCCGCUUCGAUGCGUCUCAAGAGAUCGUAAGAUAUCAUCCAACGAUUCUUUACUCAUGCCAUCUUUAACGAAUUUAAUUUUAUCUUCACGAGUAUCAGAAACCAUUCCUAAAGAUUUACAAUCUGGUCGUUUGCAACCAAGUCUCACACAGUUAUGACAUUUUGAGCCAAGUCGUUUAGCUCUCCUUUUCUUAGCAAACGUACUUUUACCAAAACCAGGCAUGUAAGAAACAAAUUGACCAGAAAACUCACCUGCUAAUCGGACCUUUGCUUCAAUUAACCAACGAAUGUCAGAAGGAAUGCCAUUGAUCAUUAACAAACGCAGUCGUUCACAACGAGCUUUGUAAAUUUUCCUGAGGGCAUUCUGAGGGAGAGAGGGAAAAUGCUUAUGGAGUUUAUGUUGUAUUUCUUCCAUGUAUGAUUUUGGGGUUUCAGUUAUUGUGGGAAACUGAAGAUACCGACUUAAGAAGUCACGGAGUACCGUUAUCCGCCAUUUAUACGGGAAAAUAGAUCAAAACACACCAAAAUCAAAUCUGCAAAAUCAAAUCAAGCGUGAAAGCGAGUAAAAAGAAGCACACAAUAUAAAAGGAAAAUGAACUUACAUUCGUCCUCUCAUUGAGUUAACCUCAAGCUCCAUUUGAAAUUCAUAUAUGCCACUCUCUACUGUUCUGAGUUGUCCCUCUAGAUCCUCAACAUAGGACACGAAUUCUGGUGGUUGCAGAUCCCAAAGUGGAUGUGAUUUACAGCUUUGUAUCAGGCCUCUUAAGUGAAAUUUUAUACGCCGAAAUCUUUUAAGAUGUGCGAACAGGUAUUUUCUCAUUGAGGUGCUCAUGAUGUAAAAUGAAAAUUGAUGAGAGAAUGUACAACUGUCAAACAAACACGCUUACACAAGAAAAACAAUGUUAAAAAAAAAACUAUGUACAGUGCAUCAAUCUAAGGAAAAAAAAAAGUCAAACAAUGAAACGGUAAAAUAAUAGUAAAACAAAAAAAAAUCAUUAAAAACUUAAUCAAGAAUUGGUGGGUCAUCCAAAUUAAUUUCGGUGUCCUCGUCACGUGGGUGAUGUUCCAGAUAUGGUUUUAAUCUUUGACCAUUAACUUUAAAUGUGACACCAUUAUUUGGAUUCUCAAUUUCUAUGGCCCCAUAUGAAUAUACAUUUUUUACAACAAAUGGGCCACUCCAUUUUGACUUUAACUUUCCUGGAAAUAAAUGAAGACGAGAAUUAUAAAGCAACACUUUUUGACCAAUCUCAAAUGUUUUUCGAAAAAUUCUUUUAUCAUGAAAUGCUUUUGUUCUUGCCUUAAUAAUUCUUGAAUUUUCAUAUGCAUCAUUCCUUAAUUCCUCAAGUUCAUUCAAUUGCAAUUUUCGCACAUUACCAACAUCAACCAAAUUUGAAUUAAAAGCUUUAAUAGCCCAAAGUGAUUUAUGUUCAAGUUCAACAGGUAAAUGACAAGGUUUACCAUAAAUUAACCGAUAGGGUGACAUUCCUAAUGAUGUUUUAAAUGCAGUGCGGUAAGCCCAAAGUGCAUCAUUAAGUCUAAGAGACCAAUCUUUUCGGUUUGGGUUAACCGUUUUUUCCAAAAUUUGUUUUAUCUCCCUAUUUGCUAAUUCAACUUGACCAUUUGUUUGAGGAUGAUAAGGGGUAGCAAUUUUAUGUGUAAUUCCAUAUUUCUUCAUUAAAGACUCAAAUGACUUAUUACAAAAAUGCUUACCUCCAUCACUGAUAAUGGCUCGAGGGAUUCCAAAUCGACUUAAAAUGUUUUCUCUUAAAAAUUUAAUCACAGUUUUACUGUCAUUAUUUCGACAAGAAAUUACUUCAAUCCAUUUUGAGACAUAAUCAACUGCAACUAAUAUAUACACAAAUCCAAAAGAUGAUGGAAAUGGACCCAUGAAAUCAAUUCCCCAACAGUCAAAUAUUUCAAUUUCAAGUAUGGGAUUUAAGGGUAUCAUGUUUCUUUUUGUAAUUGAUCCCAAUUUUUGACAUUUUUCACAACUUUUGCAAAAUUCAUAUGUGUCUUUAAACAUGGUAGGCCAAUAAAAUCCACACUGCAAAAUUUUAGCAGUAGUUUUUCUUGAAGAAAAGUGACCACCACAUGCUUCAGAAUGACAAAAAUUAAUGACACUACUUACCUCAUUAUCAGGAAUACAUCGCCGAAAAAUUUGAUCUGGGCAAUAUUUGAACAAAUAAGGAUCAUCCCAAUAAAAUUUCUUUACUUCAACAAAAAAUUUCUUCUUCUCUUGAGCAUUCCAUUGCAAAGGCAUUUUACCUGUAACAAGAAAAUUAACAAUAUUAGCAUACCAUGGCAUUGAAGUAACAGAAAAUAAAAAUUCAUCAGGGAAAGAAUCAUUUAUGGGUGUUAUAUCAUUGCAGAAUUCGGAUGUGAGUCUUGAUAGAUGAUCAGCAACAACAUUUUCAGCACCCUUUUUAUCUUUGAUGGUAAGGUCAAAUUCUUGUAGUAACAAAAUCCAACGAAUUAAUCUCGGUUUGGCAUCCUGUUUACUCAUCAAAUAUCUCACAGCAGCAUGGUCAGUAAACACAAUAGAUUUAGAGCCAAGCAAAUAUGAACGGAAUUUGUUUAAUGCAAAUACCACAGCAAGUAAUUCUUUUUCAGUUGUAGAAUAAUUCAUUUGAGCACUAUCCAAAGUCUUGCUCGCAUAAUAAAUCACAAAAGGCUUACCAUCCCUUCUUUGUCCUAAAAUAGCACCAACAGCAAAAUCACUUGCAUCACACAUUAAUUCAAAUGGCAAAGACCAAUCAGGAGAUUGCAUAAUAGGUGCAGAUGUUAAAAGACAAAUUAUUUUUUCAAAAGAUUUUUGGCAAUCAUCAUUCCAUUCAAACGGUGCAUCUUUUAAUAAGAGGUUACAAAGUGGUUUAGAUAUGGCACUAAAGUUUUUUAUAAACCUCCUAUAAAAUCCUGCAUGUCCUAAAAAGGAUCGCACAUCUCUAACUGUUUUUGGUUGUGGCAAUUUAGAUAUGACUUCGAUUUUUGCUUUGUCAACUUCAAUUCCUUUAAUAGAAACAACAUGACCCAAAACAAUUCCAGAAGUAACCAUGUAGUGACAUUUUUCCCAAUUCAACACGAGUUCUUUUUCAACACAUCUUUUUAAAACUUUCUCCAAAUUAUCAAGGCAAUCAUCAAAAGAAUUCCCAAACACAGUCAAAUCAUCCAUAAAGACCUCUAAACAAUGUUCAACCAUAUCACAAAAAAUGCUUAACAUACAUCUUUGAAAUGUUGCAGGAGCAUUACAAAGCCCGAAUGGCAUUCUUUUAAAUGCAAAUGUUCCAAAAGGACAUGUGAAUGUGGUCUUUUCUUGGUCCUCAAGUGCUAUAGGAAUUUGAUAAUAACCUGAAUAUCCAUCUAAAAAACAGUAGUAGGGAUGUCCUGCUACUCUUUCUAAGAUUUGGUCAAGGAAUGGUAAUGGAAAAUGAUCUUUUCUAGUGGCUUCAUUUAAUUUUCUAUAAUCAAUGCACAUGCGCCAACUAGAUGUAAUUCGUGUUGGAAUUAAUUCUCCUUUUUCAUUUUUAACAACAGUGAUUCCAGAUUUUUUUGGCACUACUUGUGUAGGACUUACCCACUUACUAUCAGAAAUAGGGUAGAUAAUUCCCACAUCAAGUAAUUUAAGGACUUCUGUUUUGACUACCUCUUUCAUGUGUGGGUUUAAUCUUCUUUGAGGUUGUUGACAUAUUUUAGCAUUUUCUUCCAAAUUAAUUCUAUGUGUGCAGAUUAAGGGAUUAAUGCCUUUAAUGUCAUUUAAAGUCCAUCCUAUUGCAUUUUUAUGCUUUUUAAGAACAGUUAGUAACUUACCUUCUUGGUCGCUUGUUAAAGUAGAAGAAAUCACAACAGGAUAAGUUUGUUCUUCUCCAAGAAAAGCAUAUUUCAAUCCUUCAGGCAAAGGUUUCAAUUCCAUUUUAGGUGCUUCUUGUUGUUCUGUCUUUUCAAUACUUCCAAGCUCCUCAAAUUUUGGCUCGUCAUCAUAAUUUUGCGAAGUCUGCAUAGAAUCAAGCAACGAAUUUAUAUUAGAAAUAUCAAGUUUAAGUUGCUUAUUUGACUCAAUUGAAUUAACUAAACAAACAUUAGAAAGUUCAGAAAAAUCCCCUUUUUGAAUAUUUUCCUCGAUACAAGAUUCAAACAAUUCCUUUUGUUCAUCAAUAUCAUCUUCAUUCUCAUUUUCUUCAUUAGGUUGCCUGCACAUGUUGAAAACAUUCAAUUCCAAAGUCAUAUUCCCAAAGGAUAAAUUCAUUAAACCAUUCCUACAAUUAAUCAAAGCAUUAGCAGUUGCUAAAAAUGGUCGACCUAAAAUUACAGGAAUUGGUUUGUAAUUAUUCACAACAGGUUCAGUUUCCAAGACAAUAAAAUCCACAGGAUAAAUAAAUUUAUCAACUUGUACUAAAACAUCUUCCACUAUUCCUUUUGGUACUUUAACGGAUCUAUCGGCAAGCAAAAGUGUAGUUGAAGUUGAUUUUAACUCACCAAGAUUAAGUUGAAGAUAAACUGAAUAUGGAAGCAAAUUAACACUAGCACCAAGAUCUAGUAAAGCAUGCUCAAUUCUGUGGUUACCAAUAAUACAAGAAAUGGUAGGACAACCAGGAUCUUUAUAUUUCAACUUAUUAUUAGUAGACAGAAUUGUACUUACCUGUUCGGCCAUGAAAGCACUCUUUCUUACCUUCAAUUUCCUCUUAACAGUGCACAAGUCCUUUAAAAAUUUGGCAUAUGAAGGAACCUGCUUGAUUGCAUCUAAUAGAGGAAUGUUAACUUUCACUUGCUUAAAGAUUUCAUAAAUUUCAGAAGAGUGGUUUGAUUUCUUUGGUUUAUUCAAUGCAUGCGGAAAUGGUGGUUCAAGUGGAACACUAGUUAUUUCUUCACUAGGUGUAAGUUCAUUUAGUCAUUCCUUACCCUUUGAAUUUUCAUAAGGUUCAGGCAUAGGUCUAUCAACAACCUUACCACUACGAAGAGUUAUAACUGACUUGACUUGGUCUGUGGGUGAAUUUUGUUGAAUUUUAGGAUUUGGUUGUGGUUGGGCUGGAAAUUUUCCUUUUUCUUGAAUGGUGAGUGCAGAAGCAAUUUUAGCAAGAGUAUCUUUCAAAUAAAAAAAAGUUUGUGCAUUUUGAUUGUUAAUAACAUCUUGCUUUCUGAUGAAUGAAUGCAUUGUGUCCUCCAGAUUUUUCCAAGGUGGUGGAACAUAUGGUGCAUAAGGAUGAGGAUUUUGAAAAUUUUGUGGAGGUGGUGCUUGUGAAGAUUGUGCAUUAUUAUUAUUCCUCCAACUGAAAUUCGGAUGAUUUUUCCAACCAGGAUUAUAAGUCUGUGAAUAUGGGUUUGGUUUAUUGAAAGUGUUAAUGACAUUAGCUUGAUCAUUUAGACAUUCUUUAAGUGCAGGCAAAGUGGGACACUCUUGAGUGAAAUGAUCAUUCGAAUUACAUAUGUUACAUGCAAUUUCUUGAACAGAUUUUACUUGAUCACUCUUUUUAUGCUCCAAAGCUUCAACUUUCCUAACUAGGGAUGCAAAUUUUGCUUGUAAAUCAUGAUCUUCCCUAAGGUUAUGGAUUCCUCCACUAGAUGGAGAUGAUUGUUGCUUAUUUGUCAAUUCAAAAGUUCCAACAGUAUCCCAAUGUUGUGCAUUUUCAGCUAAUUGGUCAAGGUAAUCUAGUGCAUCUUCAGGAUUUUUAUCCCUAAAUUCACCAUUACACAUCAUUUCAACAACCUGUCUACUUUGGGGUAUUAAGCCUUCGUAGAAAUAAGUGACCAAUCGCCAAGUUUCAAAACCAUGAUGUGGGCAUAUGUUAAGCAACUCUUUAAACCUAUCCCAACAUUGGUAUAAUGUUUCUCCAUUUUUUUGAGUGAAAGAAGUGAUUUGCCUUUUAAAAGAAUUUGUUCUAUGAGGUGGAAAGAAUUUUUUCAAAAACUGUUCUUGCAUGUUAUUCCAAGUUCUUACUGAUCCAGAUCUAAGGUUUUGUAGCCAAGUUUUAGCUUUAUCUUUUAAUGAAAAAGGAAAAAGCUUUAAUCUAAUUAUGUUCAUGCUACAAUUUUGGUCCGUGUAUGUAUUACAAACUUCCUCAAAAUCUCUUAGAUGCAAGUACGGAUUCUCAGAUUCUAAACCAUGAAAUGUUGGUAAAAGUUGGAUAAUACCUGGUUUAAAAUUGAAUCGAGAUGCUUCUGGAUGCUCCGGUUCUGGUUGGAUUCAUGUAGUCUCUCAGAGUCCUUGGUUGAUUCUGAUCGUGCCCAUGUUGAGAUUGGUUGUCUCCCUGAUCAAUUUGAGGAUUAAGUUCGCCCAAAACAUUUUCGCCUUCAUUCUCAUCCAUGAUUGGUGGUGGAGAUUGAGAUCUACGAAUUAACCUGCCACUUGAAGAUCGAGACCAACGUCUCAUGCAAGGGUUAUGUUAUAAAGAUAAUAUUUACACAAAUUGAUAAUAAAAUAAAAUAAAAAAUUAAAUAUGCAAAUAAUAUAAGUGUACAAAAGAAAAUUAAAUAACAAUUUUGGUGGUUGAACCCACCAGUUAACAAUAUAAAAUAAAUGCAAAAGAAAGAAAAAGAAAAAAUGGUAGUUAAACCCACCAAUAAAGCAAAAAAAUAAAAUAAAAUAAAAUAAACGCAAAAUAAUAAAAUAAAUAAAUAAAAUGGUGGUUGAACCCACCAAUAAAAAAAAUAAAGCAAAAAAAAAUACAAAAUUAAAUAAAUACUGAAAAUAAAAAUUAGGAGUUAGUAGUUAGUUUGGUGGUUGAACCCACCAAUAAAGCAAAAAUAAAUAAAUACGAAAUUAAAUAAAUGCAGAAAAUUAAAUAACUGAAAUUAAAAAAGUUAGCAGUUAGCAGUUAGUAAGUUAAGAGUCAGUAAUUAGAGUUAGUAGUUAAAGUUAGUUUAGUCCAAAAUAUGUUAGUUUAGUCCAAAAUAUGUCCAAAUAUGUUCAAAAUAUGUCCAAAUAUGUCCAAAAUAUGUCCAAAGUAUGUCCAAGUCUUAAUUAUUUUGAGGAAUUUCGUCUAGGGAUUCUAUUGCAAAUUAUUUUUAAUUUUAUGGUCAAACUGUAAUUUUUAGAAGUUUAGAAUUAGUAAUUUGGGAUGAAAGUGAAACAGUUGAAAGAUAUCGGGGUCCGAACGUAAUUACCAGAAGAUUGGGCUGGAAACGGAAAUUGUUGGGGUGAAACUAGAAUUAUGAAAGAUAUGGGGACAAAAGAGAAUUUAAGAAAAGAAAAAGGGGGUAAACGAAAUUUUACAUAUAAGAGAAAAAUAAAAAACGGAAAAACAAACCAAAUAAAAAAAACUUUUCCCCGGCAACGGCGCCAAAAACUUGACACAUCUUAAAAGUAAUUUUUAACUCUCAAGUAUAAGAGUGUCUUGUUGUAUUAUAACUCGGUGAGUCCGAGGUCGAUCCACAGAGAAAAGAUUUAAUUAGUUUAUUUUAUUUUAUCUAAAAAUUGAAAUUAAAACUUGAAUAUAAACAACUUAAUUUAAAUGAAACUAUGGAAUUGAACUAGUUAAGGUUAUGGAUCCACUCUUAGAAAUAAAUAAAACUUAAUAAAUUCUUUUUGCCAAUUUGUUUUAGAUUUAUUACCCAAAAGAUUAAUUAUACAAAUUAUUAUUAUUUUCCCUUUAAUUUUAUGAUGGAUUAAGUAUUUAUUGUGCCAAAAUUUAAUUUGUCUACAAUAAGGCAAAAUACCAUUUCACCAUGCCUUAUAUUAAGAUCUUAAGAAUUUAUUGUGCCAAAUUCAUUUGUUUGUCUACAAUAAAUCAAAAUUUCAAAAUAUAAAACAUGUAUAAAAUUAAAUAGAAAAUAAUUUAAUUUAUAAAAUUAAACAUAGAAUUUGAUUAAAUCAUAUUUAUUUCUUAAGAGUUUCACCUUCCCCUAACUAAUAUUAUUUAGUUAAGCAUAAUUAAAAUAAAAAGUAGUAAAAUUGAAUUACUUGUAAUUAAAAGAAAUAAAAACAACUAAAAUUGGAAAUAAAACUAAUUUUAUUAAUGAAAAUAAUUAUACAAAAUAUUAAAAACACACCUGGAAAUCAAGAUUACAAGGAGAUGGAGAGAAUUUGAGAAUAAGAGAGUUGUAGAGAGAUGAUUAAAACAUAAAAAUGAGGCCUUAUUUAUAGAAAAAUAAAUUCAUAAUCCAGUGCUUUGUGGUCCAUCAUAGGCUUCAUGCAUGUGCUCCUCACAACCCUUAGAUCAAGAUCCAAUGGCUGGUCAAACUUCAAAAGUCAACAUCACACAUGGCAUCAUUUGACUCGUCCGAUUUGCCCAAAGAACGGUUGAGAUUUGGCGGGUUAAUGGGUGGAUCGGGUCGACCCGAAUACAAAGAUUCGGAUCCUCCAACUUGCUUCACCAACCAUUGCCACGUGGCACAAUCAUGGCCAUUGAAUGAUGAACGGUUGAGAUUUAGUCAAGAUUGCCAGUUAUCCCAUGCACUCAUAUCUAUUGUAAGCUCAUUUCAUCAUCCAAUCAGUGCUCGGUCAACAGGAAAAGUCAAUUUUUUUUACACAAGCCCAAUUUUAAGCCGAUCUUGACUGAUCUUAAGGUUUUCGAACCUCCGGAAUCCAAAUUUGACCUCCGUUUAUUUGUUUGGAGCCUCGAAGUACGUGAAAUUAAUAAUUUUCCUAAUAAACACAUAAAAAUACACAAAAUUAAAUAUAUUUAAAACAUAAUUAAUAAUUCAUAAUAUAUUACAUAAACACAAAUAUAAAUUAUAACAUAAGCAUAAAAUAACAUAUUAUCGCUUGAUAACUAAACAAUUUUUAAUACUAAUCAGGUGGAACUUGAAUCUGGUAAAAAGAUCAAGUGUUUGAGGACAGAUAAUGGUGGAGAGUAUACAAACGGCGAGUUUCUUGCUUUCUGUAAGCAAGAAGGUAUUCAGAGGCAGUUCACAGUGGCAUACACUCCUCAACAAAAUGGAGUGGCAGAGCGGAUGAAUAGAACUCUUACAGAACGGAUAAGAGCUAUGUUAAUGACUGCUGGUCUACCCAAUUCAUUUUGCGCAGAAGCAGCCAAAACUGGCUGUUAUAUAGUAAAUCGAUCGCCAUCUAUAGCUAUUGGGCUGAAGACAGUGAUGGAGAUGUGGACUGGAAAGCCAGCUAAUUAUUCCUACCUACAUGCAUUUGGAUGUCCUGUGUAUGUGAUGUACAAUGCCCAAGAAAGAACAAAGCUGGAUCCAAAAUCUAGAAGAUGUAUCUUCUUGGGGUAUGCUGAUGGAGUAAAAGGGUAUCGUCUGUGGGACCCCACUGCCCACAAGAUCGUCAUCAGAAGAGAUGUUAUCUUUAUAGAAGAUCAACUGCAAAUGAGAGAUGAGGAUGAUGGCACUGCAAAAGAAAAGUCAAAGAUUGUGCCGGUAUAUGUCGAAAAUAAUCUAAAAAAUUUAUAUUCUUCUGAAGCAGUACCAGAGCACGAGGAACAAGAACCAGUCGAGUCCGAGGCUCCAGAAGUUCGUUGGUCAAUGUGGCACUCGGAGUAUGUCACAGAAAUCAAUGUUGUAUACUGUCUUCUAACAGAGGAUGGAGAGCCUUCAACUUUCCAUGAAGCUUUAAACAGCUCAGAUGUUGCUUUGUGGAUGACAGCAAUGUAGGAAGAAAUUGAAGCUCUACACAAGAACAAGACAUGGGAACUUGUACCACUACCACGUUGUAGAAAAGCCAUUGGAAACAAAUGGGUCUACAAGAUCAAACGUGAUGGCAAUGACCAAAUGGAGCGGUAUCGUGCAAAAUUGGUGGUGAAAGGAUAUGCUCAGAAAGAAGGUAUUGAUUUCAACGAGAUAUUUUCGCCGGUGGUUUGACUCACAACAGUCAGAGUAGUCUUGGCGAUGUGUGCUACAUUUGACUUACAUCUUGAGCAGUUAGAUGUGAAAACUGCAUUUCUUCAUGGAAAACUUGAAGAAGAAAUAUAUAUGCUCCAACCAAAAGGUUUUGCAGAAACAGGAAAAGAGAACUUGGUCUGCAGGUUGAAUAAAUCUCUAUACGGUCUCAAACAGGCGUCGAGGUGUUGGUAUAAGAGAUUUGAUUCCUUCAUUAUGAGCCUUGGAUACAACAGACUCAAUUCAGACCAUUGUGCAUAUUACAAGAGGUUUGAAGAUAGUGAUUUCAUCAUUUUGCUGUUGUAUGUGGAUGAUAUGUUGGUAGCAGGUCCCAACAAAGAUCGAGUCCAAGAAUUGAAGGCACAGUUGGCUAGGGAGUUUGAAAUGAAGGACUUGGGACCAGCAAACAAGAUUCUAGGGAUGUAAAUUCACCGAGACAGAAAUAACAGGAAGAUUUGGCUUUCUUAGAAGAAUUACUUGAAGAAAAUCUUACGACGCUUCAACAUGCAAGAUUGUAAGUCAAUUUCUACCCUACUUCCUAUUAAUUUCAAAUUAUCCUCAAGUAUGUGUCCAAGCAAUGAAGCAGAGAGGAAGGAAAUGUCUCGAGUACCGUAUGCAUCAGCAGUGGGAAGUUUGAUGUUCGCUAUGAUAUGUACUAGACCGGACAUUGCACAAGUAGUGGGAGCAGUCAGUCGAUACAUGGCGAAUCCUGGUGGAGAGCAUUGGAUAGCUGUGAAGAGGAUUCUAAGAUACAUUAGAGGAACCUCAGAUGUUGCAUUAUGUUAUGGAGGAUCAGAGUUUACUGUCAGGGGCUAUAUGGAUUCAGAUUUUGCAAGAGACCUUGAUAAAAGGAAAUCCACUACUGGUUAUGUGUUUACACUUGCGGGAGCAGCUGUAAGUUGGGUUUCGAAACUGCAGACCGUUGUGGCUUUAUCUACAACAGAAGCAGAAUACAUGGCAGCUACACAAGCUUGCAAGGAAGCUAUUUGGAUACAAAGAUUAUUGGAGGAGCUAGGGCACAAACAACAGAAAAUUCCUGUGUUUUGUGACAGUCAGAGUGCCUUGUACAUUGCAAGGAAUCCAGCCUUUCAUUCCAGGACAAAGCACAUAGGAGUUCAGUAUCACUUCGUUCGUGAAGUAGUGGAAGAUAGAAGUGUGGAUUUGCAGAAAAUCCAUACCAAAGAGAACCUAGCAGAUGUUUUGACCAAGCCGAUAAAUACUGAUAAGUUUGUCUGGAGUAGAACCUCUUGUGGCUUAGCAGAAACGUAGGCAACAUGAUUAUGGCGAAGCAGAAAGGAUGGUGUGGAGAUUGAUUGAUUCUCAAUCUAAUCUCCAAGUGGGAGAAAUGUCAAAUAAAGUGGCCAUCUAGAUGAUCUAAAGCUGCCAUCUAGAUGGUCAGCAACAAUUUUGUUCAAAGAAGACGAAGAAUUUUGCAGCAAGUUUGAAAGAAAAAGAAGCACACGGCUUUGACAUUUGAAAGAAGAAAAAGAAGGUAAAAAAUAAUAUAGAAUUGAUUAAUAGUGCCAAAGCUUUCUCUAUAAAUAGAAACGAAGAGAAUAAGCAAAUGCAUUCCAUUCAGAAAGCAAUUUAGGGAGUUGAGAGAGAGUUCAAGAGCUUGCAUUUAUAAGCUCUUGUUACAGUGAUUGAGAGAGUUUGGGUGUAUUGGGGUUUUUGGGAAGUGAGCUAAAAUACUACAAUACUUAUAACUCCUUUUCACUAGUAAAAUAUUUCCUUCUGUCUUCGCCCGUGGAUGUAGGCUAAAAGCCGAACCACGUAAUUUCUGGUGUCCUCUAUUGUGCUUGUUCUUUAUUUUCCUUCUAAUUUCAUUUUAGCUGCGGUCUUGCUUCAUCCACCAAAUUUCCUAACAGAUGCUCCAACAACGAUAAUAGGAGACAUUUCGGCUGAUAAAUUUUCCUUAAUGUGUAAGAGAAUCUUUGCAUAAUCUGCCAAAGCUUGACCAGAGUUGAAAUAUCCACGAAGAGUUGCAUUCUUUAGGGCAUCUUUGCGUGAUAUAAAAGGUACUGAUUUUCUAUAGAACCGAUGCUGCAUAAAAAAUCGAAUUAAAGAAAAAAAAUCCAUCACAACUUUUCAGUUCAUAUUGUAGAAUAUUCUGAUUAAGAUUUGUCUUUAUUAUUAUUAUUUUGUAUGGGAACUCUAUUUCAAUUAUUAUCAAGCUAGCCUGAUAACAGAUUCUUUACUUACCUCUAUGUAAACUUGUAAGGCUUUAAAUCAACGAGCAUUAUCAGUAAGCCAUCCAGUGCCACCAAGGUCAUCAUCAAGACUACUCUCUUUACCAAGAUAUGCCAAUAUCGGCGCCGCCGUGGCUCCACCACCACCCCAAUGUUUGAAGUUCAACACAUAUCUAUGAGAAAAAGUUAAAUAACUUUGUGGAUUAUAGUUAAAGUGAUCAAGUAUUUGAUCAUCAUAAUAAGUUUCGAGAUCACCCUUUGGUUCUGAAGUUAAUAUUUUUUUACUAGGGUUUAGAAAAAUAGUCUUUCCACGCACAACACCAAGCUUUGGGAUGUUUUUUAAUGGUGAAGUGGAAGCAAAAGCAAAAUUUGUGAGGAGAAGAAGAAAAAAGGCAUGGAAGCCACCGACCUUCCAUGGCAAAGUUGUAAAUCCUUAAUUAGCAGGAUGAUUAUGUAAAUACAGAAGAAAUAGAAUUAAGAUUCGGUUAUAAAUUCAGCUUCAGAAUCGACGUGUUUUUUAAUCUAUUCUGGAUUUUUUAUUAUCCUAUCAUAUAAUCAUUGGUGGUUUUAGUUUUAUAUUAGUAAUGAUCUUUAGUUUUCAUAAAAUUAUGGUUUUUCUAAUAUAUAUUGUUAUCAGUUUCGUAACUAAAUACGUUGCGGUGAAAAUUAUUAAGUCUUUCCUUAGUAAUUAACUAACUUGACAUACGUAGUUCUAAUGGUUGGACACAUAUUUCUAAUUUAAUUAACUUGUAAUUAAUUAUUUGCUAGUAAUUAACUUGAUUUAGUAUGUGGUAAAUACAUAAUUUUGAUAAAAUCAGUAAAAAAAUAGUAAAUUUUCUAUCAUGUAAGUGUAAAAUUAAAGAUAUAAUUUUUUUUAAUUACAAUAGCUAAUAUUUACUUGAUACUUUAAUACUGUAACUUUUAAACUAAGCUACCCAAACAUGGUUGUAAUUUUCUAUAAUCAUGCUACCAAAGAUGUCAGGAUUCCAAUCAUUGUUUACGAGGCUACUAUAUAUGUUAAUCAUGCUAAUGCUAUAAGCCUUGGAUUGGAAGUAAUGUAAAUCCAACCGUUGGGUAACGUAGCUAGCCUAAUUACACUUUAUUAAGAGAACAAUACAAUUAACAAUAGUCUCACAUGAAAGGGUGGCAAUUCAUUAUCCGAAUUUGUGAAUUAGACACUAACACAUCAUAUCGAGAAGAUUUUUUAUGACUAUUAUGACAACUUGUUCACGUCCAACAAACCAUCCCAAAGCCAAAUGGAGAAUGCACUGAAGAUCUGCCUCGCAAAGUCACUGAAGAGAUGAAUGCCCAGCUAAAUCAGCCCUAUACAGAAGCAGACAUCACAGAAGCUUUGAGCCAAAUGCACCCUACAAAAGCCCCUGGUCCAGAUGGCCUUCCAGCUGCUUUCUUCCAAAAGCAUUGGAAAUCAGUAAGUCAAGGUGUUACUACCACAUGCUUGCAGGUCCUAAAUAACAAAGGUAACCCUACUCCACUAAAUCAUACUUACAUAGCUCUGAUUCCAAAGGCUGAAAAACCUAAGAAAAUGGCGGAUUUUAGACCGAUCAGCCUAUGUAAUGUAAUUUAUCGGAUAAUUACAAAAACCAUUGCCAAUAGGUUGAAGCUGGUUUUGAACGAUGUAAUCUCACCAGCUCAAAGUGCCUUUGUUCCAAAUAGGCUCAUAACCGAUAACAUAAUUAUUGGUUACGAAUACUUACAUAAAAUAAGGCUUAGUAUGGGGAAAAAACAUGGGCUAGUGGCUUUGAAAUUAGACAUAAGCAAAGCAUAUGACAGGGUGGAAUGGGACUUUUUGAAAUGUACCUUAGAAAAAUUGGGAUUCUCGCUUGGCUUUGUUGAAUUGAUAAUGCAAUGCAUAACUACCUCUUCAUUUUCUGUGCUGAUAAAUGGGGUGGCUAAAGGGCUGAUCCAACCUCAAAGAGGAUUAAAGCAAGGAUGCCCAUUGUCCCCAUAUCUUUUUAUUCUCUGUGCAGAGACUUUUACAAAUCUUUUACAGCAAGCAGAAUCUCAGCAACUGAUUCAUGGGAUAAAAUUCAGCAAUGAACUUUCCAUCACUCAUCUUUUGUUCGCUGAUGAUAGUUUGAUUUUUACAAGAGCCACAAGGGAGGAUUGUACAAAUUUAAAGAAGAUUUUUUAGUGUUAUGUUGCAGCCUCUGGGCAGAUUUUCAAUUUCGAGAAGUCGUCUAUGUUUUUCAGUGAGAGUACCAAGCCGUAGCAGAUUUCCUCAAUUACAACCAUCUUCCAAAUUCAGGUGGUAUCCAGGCAUGCAAAAUACUUAGGGCUGCCCUCCAUGGUGGGUAGAAAUAAGACGAGUUUUUUUAAGGAUAUCAAACUCAGAGUUCUUGGAAAGAUUUCGAGCUGGCAAGCAAAUUUGUUCUCUUGUGGGGAGAAGGAGGUGUUGAUAAAUGAUGUAGCUCAAGUGGUGCCUGCAUAUGCCAUGAGUGUGUUUAAGCUCCCCCUAGGACUUUGUGAUGACAUGCAAAAGGCAAUUGCUAGUUUUUGGUGGGGAAGCAGCCGAGAUCACAAGUCAAUCCAUUGGUCGAAAUGGAAUAAUUUGUAUCAAGCAAAGAGUAGAGGUGGGCUGGGAUUUCGAAACUUGUCCAGCUUNNNNNNNNNNNNNNNNNNNNNNNNNNNNNNNNNNNNNNNNNNNNNNNNNNNNNNNNNNNNNNNNNNNNNNNNNNNNNNNNNNNNUUUUAAAAAUUCAAGUCUGAUGCAGGCUCAGUUAGGCUCAUAUCCUUCCUUUAUAUGGAGGAGUAUUUUAUGGGGUCGAAAUGUAUUAGAAAAAGGGUUGCGCUGGAGAAUUGGAAAUGGUGAGCAGCUGCUAGUGUAUCAAAGUCAAUGGAUUCCUCGAUCUAUAACUUUUCAGCCAAUAUCCCCCCCAUCAUUGAGCCCAGAUACAAUUGUUGCAAAGCUGAUAAGUGAGGAGCAAAGCCGGAAAGAAGCUGUAAUUAGGCAACAUUUUCUAAAAGAAGAUGCUGAUCAAAUUUUGAAAAUCCCUUUGCCAAGACAACCAAAACCUGACCAAGUGUUGUGGCACUAUGAUAAGAAGGGUAAUUAUUCAGUUAAAAGCGGUUACCAAGUGGCUAUGAAAAUGAAUUUUCCUGAGAAGCCAAGCUGCUCGAGUGAGAAUGAUAAGUAUUGGCAUGCUAUUUGGUAUUUGCAACUUCCGGAAAAAGUUAAAAUCUUCAUGUGGAGGGCGGCAAAUAACUUGUUGGCAACGGCAGGAAAUCUUUGGAAGAGGACAGUGGUGCAAUUCCCUUGGUGCCAGAGAUGUAAGUUAUCAAAGGAGACUAUUUUUUCACACUCUCUAUGAAUGCAAAGCUUCAAGGAAAAUUUGGAGGCUAACCCCUUUUGGGGAGGAUAUUGAGUUUAGCAAUGGAAGAGAUGUUCUAAGCUUGCUGUAGGAUUUGAAUGGAAAAAGGAGAAAAUCUGAGAUGGAACUGAUUGUUGCUGUGUGCUGGAGCAUCUGGCACUCAAGGAAGCUUUUCCUCUUCAAAAACAAAAAAGAAGAUCCCCAGCUAUCAGUUGCAGCAGCAGAAGCAAUGGUGCAAUCUUAUAGCAGAAUCCAAAUGCCCCAAAUGCAAAGUAACUCCCAGCUGAGUACUGCUAAUCAGAAACAAUGGAAACACCCUCCAGAGGGCUGGUUCAAAGUUAAUGUUGAUGCAGCAGUAGGAGUGGAACAACAAAGAGCUGGCCUGGGAAUUGUUAUAAGGAAUUCAGGAGGAAAGUUUAUAGCUGCAGCAAUGAAGCCCUCAAAGUUUAUUGGCAAGAUUGAUUUUGCAGAAGCUGAAGCUAUCAGGCUCGGGCUGGAGAUAGCAGAAAAUGUUGGAUGCUUUCCACUAAUUGUGGAAUCUGACGCCCAGGAAGUGGUGGACUUAGUCAAUUUCAAGAAAAGCUCAAGAGCUGAAAUAUUCUGGGUUGCUUCUGAAAUGCAAGACCAAGUAAAGAGGCUGAACCAGGUGAAAGUAGAAUAUACCCCAAGAGGGUGCAAUACAUUAGCUCAUUCUCUUGCAAGACUAGCAUUAGAGCUAAAUGAUUUUGUUUUUUGGGUAGAAAAUAUACCCUCAAAUUUUUUGUACCUAUUCACACAGUUGGAUAAAUGAAAGUAAUACUUUCUCUCAAAAAAAAAAAAAAUUAUCAUGUCAAAUCUCUGUAUCCUCUUCACUAAUCAAUUCGUUUUUGCACUUUGACUUCCCCACAGGGAAUUCUUAAUUAAUUAAUUUAUUUUUUUAAAUAAGUGCAAAAUUUAUCCCGCCGAGUAUAAUCAAGGGGUGCACGUCAAGACAAAACAAGCAACAGCUGCGACAUGGUUUCAGAGUCAUAUCAUCUAUAAGCCAAACGUGUGUCUGCUCAAUUAGACACCAUAACCUCUAAAGACAAAACAAAUGCAUGCAACUUACCAUAAAAAGAUGAAUGACGAAGUCAUUAUGCAAACUAGAAGAAAUGUAAACUGAUAGGCAAUAAUUGAAAUAAGAUGCGAAAUUAUUUAUAACACAAUUAACAAUUCAACAAUCAGAUGUGUUGAUUUAUUUUCAAUCUGACUUAGACACUAUGUUAUAUUUUAUUAUGUUUUAAUAUAUAUAUAUAUAUAUAUAAAUAAUCAAAAAAUUAUAUAAAAUUCACCAUGAAAAUAAGGAAAACGAAAAAAAAAAUCGAACGGGCCCGCUGAUGGAUCACCAAUGAACGAAAAAGAGCAACUGAAACAAACGAAAUGCAAUGGCAUUUUGGGGAAUCUAUCAAAAGCUGAUACCCUUUUUGCCGAUUCCCAGCCAACCUCUAUAAAUUGCCCGCAAUUGGAAAAAUUCGACCAAAAAAAAAAACAAAUUCACUUCAAAAAGUUCACACACACUCACACACACGCGCGCGCGCGCGCGCGGAAGCCUACUUCUUCUUCUUCUUCUUCUUCUUUCAAUUCUCUGGUAAAACGCAAUAUUUUUUUGUCGUUUUUUCUUCCUGUUAAUACUUAAUGCUUGGGCGUUUUGUGUAUAAUGGAAAUGGAGUCUCGUGUCUGAUUUAUUAUCGCAGGGAACGAUGAAUUAUGCUGAUCUAAAUCGACGUAUCACCGUUAAGGUAACUAUAUAAUUUUUUAAUUUCAAAUUCAUUUCUUUCUUUUCUUUUGUUUUUUAAAAGAGUAAUAUUAGCUUCAACUGUGAUGCUGUUCAGUAGCAGUGCUGACCUUUUUAUUCAUAAAUGUCUUCAGAUAUUUCAUAAUAUGGAAUAUUCUUCUUUAUUCUGUUCUAUUUAUUUACUGGUUUUAAUGUACAUAUUGUCGAGGAGCUAAAUACGCGAGUAUAAAAAUUAACUUCAACUGAUAAUUGGUAGUCUGAUUAUGCCAUUAGUUUUAUCGAGUCCACGUUGAUUCAGUUUGUUGUUUGAUUUUUAUGUGGAACUGUUACUUGAUUAUACAUGAACAUUCACUUGUGCAAAUUUAAUAAUGCCACAUUAUUUAAUAUUUAAUUUUGAAGGCCACUUUUUUAGUUGAGGGCAGGGAACCACUACGAUUCCAUAACACGCUCAUCUAAUCACCUUGACAAUAAGACUUCUCCUAGUCGGCAAUUAUUUAGAAAUAACGUCUUGACAUAUGCUGCGGAAAUUAAAGAAUGAAGUAGACUUACGAAGUCAAGGUGUUUUUCUAGUCUACAUAUUUUAAUUUGUGUAGAAAAUUAGAAAUAUUCAAUGUAUAAUCUGAUUCUACACAAAGACUAAUGCCCCAAGAUUGUGAUUGAAAUGCUAUAAGCAGCUUAUUUUAUAAGUUUAGAUAAAAAUGAAGUUUGAUGGCUUCGUUAAAAGUUGUUUUUUUUAAUAAUUUUCUCUAUUUUGACUGUAACUUUUAAAAACAAAAUAGAGAUUAUUUUUAUAAGUAACUUAUUAAAUAAGUUGCUAUAUCUUUUUAAAUGUUCAUAUUAUAACCUUAAUAUUUUAAGAAAAGAAUAAUUAUAUCUUACUUUUCUAUAAGAUCUAAUAUAUAAAUAAAAGACAAUUUAAACGCAUGUUUAUUUUAGUCAUUAAAUAAUACAACACAUUCAUAAUCAAAUUUACUAAACGUGAGCAAGAUACUUUUUUAAUCAUCAACUUAUUUCGUCCUCACGAUAGAAAUAACUUAUUUUAUCAACCACCGCCAUCCUAAACUUGGUGCUAAGUCUCGUUUGGGAUUGCAUUAGAUUGUCAAAUAAUUAAGAGAAAUAGCUAUUAAGGAGAAGAAUAGGAAGAGGUUCGCCAGAAGCAAUAUACUCGCAAGCUUGGCUACUAAUAAACGAAGCAUACAAGCUUAAACACCUAAAAUAUAUAUAUAGAGAGUAGUUUUUUGGUACGGGAUCUUAAAGUGCGGGAAACAUUAGGAAAAUUUUUAAAACCUCGGGAUUUUAAAGGCUUAAUAAUUAAAACACUUAAACUGAACGGUUUAUGCGUUUUCCCGGACGUUCUCGUACUUUAAAAUUCUGAAUUAGAAUAUUUUUAUAUGUGUGUGUUGUUGUCCAAAUUUUAAUGUACUCGCAAGCGCACGAAUCUAUUGUUGUAUAGAUCAAUGGUGACGAGUGUCGAUCCCACGAGGAGGUGGAUUUUAAUUGUGUAGAAUUAAUUUUGUAAAUGGGUGAUUGGAUUUGUGGUGGAAAUGAUUUGGAAUAUCCUAAAACUUAAAUUAAAAUGGCGAGAAUAAAUUCUAAAAUUGGAAUUGAAAUUACGAGAAUAAAUUGAAGAGAAUUCUAUUAAAAUGACGUACUUGGGUAUCUGGAUCCGUAUCAACAUGCAUCAUGGGCUAAAUAAUCCUUAUUAAUGCCAAUUAAAUCAUGAGGGGGGAAUCCACACCUCAUGAACCACACUCUAAUCAAUAUGGUGCUAAGGGCUUAUCGUGCCAAAUAAUAAUAACCUUGUACUAGAGGGCCGGUGAAACCAAGGCGGUACUAGACAAGAUUAGUAUUAUUUGUCGACGAGAAGUCAAAACAUCCACAAAAACUAGAGGGGAAGAGAAAAUAAAUUUACCAAAUAAAACCCAUGACACAUGUUGAGACUUCACUUUCAACCCAAGCUUGAAAGAAAAUUAGCUACUCAUAAUUGAACUAGGGGCAAAAUGAGAAUUUAUUAAAAUACGAAGAAACUACAAGAUGGAGAAGGAAUUACAAAAAAUAGAGUCCAAAAAUGGAUUCAGAGAUAUCAAAUUAUGGGGGAGAGGCCCCCUUUUUAUAGAUACAUCAAGUAAAUCAUGGCCAUCGGAUUAAAAACAGUUUGGACGCUCAGGAUUGCGCCACGUCAUCAGUCAACAGUACGCGGUUUGACCACGCGGAUGAACAGUAACACGGUUUGACCUAGAUGAAUAGUAACGCGGUUUGACUCGGAUGAACAGUAACGCGUUUGAUUGAAAAUAAUCCUGUGUGAUGCAUGUACCGUACGCGAGAUUUUUCGUCCACUGAUAGGCUGCCACGUCACCAUCAACAGUACAUAAGAAUUUUAGCCCAACAGGAUCGUGACACCUCAUCAGUCAAUGCCACAUCAUCGGUCAAUGCCACGUCAUCAUCCGUCUAUGUGAACAAUGUAGUGAACAGUAACGUAGACAGUACCGUACACGUGAAUAGUACCGUACAUGUGAAUAGUGUCAUUUUUCCUUUUAUGCUCCUCCUAAGGUUUUCGACCGUCCUGAGUUCAAAAGUGAUGUCCGUUUUGCCGUCUGAUCUCUCCUUUAUUGUAAAAUGACUAUAAUGCCCCUAAAAUACAUAAAAUACUUAAUUAAAAUAAAACACAUGUAAUUAAAUCACAAGAAGGUUAAAUACAUAAAAGUAAGGGUUGUUAGUAAGACUUGAAAUGUAAAAUGACGGUCUUCUCUUUUAUAAAUUUACAUUUUCUAACACUCAACACACCCCCCAACCAGCUUAUUGCUAGUCCCUAGCAAAUAAAGCGAAAACAAAAUUCAAAUUCAAAAUAAAUUUUUUUUUAAUAAAAACACUCGUAUUUAUUCCAUUAGAUUAAUAAUAGCAAUCAAAUAAAAGUAUAAGCAUUAUCUCCAGUCUAAAGCAACAUCACACCCACAUCAACCAUCCACAUGAAUCAGCUCAGUAGACUUUGUUAUAGCUACUUUCAAGAAUGACAUGUCAAACCCCAAAAUCUCACUGGAAGUAGUGACACUCUCACAAAGAAAUUAAAACCAAUAAAAAUAGUCACUCCAAUGAAUGGUAAUUGAGAGAGAAAAUAAUAAAGAAGUGAUAUCACAUGCUCUCACCAAGAUGAAAUAAAUAUGCCCUCAGCUUAGAAAUAAUACAGUCUCAAGUCAAAUAAAAAUGCUAGUCAACCCAAUUUAUUUAUCUUUUUUUUAUAUUUAUUUAUUUAUUUUUAUUAUGCACCACUACAUCUCUUUAGCCCACAUAACUAGCUUCUACUUCAAAUUAUAGUUCCCUAAAAUCAGGAAGGACUUUUAUUAGGAUGUAACGUAGGCUAGGGACAUGGUUAACAAAGAAGGGAAAUAAGGAAAACAAAGUAUAUGUUUGAGAAAAAUGCAGAGGACUUUUUUUUUUUUUUUGGGAGUUGCAAGGUGGAUUUCACCUAUUAUUGUUAUUUUUAUUCUUUUGAAACAACAAUUUUUUUCUUUUGUUUUAGCAACAACAAUUUUUUAUUUGAACUAGGCAUAACUUCAUUGUACAAAAUGUUUAUUUACAUUUUUCUCAAACAUAAAUAGGUGAUGGAACUUAUAAGACAUCGGGUAAUACUCCAAAUCGGAGUGGGUCAAGAUGAUAAGUUGACAAAGAAAAGGUUUUUUUUUUUUUUAAAGGCUCAAAAGGGUUAACUAUGGAUAUUUAAUAAAAGGGAUGGCUAGAAAGGCUCAAACGGAUCAAAGAUGGCCUUUCCAUCGUCUUUUAGGGCUCUAAAUAAUCAUCCAUAUCUACUAGUUAGACAGGCCUCCAAAUGUAGCAACACACUUUUUUUUUUUAAUUUUACAAUUUUUUUUAAGGAUUAACUUAAAAGAAAUCUAAAGAUCGUGUAUAAAAUAAUAAACUGCUAAACUGUAUAGAGAAUGGGCAAAAGGGUUACUCUCCAAGAAAAUAAUAGGUUCAACAACUCACUUGGCACUUAUUUAUGACAUGUUCAUUCCUUCAAGCAACUCAUAUUUGUCUCCGACAUCAACAUGUAGAGUAGCAAACAUAAUGUAACAUCACUUAAGACCAAAGAUAAUACAAAUACUAAAAUUUGAAAUUAAUCAUGUCAUCCAAUGUUAAAACAAAUCACACAAUUUUUUUUUAACAACAUUCUACCCCCCAACCUAUUCUAAACAUGAAAGGAAAAUAUGCAUGCAGAAAUGUGAAAAUGAUGCAUAAAAACUAAUUAGAAAAGUUACACGUAAAAUAAUAGAAAACAAAGAUGGUUUUUUUUUUUUUAAAGAUGCGUUUCUAGAGGCACUACACUCCAUAUUCAGCCAUCUUCGACUCAAAAGUUGGAAAAUGUAUAUUUAUAGAGGAGAAAUUAAAAAGAAGAAGAAAAAUGAACAUCAAAACUUAAUAAAGAAAAAAAAAUUAUUUUUAAUUUUUUUGUUUUUUUAAUUAAUUAAUUUUUUUUAAAACAAUGAAGAUGCGUUUCUAGAGUCACUAUCCUCCAUAUUCAGCCAUCUUCAACAUAAAAAGUUAGCAAUAGUUAGUUUCUACAACAAACAAUUAGUAAAAACUUAACCAAAAUUCCACAAUUGUCGACUAUUCACUCCCCCCAACCAGAAUGAAACAUUGUCCUCAAUGUUUGAAAGGAAAGAAGUAGAGUUUAGAAGACAUCACCUGGGUGGUGCAACAUAGAAAAUAAUAUUUACAAGCGGAGAGUUAAAUCUAAUUUGUACUUCUUACUGCGGCUACCGUUACCAUCAUUAUUUGGAUGCUCCAACACAAAGGUCCAGGGGUCUGGCUCCGGUCUAUAAGCUUGUAACAUAUCAAGUAGCUCAUUAGCAGUGUGAGCACAAAUAAAGAGUUUUUUCGCAUUAGAGGGAAUGAAAUAGUUUUUUAUUGCAUGGUUAAGAAAUGCGAUAAAGCCAUUAUAAAAGUUAUUGACAUUUAACAAACCGAUGGGUUUUUGGUGGAUAUGCAGAUGGGCCCAAGAUGCUAGUGUGAUAAGUGCCUCUAGUGUUGCAAGAUCUCCUGGAAGGAAAAUAAAAGCAUCAGCAUGAUUAAGCAUUUCAGUUAUUCUUUCUUGCAUACCUGAGACGACUAACUCUUCUCCAGUUGAUGAGUUAGACGAACUGCCCAAUGGUUUUAGGACUCUUGGAAUGAUGCCUAACACUUGACUUCCUCUGACAAAAGCUGCUUCAGAGACCAUUUUUGAUAACCCUCGGUUACCUCCUCCAUACACCAAGUGUAAUUUUCUCUCUGCUAUACUUCGACCAAGAUCGAUGGCUGCCUCAACGAACUCUUUAUGUUUGCCAUAGGUAAAUCCAGAAAGCACACAAAUGUUCUUGAAUUGUCUAUUUGGAGUAGCUGCCAUUAUGAUACUUCUCAAAAAAUAAUUUGUGAGUGCUUGUAAAAAAAAAAUCACAUUUAAGAGCCUUGGUGACAGUGGGUCAUAGUUGUGUAUGAGGUAACAUGUCAGUGUCAAAUAACGUGUAAAGCACGUGGCUCGCGAGUCAAAAAGGAAACAGUAAAAGGGAAAAAGCAAACAGUAAUAAGGAAAAAGCAAACAGUAAUAAAAUUAUUAAAGACAAUAAUGCACACAAUAAAACAAUAGUGAAAUAAAAUAACAGUAAAGUGAAAGGAUAUUUACAGAUAGUUGCGACUGUGGCUCACAUCUUCCUCUGGUUUUAAGUCUAGAAACGGCUUGAACGCCCUCUAUGGGUCGAGGAUAGGCUUCUUAUCCAGUUUUGUUAUAAACUGGCAAACAGGGUCGUUUAUAGUUAGAUUCUCAAGACUAUAUCGUGCAUGCUCUUUCUGGAAUAAUGAUCAUAACUGGAGAAUCGCUCCUUGCACAUAUCCACUGGGAUGCGUUUCAAGAGACAAAAUGAUAUCAUCCAAUGACUCCUUAUUCAAGCCAUCCCUAAUGAAUUGAAUCUUAUCUUCCCUGUUAUCAGACAUCAUUCCUAAAGAACAUGGGUUUUUAUUGCAACUCAUUCUGGCACACUUAUGACAAACAACAGAAAUUCUUCGAGCUCGUUGUUUUCUUGCAUAAUUUUCUUUACCACAACCAGGCAUGUAUGCAAUAAAUUUUGGAGGUAACUCACCUGCCGAUCGUACUUUCGCCUCAAUUAACCAACGAAUAUCAGCAGGUAUGUUAUUCCUCAUGAGCAAUCGCAUGCGUUCGGACCGAGCUUUAUAGAUCGUAAGGAGGGCAUUCUGAGGAAGUGAAGGGAAUCGCUUGUAAAGCUUCGCUAGAAUCUCCUUUCUGUCCAUACUUUCGCCUCAGAAUAUCAGUUAUUAUGGGAAACUGAAGUAACCGACUUGAUUAUCACGGAGUACCGUUAUCCGCCACUUCACCAAGGUAACAAACUAAAGCACACAAACAGAAAAACAAAUUAAAACACAUAAAGAAAAUUAAAAUCGUCCUCUUAUUGAAUUCACCUCAAGCUCCAACUGGAUGUCGUAAACACUUCUCUCAAUAUCUCUGAGUUGGCUUUCUAGACCCUCAACAUAGGAUACUAACUCUGGUGGUUGACACGUUGAAGUGGUUUAAGAAUGUUCAGGAGGAAUGGUCUAAGUAAGGUACUCAUGAUUAAAAAUGAUAAGAGAAAACUUAAUAGUUAAACAAACACACUUAUGCAAAAAUAAUUUCAAUUAGCAAAAGAAUAAUAUAAAGAAAGAAAGAAAGAAAAAAUCAAAUCACUGAAAAGAAAAAAAUCAAUUCAAAUUUGGUGGGUCACUCAAAUUUAUUUCGAUGUCUUCUCCAUGUGGUUGGUAUUCUAGAUAUGGCUUUAAUCUUUGAGCAUUAACUUUAAACAUGACGCCAUUCUUUGGGUCCUUAAUUUCAAUUGCCCCAUGUGGAAAAACAGUAUGAACAAUAAAGGGACCAGACCAAUGAGAGCGUAACUUACCUGGGAAUAGGUGCAAGCGAGAAUUGAAUAAAAGUACUUUCUGACUUGGAGUGAAUGAUUUUCUCAUAAUUUGCUUGUCAUGAAAGACUUUCAUCCAUUGCUUGUAAAUCUUGGCAUUUUCGUAUGCAUCAUUGCGAAUUUCUUCAAGUUCUGCCAGUUGUAAUCUUCUUUCUGAGCUGGCUUGCUGCAUGUCAAAGUUGAAUUUCUUGAUGGCCCAAUAUGCACGAUGCUCGAGUUCCACAAGUAGGUGGCAAGCUUUUCCAUACACUAGCCUGUAGGGUGACAUCCCAAUCGGGGUCUUGAAAGCCGUUCUAUAUGCCCAUAAGGCAUUAUCAAGUCCUAAUGACCAAUCUUUUCUGUCCGGCCUCACCGUCUUUUCUAAUAUGUGCUUUAUUUCUCGAUUGGAGAUCUCAACUUGGCCACUGGUUUGUGGAUGAUACGGGGUCGCCACUUUGUGUGUGAUUGAAUACUUUGUCAAAAGAGCUUUGAAUGCUUUGUUACAAAAGUGGGCACCACCAUCACUGAUUAUUGCUCAAGGGAAUCCAAAGCGUGAGACAAUAUUGCUUUUCAAAAAUCCUAUCACCACCUUGUGAUCAUUGGUUCUGCAUGGAAUUGCUUCUACCCAUUUCGAUACAUAGUCAACAGCAACUAAUAUGUAUUGAUGGCCAAAAGAAGGGGGAAAGGGUCCCAUGAAGUCGAUACCCCAUAUAUCAAAAAUCUCAACCACUAAAAUUGAAUUUAGUGGCAUCAUGUUCCUUCGUGUAAUGCUCCCCAUUCGUUGACACCUAUCAUAUGAAGAACAGAAAGUGUAAGCGUCUUGAAAUAUAGUUGGCUAAUAGAAACCACAUUGCAAAACUUUAGUAGCUGUUUUCUUAGCACUGAAAUGGCCUCCACAAGCUUGUUCAUGGCAGAAUGAAAGGAUAUUCUGAAUUUCACUUUUGGGACACAUCGUCUAACAAUUUGGUCUGCACAAUACUUGAACAAAUAAAGGUCAUCCCAAAAGAAAUUCUUUAUUUCUGCAAAAAAUUUAACCUUGUCUUGCUUGGUCCAAUGCUCUAGAAGUUUACCUGUAACAAGAUAAUUAACUAUAUCAGCAUACCAAGGUAAUACUUCCACAUUCAUUAAUUGUUCAUUUGGAAAUGACUCAUUCAAUGGUAAUGAUUCUGUAAUUGUGUCAAAAUGGAGACGAGAGAGGUGGUCCGCCACAACAUUUUCUGUCCCUUUCUUAUCUUUGAAUUCCAAGUCAAAUUCCUGCAAAAGUAACACCCAACGAAUUAGUCUAGCUUUUGCAUCUUUCUUUGUAAGAAGAUAUUUAAGAGCAGCAUGAUCUGUGAACACGAUUAUUUUACAACCAAUGAGAUAAGAUCGAAAUUUCUCCAAUGCAAACACUACUGCUAGCAUUUCUUUUUCAGUAGUUGAAUAGUUCAACUAUGCAUCAUUCAAUGUCAUACUAGCAUAGUAAAUAACGUGGGAAAUUCGAUCAACUCUUUGUCCUAAUACUGCUCCUACUGCAUAAUCAGAUGCAUCACACAUGAGCUCAAAUGGUAAGCUCUAGUUCGGGGCCUGAAUGAUGGGUGAUGAUGUCAACAACUGCUUUAAUUUUUUAAAAGCCACAAGACAUGAAUCAUUAAAGAUAAAAGGUACAUCAUUAGCAAGUAAAUUGCAUAAGGGUCUAGAAACUUUGCUAAAAUCUUUAAUGAAACGUUUAUAGAAACCAGCAUGCCCAAGGAAAGAUCUUACUUCUCUGACUGUUUUGGGUGGAGGAAGAUUAGAAAUGAGAUCCACCUUGGCUUUGUCAACCUCAAUACCUUUGCUCGAAAUGAUGUGACCGAGAACAAUACCUUGUUUUACCAUAAAAUGACAUUUCUCCCAAUUUAAAACCAAGUUCUUCUCAAUACAUCUCUGCAGAACUAAUGUUAGAUGAUGUAAACAUUGAUCAAAUGAAUCACCAAAGACAGAAAAGUCAUCCAUAAAGACUUCAAGGAAUCGUUCAACCAUAUCAGAAAAAAUGCUCAACAUGCAUCGUUGAAAUGUAGCAGGUGCAUUACAUAAUCCAAAUGGCAUCCUCCUAUAUGCAAAAGUGCCAAAAGGGCAAGUGAAAGUAGUUUUCUCUUGAUCUUUUGGUGCUAUGGGAAUCUGAUUAUAUCUUGAGUAGCCAUCUAGAAAGCAAUAAAAUUCAUGGCCUGCUAAUCUAUCAAGCAUUUGAUCGAUAAAGGGUAAAGGAAAAUAAUCUUUACGUGUGACAGAAUUCAACUUUCUAUAAUCAAUGCAAACACGCCAUUCUGUAGUUACUCUAGUGGGUAUCAAUUCAUUAUCAGCAUUGGUAACUACUGUGACUCCUGACUUUUUGGGGACAACUUGUACAGGACUGACCCAUGAACUAUCAGAAAUUGGGUAAAUGAUACCUGCAUCUAAUAGCUUAAGGACUUCUGUUCUAACAACUUCUUUCAUAUUAGGAUUUAACCGACGUUGCAUUUCCCUAGUAGAUUUAGCAUUUUUAUCAAGGUGAAUGUAAUGCAUGCAAUCUACUGGAUUUAUACCUUUUAUGUCUGCUAUGGUCCAUCCUAAUGCUCCUUUGUGCUCUUUUAAAACAUCCAACAACUUACCUUUUUAUUCGUCAUUUAGGGAUGAUGAGAUGAUUACCGGUACAGUACUUUCUUCUCCCAAAAAUGCAUAUUCCAAAGUGUUGGGUAAUGGUUUGAGCUCAAGUUUCGGUGGUGAUUCUGAUGAUGGGAUGAGUUUCUUCUCUGAUGGUGCUAGUUGCUUAACUCUUGACUUCUAUUUAUCAGUGUCCAUAGAUGGUGUUGAGUCAAGUAGGGCGUUGACCUCAUCGACCGAUCUGUCAAUAUCAAAAUCCAAACCAAAGUGAGUUAAACAUGUUUGUAAAGGAUCAUCACUAAGGUUUGAAACAAAAGUAUCAUCAACUAAUGCUUCAAUUAAAUCCACAUCAACAAUUCCAUCAUCUGCACUGUGAGGUUGUUUGGCAAUGUUGAAGAUGUUCAGCUCCAUAGUCAUGUUGCCGAAGGACAACUGCAUAUUUCCGGUCCUGCAUUGAAUGUGAGCAUCCACAGUUGCCAAGAAAGGUCGGCCUAGAAUAAUGGGGAUGUGCUUCCUCGAGUCCUGUAUUGGUUGAGUGUCAAUUACAAUGAAAUCAACAGGAAAAUAAAAAUUGUCUACCUGGAUAAGCACGUCCUCCACAAUACCAUGAGGUAUUUUUGUGGACCGAUCUGCAAGUUGUAACACCACUGGAGUUGGGUGUAAUUCUCCAAGUCCAAGUUUCACAAACACUGAAUAAGGUAACAGAUUUACACUAGCUCCUAAAUCCAACAAAGCAUUCUCAAUUGUGUGGUUCCCUAUGCUACAUGAGAUAGUAGGGGAGCCCGGGUCUUUGCAUUUUAAAGGAAUUUUGUGUUGGAGUAUAGAACUAAUGUUUUCUGUUAAAAAUGCCUUAUUUUGAACAUGCAUAUUUCUUUUUUUAGUACAAAGGUCUUUAAGAAACUUGGCAUAAGAUGGAACUUGCUUAAUAGCAUCAAGCAAAGGGAUAUUAACACUUACCUGUUUGAAGAUUUCAAGAAUCUCACCUGUGGAUUUUCCCUUUUUUCCUUUAGCUAACCUUUGAGGAAAUGGAGCUUUCGGAACGUAUUCUCAUGAGUUGUUUUCUUCUUUCUCCUCCGGUGAUGAGUACUCAACAUUCACAGGUACAAUUUGAUUUUCUUUUGUCACCAGCAUCUCCACUUUGUUGUCGACUUCUUUUCCUUUUCGCAAUGUCAUGACUGCUUUGACUUCUCCAUGCUGUUGUGGUGAACUGGUACUUGCUUCAUGUACUUCUUUAGGAUUAGGCACGGGUUGACUUGGAAACUUGCCUUUCUCAACAGUCAUUGCCAAGGUCUGAACUGAAGAAGCAAGUUGUCCCACCAUCUUCUCGAGGCUUGAAACUGAUUGGGCUUGUGAGUUGAAGCCCGCUCUCAAUUCAUUUCGUAGUCCAUCAAUGGUGCGGUUCUGUUGCUCAAUCGUGGAGUGAGUAACAUUCCUGAAAUUCUGGAAUGCAUCCUCCCAUGGUCUAGGUUGAGAGUGGUUCUGGUUCUGAUUGUAUGGUCUGAAUGGUGGCUGAGAGGCUUGAGGAAUUUCAGAAAUUUGUUGCAUUGGUGGAGCUGGAGCUGCUGGUCCAUUCUGUUGGAAUCUUUGAGACCAUGAAAAAUUGGGGUGGUCUCUUCAUCCAGGGUUAUAUGUGUUGGAGUAUGGAUUGUAAUUUGAUGGCUUUCUCAUUACACCUAUGGCAUUGGCUUGAUCAGAGUAUGACUCAGGGUCAUGUGGUUCUGUUGAUUUAGCAGUCGAUAACGAUGCUAUUUGUCGAGCAAGACCUUCAACCAUCUCCUUGACUUCUUUGAAUCCCGAAGUUGACUCGCGAAUGUGAACCUCAUUUACUCCCUUAAUUCUUCUAGUAUUCCUGAAUGAUCGACUCCGUUGUUGGGAAUUAUCCGCUUGUCGCUGGAAGAAUUCCCAAAUCUCUGAUGCACUUUUUGACAUUAGCUCUCCUCCACUUGUUGCCAUUAGCCAUUCUUGCACAUUUGGUAGUGAUCCCUCCAAAAAGUAUUGGCAUUGGUGCCAUUUCUCGUACCCAUGAUGUGGACACUUCAAGAGUAGCCCAUUGAAUCGCUCCCAUGUUUCGAAAAACUGCUCGUACUCUCUCUGAGUAAACUCCGAGAUUUCCCUGCGAAUAGCAUUGGUUUUAUGCACUGGGAAAUAUUUAUUCAAAAAUUUAGUUACCAUUUGUUCCCAUGAUGAAAUGCUAUUGGCAGGCAAUGUAUUAAGCCAUGAACGAGCUCUAUCCUUUAAAGAAAAUGGGAAUAAUCUGAGUUUAACAUCAUUGUCUGAAAAAUUUUCAUAUUUAAAGUUUGACAAAUGGCAUGAAAAUCAUUCAGAUGAUUAUAUGGGUCCUCAUUUUCUAGGUCAUAAAAUGUGGGGAGACAAUUUAGCACACUAGAUUUUAAUUCAAAGCUCCUAGCAGCUACAUUUGGGUAUCUUAUACAUGAUGCGCUCAAAUUUGCUAAAGGACUGAAAUAAUCCUUAAAUGGCCUCUCCUGUGGUUGCAAAUCCAUUUUAUUUUUUACUUGUUUGUGUGUGCGAAGUGUUUUCUCAAGUUCAAGGUCUAUAGGUUCAAGAUUGGGUAAUAAUGACAUUCGACCAUGCAUGCAAAACAAAUAAAAUAAAAAAUAAAGAUGGGAACAAAAUAAAUAAAAAUAAAAAAGAGGGAGAAAUUACGAUACUAACCUUAUUGGGCUAUUACAAACUUUCUAUAAAAAUACACAAAAACAAAUACGUGAAAUAAAUUAACUAAACAUUAAAUUAAUAAAAUAAACAAAAAAAAUUACAAAGAAAAAUAAAUUAAAAAUUAAAUUACAGAAUUUUAAAGAAGAGAAAAAGGAAAGAAAUGCUAACCUUUAAAUGUAAAUUCACUUUUUUUUCUUUUUUUUAAUAAUAAAAAAAAUACAAGAAAACAAAUAAAAGAAAUUAUUCACAAAAAUUAAUUCUAAAAAUUACUUACCUCCCUGGCAACGGCGCCAAAAACUUGUUGUGCAAAUUUUAAUAUACUCGCAAGCGCACGAAUCUAUUGCAGUAUAGAUCAAUGGUGACGAGUGUCGAUCCCACGAGGAGGUGGAUUUUAAUUGUGUAGAAUUAAUUUUGUAAAUGGGUGAUUGGAUUUGUGGUGGAAAUGAUUUGGAAUAUCCUAAAACUUAAAUUAAAAUGGCGAGAAUAAAUUCUAAAAUUGGAAUUGAAAUUACGAGAAUAAAUUGAAGAGAAUUCUAUUAAAAUGACGUACUUGGGUAUCUGGAUCCGUAUCAACAUGCAUCAUGGGCUAAAUAAUCCUUAUUAAUGCCAAUUAAAUCAUGAGGGGGGAAUCCACACCUCAUGAACCACACUCUAAUCAAUAUGGUGCUAAGGGCUUAUCGUGCCAAAUAAUAAUAACCUUGUACUAGAGGGCCGGUGAAACCAAGGCGGUACUAGACAAGAUUAGUAUUAUUUGUCGACGAGAAGUCAAAACAUCCACAAAAACUAGAGGGGAAGAGAAAAUAAAUUUACCAAAUAAAACCCAUGACACAUGUUGAGACUUCACUUUCAACCCAAGCUUGAAAGAAAAUUAGCUACUCAUAAUUGAACUAGGGGCAAAAUGAGAAUUUAUUAAAAUACGAAGAAACUACAAGAUGGAGAAGGAAUUACAAAAAAUAGAGUCCAAAAAUGGAUUCAGAGAUAUCAAAUUAUGGGGGAGAGGCCCCCUUUUUAUAGAUACAUCAAGUAAAUCAUGGCCAUCGGAUUAAAAACAGUUUGGACGCUCAAGAUUGCGACACGUCAUCAGUCAACAGUAACACGGUUUGACUCGGAUGAACAGUAACACGGUUUGACUCGGAUGAACAGUAACGCGGUUUGACUCGGAUGAACAAUAACGCGUUUGGUUGAAAAUAAUUCUGUGUGAUGCAUGUACCGUAUGCGAGAUUUUUCGUUCACUAAUAUGCUGCCACGUCACCAUCAACAGUACAUAAGAAUUUUAGCCCAACAGGAUCGUGACACCUCAUCAGUCAAUGCCACAUCAUCGGUCAAUGCCACGUCAUCGAUCCGUCUAUGUGAACAAUGUAGUGAACAGUAACGUAGACAGUACCGUACACGUGAAUAGUACCGUACAUGUGAAUAGUGCCAUUUUUCCAUUUAUGUUCCUCCUAAGGUUUUCGACCGUUCUGAGUUCAAAAGUGAUGUCCGUUUUGCCGUCUGAUCUCUCCUUUAUUGUGAAAUGACUUUAAUGCCCCUAAAAUACAUAAAAUACUUAAUUAAAAUAAAACACAUGUAAUUAAAUCACAAGAAGGUUAAAUACAUAAAAGUAAGGGUUGUUAGUAAGACUUGAAAUGUAAAAUGACGGUCUUCUCCUUUAUAAGUAUGCAUUUUCUGACACUCAACAUGUGUGUGUAUGGAGGGCAAAUCUUUGACUACCUCCAGCUUCAAGGACCUAUACAAUAACUCUUAAAUCAAACGGAGAAAAUAGUUAAUUCAAUCUGAUUGAAUAUGAUUGAUAUUUACCAUAUGAUUAUUACAUAAAGAUUGAGCCUUAAGUGUUUUACAUUAAGUAAUACUGCACAUUUGUUCUACACAUUUAGACAACUCAGAGUAAGAAUUAUGAAAAUGACAACCAAAUCCAAACUAGCUAGGUGCACUAUUAUUAUUUAUCUUUGCUCCAUAAAUAUUAGAAAGAUAGAGGAGCGGAAGAAAAAGAAAAAACUAAUUUUGUAGUCACAAAUCAAUCUUAUGCUCUGAUUUUGAAGCAAAUCUGCAAAAUAUUUGAGGAUCCAACCAUGAAGCAUGUCCACUUCAAUCUUUCGCUGCACUGCUAACCAUUAUGGGUCGUCUUCUAUUGCUGGCUGUACGUCUAAGCAAUGGGAACCUACUCCAAUUUACACACUGUUAAUUAAUUAUGUUAUCAAAUAAUUUAGUUAAUAAUUGAACACUUAUUUUUUAUUUUAUAGAAAAAUUUACAUACUGCUUCUUGUUGUCACUGUUAUUAUAUUGUCUGAUAUCUUCCAAAACCCUAUAAUCUCCCCCCCACCAAAAAAAAAAGAAGAAAAAGAAUAAGGCAUAUAAUUAAACGGGUAACUUCGAUAGAAAAUAGUGUACAAAAUUUUUAAGCUUAAUUACCCCUCGCUGCUAUGGGAUCACGAAGGCCAUUAGGUAAAAUAAUGUUGCUACCAAAUCUCUUUAAAACCACUCUUAUAUCUUGCAAAUUAAAAAGAAAUAGAAAUCAAACAACAAUUGAGGUAAACUUUAUAAUUAAAAAAGAAAAUGAGAAAAAUUAAAUUAUUAAAAGAAUUAAUUUGGGGAUUAAUCAAUACUUACAUGACCUCCGUAAUAUGUUGUAAUCUAAUGUGGUCUCGGAACCACUCCAUAAGACUUAUUGCAUGAAUUCAUAUAUUCUGUCAGAUUAAAUGAGUAUGUUUGAAACAUUGUGUCGUUUUUGCCAAUUCCAAUUGGUGAGACCAUUUCAUUGUAUGUCUGGAUUGAACUCCCCCUCCCUAAAAAAAAUAAUAAAUAAAUAAGAUAAAGAAGAAAACUAUUUUUAAUCAUUCAUAAAUAUGUAUUCUCAUAAAUAAAAUUUAGAGAUGUACAUAAAAUAAGUAUUGUUAGACGAAAGACUCAUUCAUUGCGACAUGUUGUUUAUUUGACGGUCUCAAUAGUACUAUCCAAUUGGUUUAUUGGCUUAUAUUUGUGUGGUGUAGAUCUAUUUGAAUAACAUUGCAGAAAUAUGAGAUAAUAUGGAAAAUAUUAGAAAUAGUUAAUAGCAUUAUUAAGAUACUAAAUAUCAGCCAAAAUAAUAAAAUAAAUAAAAAGCUCAAAGAGUUCUUGUUGUAAAUCAUGACUCGAAUAGGAAAAUAAACAAGACUAAUCAUAUCUUUGUGUAAAUUUAAUUUGUAUAAAAAAAACGUGUAGGUGUAAUAUUAUAAAUAAACUCAUAGAGAAAAGAAUGUGUAAACUCCUGUGAUUUGACAAAAUAAUCAAAAUAAUCUGUUUAUUUUUUAAAAUAGUUACAAAGCUCCUUUUGUAACAUACAAACUAUGGAAAUUCAUGGGCUACUUAACAUCCAUUUUAAUUUUUUUUUAUUUACACAAAAACAUCAUAGACGAAAGAAGAUAAAAAAUUUCAUUGCACCCAAUUUUUUUGCAUGCGAUCAAUAAGGAAAAGAGGCAGAAAGUGUUGGAAAUAUAGCACAAGUGGCUAUUUGAGGCGUGAUUUUGAGUGAGACCUAUGUGGUGUAAGUGAAAAGUUAAAAUUGUUUCAAAUAUUUCUCUGUAAAUACUUCAAAAUGGUUUUAUCUAUAUGAUCAAAAUGAUCCUUGGAUAAAUGAGAAAUGGUAACUGAAAGUAAAUUCAUGGAAUUGGAAAAUUAAAGGAAGAUACAUUUGUCCCACAUGAAAAAGGUAGUGAAGGCAUGAAAGGCUUGUAUAUAAUUAUUUAUAGUAUGAGUAAAAUAUAAACCAAAAUGCUCUCUCUUCCGUGCUCCUUCCUGAGUAUACGAAAGUUGGCCCAAAUCGAUCGUGGUAGGCCUGCCUUAGUCUUGCACAUUUGAAGUUCAUCGUGAAACGAUCCCAUAGUUGUCGUUCAAACCUCUGGGCACUUAAAAAAAGGUUUUCUUUUUAUUUUUUUUAUAUUUUUUAAAUUUAAUAAAUGCCAUAUUAUUUAAUAUUUAAUUUUAAGGCAUCUUUUUAAGUUGAGGGCAGGGAACCACUCCGAUACGUAACUUCGUGACCUGCUAAUCUAAUCACCUUGACUUUGAAGACUUCUUCCCCUAGUCAGCAAUGAUUUGGAACUUACGUCUUGACAUAUGCUGUGGAAAAAAAAGAGUGAAGCAGACUUAUUAAGUCGAGAUGUUUCUUCAGUCUAGAUAUUUUCGUUUAUACGUGUACACAUAUUCAAUGUCUAACCUUAUUUUGAAAAAAGACUAAUGUCCUAUUUGGGAUUACGGUUGAAAUACUAUAAAUAGUUUAUUUUAUAAGUUUUGAUAAAAAUAAUGUUUGGUAAAUUUGUUAAAAGUUAAUUUAUAUUUUCUCUAUUUUGACAAUAGCUUUUAAAACAAGUAUGAGAUUAUUUUUAGAAGCAACUUAUUAAAUAAAAUGCAUUUUUUUAAAUUUUCUAUUAUAACUAAGAAAAGAAUAAUUGUAUCUUACUUUUUUUAUAAAUCCUAAUAUAUAAAUAAAAGACAAUUUAAACUUAUAAUUAUUUUAGUGAUUAUAUAAUAAAAUAGUUCUUGCAUAAUUGAAUUUACCAAACACUGAGCGAGCUACUUUUAUAAUGAUUAGCUUAUUUUAUCCGCAUAACAGAAGUAGUUUAUUCAAUAGCCACCGGAAUCUCAAACUGAUUCUAAGUCAUGUUUGGAAUUGCAUGACAUUGUCAAAUAAUUAACAAAAGAAGCUAUUAUGUAGAAGCAUAGGAACAGGUUGAGAAUGAGAGAUACAUGUACAUGGAGAGCAAAUUCUUUUACUCUCACCGGCUUCAACGACCUAUACAAUAACUCCUAAAUCAAAGGGAGAAAAUGGUUAAUUCAAUGUGAUUGUACAUGAAUUGAUAUUCACCAUAUGAUUAUUACAUAAAGAUUGAGCCCUUUAUAUGUGCUUUACAUUAAGUAAUACUGCACACUUGUUCUACACAUUUAGACAACCCAGAUUAAGAAUAAUGAAAAUGAACUCUUAAACUAGCUAGGUGCUCUAUUAUUUAUCUUUGCUCCAUAAAUAUUAGAAAGAUAGAGGAGAGGAAGAAAAAGAAAAACAACAACAUACACUCUAAAUAAUCCUUCAAUUCUGAAACAUCCUUCAGAGGCUUGUAAUCAAAUAAACAACAACAACAUAGAAUUAAGUGCCACAAGGUUAGUAACAUUAUAAAAGAUCUUUCAACAUGCCGUCUAAAAAAUGUUGUUAUAUUUAGUUAGAUUACAAUAAACUUUAUAAGUAUGAAGCUAUUGAUAUUAUCAAAUGCAAACGUACAAAUUUGGCCUUAUUUGAUAAUUAGAGUUGUGCGUGGUUUUGUAGUUCAAAUUUAGAUUCUGUAAAAUACGAACCUCUGGAGGGCUGAAUCUAAGCACCAGUAUACUAUAUAUAUGGUAAUGCAAAGGCCGUGUAUAAGCCCAAAUCCAGAUUUUUACUUUGUAUAUUACACGUUAAUCGAAAUGUAUAUAUACUCUGAGGAUGACAGAUAAUUAAUUAGACAUAGUACAUUCGAUAAUGAUGCUACAAUAACAUUGCAUUAAUUGUAAUUAAGGGAAAAUCGGAUGGAUAUAUAUAAGCAAUUAUGUAAAGUAAUAUGAUUAAUUUCUUGCAGGUUUUGAACUUUUUAGAGAGAAAAGCAAGUCCAUUUUUUCUAGCAGCGGUUUUAUCCAUUUCAACCCAGGACUGUUUGAUGGUCAUGUAGCAGCCCUCGCUGGCUUCCUGCAUCAUUAAUUUUCAAAAUUCAAUGGUUAAAUUUUAACAAGAAAACAUAAUCAUACAUAUAUAGAAUUUUAAUUAAUUAAUUUUUUUUCUUACCCUACAGUCAUUGGUGACAAGAUCAUAAUAUGCGUUUGAUGGUGUGAUAUUAUCAAAGUAGAGAAUUGGGGCGGGCGAGGCAACUGCUCCCAAAGACUGUGAGGAUACUUCAAGCGAAACCAUGCUGCAAGCACUGGUGAUAACAAACCCACAAUUGAGUAACUCUCAAAACCAUAUCACAUCCCAGAUUUGAUAAAAUAGGACUAAUUGAGAUGGUUAUUUUUAAAAAAGUAAUUAUCUUAAAUAUAUUUAGUAUUUCUUAAUUUUACGAUCGCUGAAAGUAUUCAUUAAUUGGAAUGCAAAAUAAAUUUGUAUCAAAAUAAUAUUGGCGUAAUCAAUAUUUUGGUCAAACGAGAUCAAAAUGAAUAAAAUGGCGCAACAAAUGACACGACAUUAAUCAAAAGAUGUAAGUAAGUUAAUAAUAUUAAAAUUUACUUCCUCGAUAAGAUGCUCCAACGACGAUAAUGGGUGACAUUUCGGCCGAUAAAUUUUCCUUGAUGUGUAAGAGAAUCUUUGCAUAAUCUACCAAAGCUUGACCAGAGUUUAAAUAUCCACGAAGAGUUGCAUUGUUUAGGGCAUCUUUGCUUGAUACAAAAGGUACUGAUUUUCCAUAGAACCGAUACUGCAUGAAAAAUUGAAUUAAAAAAAAUCCAUCACAACUUUUCAGUUCAUAUUAUAGAAUAUUCUGAUUAAGAUUUGUCUUUAUUAUUAUUAUUUCGUAUGCGAACUCUAUUUUAAUUAUUAUCAAGCUAGCCUGAUAACAAAUUCUUUACUUACCUCUAUGUAAACUUAUAAGGCUUUAAAUCGAUGAGCAUUAUCAGCAAGCCAUCCAAUGCCACCAAGGUCAUCAUAUCAAGACUACUCUCUUCACCAAGAUAUGCCAAUAUCGGCGCCGCCAUGGCUCUGCCACCACCCCAAUGCUUGAAGUUCAACGCAUAUCUAUGAGGAAAAGUUAAAUAACUUUGUGGAUUAUAGUUAAAGUGAUCAAGUGUUUGAUCAUAAUAGUAAGUUUCGAGAUCAUAAUAGUAACUUUGUGGAUUUUUUUGCUAGGGUUUUGAAAAAUAGUCCUUCCACGAACAGCACCAAGCUUUGGGAUGUUCUUUAAUGGUGAAGUGGAAGCAAAAGCAAAAUUUGUGACGAGAAGAAGAAAAAGGCAUGGAGCGACCGACCUUUCAUGGCAAAGUUGUAAAUCCUUAAUUAGCAGGAUGAUUAUGUAAAUACAGAAGAAAUAGAGUUAAGAUUAGAUUAUAAAUUCAGCUUCAAAAUCGACGUGUUUGUUAAUAUAUCCUGGAUUUGUUGUUAUCGUAUAAUAUAAUUAAUGUUGCUUUUAGUUUUAUAUUAGUAUGGAUCUUCAGUUUUCAUAAAAUUAUAGUGUGUCUAAUGUUGUGCAAAUUUUAUUGAACUCACAAGUGUACGAAUCUAUUGUAGAAUAGAUUAAUGGUGACGAGUAUCGAUCCCACGAGGAGGUUGAUUCUAAUUGUGUGUAGAAUUAAUUUUUCUAAAUGGAUGUUUGGAUUUGUGGUGAAAGUGACUUAGAUUAUCUUAAAAUUGGAAUUGAAAUGGCGAGAAUAAAUUGAAGAGAAAUCUAUUGAAAUGAAACACUUGGGUAUCUGGAUCCGUAUCAACAUGCACCAUGGGCUAAAUAUUCCUUAUUAAUGUCAAUUAAAUCAUGAGGGGGGAAUCCACACCUCAUGAACCACACUAUAAUCAAUAUGGUGCUAAGGGCUUAUCGUGCCAAAUAAUAAUAACCUUGUACUAGUGAGUCGGUGAAACCAAGACGGUAUCUAGACAAGAUUAUUAUUAUUUGUCGACGAGAAAUCAAAACAUCUACAAAAACUAGAGGGGAAGAGAAAAUAAAUUUACCAAAUAGAGCCCAUGACACAUGUUGAGACUUCACCUUCAACCCAAGCUUGAAAGAAAAUUAGCUACUCACAAUUGAACUAGGGGUAAAAUGAGAAUUUAUUAAAAUACAUAGAAAAUACAAGAUGGAGAAUAAAUUACAGAAAAUGGAGCCCAAAAUUGGAUUCAGAGAUAUCAAAUUAGGGGGGGAGAGCUCCCUUUUUAUAGAUACAUUGAGUAAAUCAUGGCCAUCGAAUCAAAAACAUUUCGAACACUCAGGAUUGCGCCACGUCAUUAGUCAACAGUACGCGGUUUGAACAGUAACACGGUUUGGUUGAAAAUAAUCCUGUGUAAUGCAUAUACUGUACGCGAGAUUUUUGGUCCACUGAUAUGUUGCCACGUCAUCGAUCAACAAUACAUAAGAAUUUUAGUCCAAUAGGAUCGUGACACCUCAUCAGUCAAUGCCACAUCAUCGGUCAAUGCCACGUCAUCGGUCAAUGCCACGUCAUCGUUCCGUCUAUGUGAAUAGUGUCAUGAACAGUAACGUAGACAAUACCGUACAUGUGAGUAGGACCGUACAUGUGAACAAUGACAUUUUUCCUUUUAUGCUCCUCCUAAAGUUUUCGACUGUCCUAAGUUCAAAAGUGAUGUCCGUUUUGCCGUAUGAUUUCUCGUUCAUUGUGAAAUGACUAUGAUGCCCCUAAAAUACAUAAAAUACUUAAUUAAAAUAAAACACACGUAAUUAAAUCACAAGAAGUUUAAAUACAUAAAAGUAAGGGUGUUAGUAAGACUUGAAAUGUAAAAUGAUGAUUUUCUCCUACAUAAAUAUACAUUUUCUAACACUCAACAUCUAAUAUAUAGUUAACAGUUUCGUAAUUAAUAAAAUUUUUUAUUAUUUCUUUCCUAGUAAUUAAUUAUCUUGUGCUGGAAAGAAUAUCACUAACCACAACUUCUGCAGAAGCUUCCUCACCUUCGGAUGACAUCAGCGGUGGGUCCAGGAUGUUUGAUCGGAUCGGCGAAAUUAAAAAUUUAUUGUAUAUGUUUGCGUGAAUAUUUACAAAGGAGUGAAAAAACUAAUAUAUUAAAUAACGCGACAUCAACAACGUCGUUCUGAAUGAAAUUUUUAUAUAUAAUUUGUAAAAUAAACUAAUAAUUAGAAUGACAAUUUAGCCUUUUUAACUUGUAGAGACACAACCUUAAAUUCCUUAAUAUGCUGGUUAAUUCAGAUCAUUGAGAUGGAGACAAUUAGACAAACCUUAUUUUAUCAGAGUGAACUGCGAAAGUACAAGCUUUACAAAAGAGAUUAAUGUCGUAGUGUGAAUAGAAUUAAAAAAUACUAAGGCAGACAAUUCGUCGAACACAUAAUAUUUGCUACAUUGCUACUACCUAAUAAUUUCACAACCAAUUAACAGUCUCCUUUAUUGGAAAAAUCACAUUAAUCAACCAAAUACAUUUCUUGGUUUCUAAGCUCCAAAAUUGAAAUUUCAUGAAAAGGUUUCUGCAUUGGUGUCUUAUUGCGAGCGAUAAAUUCGUUGGACACGAGUUGCAUUGUAGGUCGAGACUUUGGUUGAGAACGCAAGCAUGAAAAUACUACUGUUGAAACAAGAAUGAUAUCCUGCCUAAUCAUUUGGUCCCCCGGAGGCGGGAGGCGUGGGUCCAACAAAUCAAUCAGCUUUAUAUUUUUAUCCAAUGAUGACGAUGACGAUGAGAGGAGCGCUUCUGGAUGCCUUCCCACUAGUACUUCUAGUGCCACCACUCCAAAGCUAUAAACAUCACAUUUCUCUGUCACAAUCAUGGUGUAGGCAAGUUCUAUAGGAAAACAAAGGCCUUCAUUAGUAACGUUUCCAUAAAUAAUAACAAGAACAAUUUGUUCAUGUUUUUUAGCUUCCGCAGCAAGUUAUGACAAAGAAACUUAUGUUUUAACUUAUGUUCAUUGUGUGUGUGUUUUAAAAGGAAAAGGGGUAGGCAAAGUUUAAAUUUAUUUUUAGCCCCUUAGCUUUUUCAAAAUUCGAACCAAGUAGCGACAUAAAUAAAGCUGCUUAAAAGCUACUUGGCAGAGUAUAUAUAAAAAUUAAUUAAGAGGAUAAUUAAAGAAGCAUAAGAGGAAUAGCUAGAGGAUGACCUGGAGCAAUAUAUCCAAAAGUGCCAGCUAAAAGAGUUCGGUUGGAUGAGUCAAAAUUUAACAAUCUAGCAAUGCCAAAGUCCGCAACAAAUGCUUCUAAUUCUGAGUUAAGUAGAAUGUUGUUGCUUGAUAUGUCCCGGUGAACAAUUGGUGGUGUGCAGUGAUGAUGUAAGUAUGACAAAGCGUGAGCCAUACCCUUCACAAUGUUCACCCUUUUAGUCCAAUCCAACCCAAUAGCUUCCUCAUCUGUGCGUAGAACACAGAACAAGCUUCCCAUUUCCAUGUACUCAUAGAUUAAGAACAUGCAUGUCUUGUGCAAACAAAAGCCGUAAAGCUUUACGAUAUUUCGAUGCCGUAUUUGGGACAGUAGACGAGCCUCAUUCCGAAAACUCUCGAGGGAAGCUAACUCCUCAGUUUCUGAACGGUGAAGCUUCUUCAAAGCAACCACUUUUCCACUGGGCAGCCGUGCUCUGUAAACGCUGCCGUAGCCUCCGGUUCCAAUGCAGUAUUUGAUAUCGAAAUCCUCAGUGGCUUCAAUCAUGUCUUGAAAUGUAAUUCUACCAUCGUAAUUCCAAAUUGCAAACUCAUCAGCGCACUUGGUAAUUUCUCCUGUCCCAGUUGGUUCAACUUCCUUAUCCCUUCGUCUACGGAUAAUCAAGAUUCCAAAUAUCAAGGCAAGGAAUGCGACCAUAGCAAGAAUAAUUGCAACCAAGAGAGUGGCAAUCAUUUUGUGAUGUGGCGGUGGCGCAUUUGCCAAAGUAGUUGGGAUUUCUCCUCCGAAUUUAUUACCUGACACAUCUAAGUGUGGCACUUUUCUGACAAAUACAGGGAUUCCACCGGAAAGGUUAUUCAUGGAAAGGUCCACGGUGUGUAUGCCCGGAAUUGCUCCAAGUUGGUAAGGUAUUUUACCAUUGAUGGAGUUACAGCUUAGAUCAAGAUAAUAUAGUUCUUGAAGUUUGCCAAUCUGUGACGGAAUGCUUCCGCUUAACAAGUUGUUUCCCAAUAUUAAUGUCGUCAGCUUUGAGCAAUUCAUGAGUUCUGGAGGAAUUGGGCCAUCAAGUUUGUUGUCAGACAAGUCUAAAAAUGUCAACCUGUUUAAAUGACCAAGUGUUAAAGGAAUAGAUCCAGUUAGAUUGUUAUAUUCCAGGGACAGAGAUUUCAAGUUGACUAAACUAGCUAUGGUCGAAGGAAUUGGACCUUCAAGUUUGUUGUUGGGCAGGUCAAGAACUUGAAGAAAGUUCAAAUGACCCACAGACGAAGGGAUUGGACCAACAAGUUUGUUUUCAGACAAGUCUAAAUAUGUCAACCUGUCUAAAUGACCAAGUGUUGAAGGAAUAGGUCCAGUUAGAUUGUUAUCCUGCAGGGACAGAUAUGUCAAGUUGACUAAACUAGCUAUGGUCGAAGGAAUCGGACCUUCAAGUUUGUUGUUGGACAGGUCAAGAACUUGAAGAAAGUUCAAAUGACCCACAGACGAAGGGAUUGGGCCAACAAGUUUGUUUUCGGACAAGUCUAAAUCUGUCAACCUGUUUAAAUGACCAAGUGUUAAAGGAAUAGGUCCAAUUAGAUUGUUAUAAUGCAGGGACAGAGAUGUCAAGCUGACUAAACUAGCUAUGGUCGAAGGAAUUGGACCUUCAAGUUUGUUGUCGGACAGGCCAAGAACUUGAAGAAAGUUCAAAUUCCCGAUUUCUAAUGGGAUGGAACCAUUGAUUCGGUUUGAGUGCAUAUUCAAAGUAGUUAGCUGAGUCAAAGGACCUACAGACGAAGGGAUUGGACCAACAAGUUUGUUUUGGGACAAGUCUAAAAUUCUCAACCUCUUUAAAUGGCCAAUUGUUGAAGGAAUUGAACCUCCAAUUUCAUUUCUGGACAGGUCAAGAACUUGAAGAACCUUCAAAUUCUCGAUUUCUAAUGGGAUGGAACCAUUAAUUUGGUUUGAGGCAAUAGCCAAAGUAGUUAGCUGGGUUAGAUGACCUAGAGUGGAGGGGACAUUACCAACAAGGGAGUUAGAAGACAAGUUCAAAAUUUUCAAUUUGCUUAGACGACCAAGAGUUGGAGGGAUAUGUCCCGUAAGGUGAUUAUUAGAUAGAUCCAGGUGGACGAGAUUCCUCAAUCUCCCCAUCUCUGAAGGGAUAAUUCCUGUUGUGCAUGUGAUUUAUGAAAAACGAGAUCAGUAUUCACUAUCCUCAUAGCAACAAAAAAAAAUGCAAAAUUUAUAUGGAGAGAGAGUCAUACUCAAGUGCGGACGGCACACACUUCUUCAGCGUUGUAAAAGCAAACGCCCGCACUAAGCAUGAGCACGAUUUUAUAAAAAAUAUAAUAUGUUACAGUGAAGUUUGGCAGCUUACCGGUAAGAUUGUUGGAGGUCAGUUCAAGAGUUCGGAUUGUUGAAAGAACAGUAAUUUCAGAUGGAAUGCUCCCAGAGAGAAGAUAAUUUGAACGAAUUUUGAAACUUCUGAGGUUGGGAAAGCAAGAGAAUUUGAAACGACCAAGCUCUCCUGUGAUGUUAUCAUUUUCAUACCAGAGUAAGCUGACCCCGAUUACGCUUACCGCUGAAUUGCAACUGAUGCCAGUCCACUUACAAUGAUCGGACGUGUAGUUGCCCGUCGUCGCCCAAUUGUUGACCCACCAGCCGGUAGCAAGUAAAGCUUCCCUUUCUAACAGUAUGGGUGACGACAACAAUCCUGCAGCUGAUGUCGUUACAGAUAUUGUCGUAUCACUUAUAGCACCAACAUUUAUUAAAAUUAUAAUGACCACCAGUCUCGAAACAGAGGACGCUGAUGCCAUGUUUAUGGUGGUUUUCUGUUGAUUGAGCUACAUUUGAUUCUCAGCAAAGCGUUUAUAUAAGAAUCAAUUGUUUUGCAAGCUCCCAGUGUUAACUUCCAAUACGCGUUUUCAAAUAGUGUGAGUCAAUGUCUUCUCUGGAUGGAUUCAAUCAUGGAGAUAUAACCUUAUCGGCUUGUAUUUGUGAGGUGUAGAUCUAUUUGAACAACUUUGCAGAAACAUGAGAUAAUAUGGACAAUAGUAGAAAUAAUUAAUAGCAUUAUUAGUAGUAUAAGAUAUUAAGUAUUACCCAAAAUAAGAAAAGGAAAAAAGUUCAAAGAAAAGAAUUGUUAUAAAUAAUGGCUCAAAUAGGAAAAUAAACAAGACUAAUCAUAUCUUUUGUAACAUACAUACCAUAGCUCAUGGGCUAACUAACAUUUUUUUUUUUUAACCCUAAACAUCAUAAAUGAAAGAAGAUGAAAUUUUAAUUACCGCUCAAUUUUUCUGCACGCAACCAAAUUUAAAAAAAAAGAAAAAAGAAAGUGUUAGAAAAAUAAUGCGCAAGUAGCUACUUGAGGCAUGAUUUUGAAUGAGACCUUUUUGGUAUAAGUGAAAAUUCAGAAAUUGUUUCGCAUAUUCCUCUAUGAGUACUUCGGAAUGUUAUCUAUACAAUCAAAAUGAUCCUCAAGUGAAUGAGAAAUUGUUACUCAAAGUGCACUCAUGAAUUUGAAAAAUUAAAGGAAAAUACAUUUGUCCCACAUUGGAAAGAUUUAUACAUAAUUACUAGAUGAACGGUAAGCUACUAUUAGCAAAGGGGCGUUCCUUGUGCACAGUCACGGGAGUGCAAAAUUUAACCACCCCAAUUAGCUUAACCAGUGUUCAUAUUGGGGGUGUUUACCCGACCCUUAGUUGGGGUUAGCUAAUGUGGCAACUUAGUUUGCCUUUUUUUUUUUUUUGCUCUUUGUAAUAAUAAUAAUAACAAAUUAAUAUAAUUUUUUAAUUUAAUAUUAUAUUACAUAAUAUUAAAUUAUGUUUUAAUUUUUAUUAUUUUAAAUAUAUAACUAAACAAUGUAUUAUUUAAUUGUAUUAUUUUAAUUAAUAUAUAAAAUUAUAUUAAUUAAUCUUUAAUAAGUUAAUAUAAUUAGUAAUAAAUACUUAAAUAAUAUAAUAUUACAUUAUUAAUUAUAGUACAAUAAUUAAUUUAGCUAUUUUUAAAUAAUUUAAUAUAACUAACAAUAAAUAUUUAAAUUUGAAUAAAUUUGAAUAAUAUUAAUUGAAAAUUAAUAAUAUAAAUAAUUACUGGAUUAUUUAGCUCAAUUUAUUUUCUUAGUGAAUAUGUCAUAACAAUUGUAUCACUUUAUUAUUCUAUAAUUAUCUUGUAAUAUGUAUAAAUUUUUAUUCUAUCAUCCUCAAAUGAUUUUUGAAUUAAUCUUGAAGAUUUUAACUAUUUAUUUAUGUUGUUAAAUUAUUUAGUGAUUAUUUGAUUAAAUUAUUUACUUCGAUCUUUAUUUCACAAGUUAUAUAUUUAGAAAAUACUGAAAAAUACACAUCCAAAAAUUUAAGACUAUAAGCCUCGGAAAAAUUAUGACAUUUCAAUAUAUAUUUUUAAUAAAAAUGUUAAAUUUCUAAAUUUCUAAAAUUUAAUAAUUUUAUAUUUAUUAUUUUUAAGUACUAAUAAAUAUUAUUUUCUAAAUAUAUAAUUUAAAUUAAUCACAAAAAAAUUAAUACAGUACAGUGUAACGCUAAACAUUAUACAACAUUAUUAUAAUACAAUGCUAAUGCAAUACAACAUAAUACAAUACACCUACAAUAAAAUAAUGCAAUACAACAUAAAAUAGAAUACAGUGUGUCAAAUGCACCAUUGUAUUAUUGUUUCGUUCUCAUGGUAUAAUUGCCGUCCAUACCUGUGCAAAACAUUAAGAGUUAAAAAUAUAUAUUUUUAUGAUUAAUUUUAGAUUUUUUUAAACUUUAAUAAUGCCAUAUUAUUUAAUAUUACAAUUGCCGUUCGAACAUGUGCAAAACAUGAAGACUAAUAUAUAUAUAUAUAUAUAUAUACACACCAUAUUAUUUAAUAUUUAAUUUUUAAGGCAACUUUUACUUUUAAAAAAAAAAUUUAAGGCAACUUUUUUAGUUGAGGGCAGGGAACCCCUACGAUACGUAAUUCCAUAACACGCUUAUCUAAUCACCUUGACUAUAAGACUUCUCCUAGUCAGCAAUUAUUUGGAAAAAAACGUCUUGACAUGUGCUGUGGAAAUUAAAGAAUGAGGUGGACUUACGAAGUCAAGGGGUUUUUCUAGUCUACAGAUUUUAAUUUAUAUGUGUAGAAAAUUAGAAAUAUUCAGUGUCUAAUCUGAUUCUACAUAAAGACUAAUGCCCCAAGAUUGUGAUUGAAAUACCACAAGCAGUUUAUUUCAUAAGUUUAGGUAAAAAUGAGGUUUGAUGGCUUUGUUAAAAGUUGCUUCUUUCGUAAUUUUCUCAUUUUGACUGCAACUUCAAAAAAUAGGCAGGAGAUUAUUUUGAUAAGCAACUUAUUAAAUAAGUUGCUAGAUCUUUUUAAAUGUUCCUAUAAUAAUCUUAAUAUUUUAAGAAAAGAAUAAUUAUAUCUUUCUUUUCUAUAAGCUCUAAUAUAUAAAUAAAACACAGUUUAAACUUAUGUCUAUUUUAGUGAUUAAAUAAUACAAUACAUUCAUAAUCAAAUUUACCAAACACAAGCAAGAUACUUUUUUAAUCAUCAACUUAUUUCAUCCUCACAACAAAAAUAACUUAUUUUAUCAGCCACCGCCAUCCUAAACUUGAUGCUAAGUCACAUUUGGGAUUGCAUUUGAUUGUCAAAUAAUUAAGAGAAAUAGCCAUUAUGGAGAAGAAUAGGGAGAGGUUCGCCUAAAGCAAUAUACCCGUAAGCUUGGCUACUAAUAAACGGAGCAUAUAAGCAUAAACACCUAACUUUUGAGGCAUAUAAGGGAUCUAAAAGUGCGGGAAACGUUCGGAAAAACUUUAAAACCACAGGGUUUUAAAGGCUUAAACUGCAUGGUUUAUGUGUUUUCCUAGAUAUUCCUACACUUUAAAAUUCAAGAUUAAAACAUUUCCAUAUGUGUGUGUGUGUGUGUGUGUGUGGAGGGCAAAUCUUUGACUCUCUCCAGCUUCAAGUACCUAUACGGUAACUCUUAAAUCAAAAGGGAGAAAAUGGUUAACCCAAUCUGAUUGUAUAUGAAUUGAUAUUCACCAUAUGAUUAUUGCAUAAAGAUUGAGCCUUAAGUGCUUUACAUUAAGUAAUACUGAACACCUGUUCUACACAUUUAGACAACUCAGAGUAAAAAUUAUGAAAAUGACAACCAAAUCCAAACUAGCUAGGUGCACUAUUAUUAUUUAUCUUUACUCCAUAAAUAUUAGAAAGAUAGAGGAGAGGAAGAAAAAGAAAAGACUAAUUUUGUAGUCACAAUUUAAUCUUAUGCUCUGAUUUUGAAGCAAAUCUGCAAAAUAUUUGAGGAUCCAAUCAUGAACCAUGUCCACUUCAAUCUUUCGCUGCACUACUAACCAUACUGGGUCAUCUUCUGUUGCUGGCUGUGUGUCUAAGCAAUGGGAACCUACUCCAAUUUACACACUAUUAAUUAUGUUAUCCAAUAAUUUAGUUAAUAAUUGAACACUAAUUUUUUAUUUUAUAGAAAAAUUUAAAUACUGUUUCUUGUUGUCACUGCUAUUAUACUGUCUGAUAUAUCUUCCAGAAUCCUAUAAUCCCCCCCCCCCCAAAAAAAUAGAAGAAACAGAAAAGAUAUAUAAUUAAACAGGUAACUUCGAUAGAAAAGAGUGUACACAAUUCUUAAGCUUAAUUACCCCUCGCUACUAUAGGGAUCACGAAGGCCAUUAGAGAAAAUAAUGUUGCUACCAAAUCUCUUUAAAACCACUCUUAUAUCCUGCAAAUUAAAAAGAAAUAGAAAUCAAACAAAAAUUGAGGUGAACUUUAUAAUUAAAACAGAAAAUGAGAAAUCUUAAAAUAUUAGAAGAAUUAAUUUGGGGAUUAAUCGACACUUACAUUACCACUUUAAUAAGUUGUAAUCCAAUGUGGUCUUGGAACCACUCCAUAAGACUUAUUGCAUGAAUCCAUAUAUUCUGUCAGAUUAAAUGGGUCUGCUUGAGACAUUGUGUCGUUUUUGCCAAUUCCAAUUGGUGAGACCAUUGCACUGCAUGUCUGCAUGAGAAACCCCCCAAUAAUAAAAAAUAAUAAUAAUAAAAUAACAUAAAGAAGAAAACUAUUUUUAAUCAUUCAUAAAUAUAAAGUCUCAUUGCCACAUGUUGUUUAUUUAACGGUCUCAAUAGAACUAUCCAAUGAAAUCAUGUCACUUGUAAUUGCAUACCUGUCAGCCCCAGCUGGAGUCCAAUGUUGCAUCGGAGAAGAAUUCAUCAACAUCAUGGCAAGAAUCCUCCCCUCUUAAAUCAACAAUUCCUGAGAUGAUCCAGUCUAGGGCAUCUGUGUCUUCUAAAGCUCCAUCAAUUGCAUUACAGGCUUUGUUCACUGGGCUUUCCUGAGGAUCAUCAUACUGAGCUGCACCCGUAUACAUAUACUCUAAAUAAUCUUUCAAUUCUUAAACAUCCUUCAGAGGCCUGUAAUCAAAUAAACAAUAACAUAGAAUUAAGUGCCACAAGGUCAUUAAUUUUAUAAAAGAUCUUUCAACAUAUUGUCUUCAAAAUGUUGUUAUAUUUAGUUAGAUUACAAUAAACUUUAUAAGUAUGAAGCUAUUGAUAUUCUCAAAUACAAACGUUCAAAUUUGGCCUCAUUUGAUUAUCAGAGUUGUGCGUGGUUUUGUAGUUUAAAUUUAGAUUCUGCAAAAUAUGGACGUCUGAACCUAAGCACCAGUAUACUAUAUAUGGUAACGCAAAGGCCGUGUAUAAGCCCAAAUCCAGAUUUUUACUUUGUAUAUUACACGUUAAUCGAAAUGUAUAUAUACGCUGAGGAUGACAGAUAAUUAAUUAGACAUAGUACAUUCGAUAACGAUGCUACAAUAACAUUGCAUUAAUUGUAAUUAAGGGAAAAUCGGAUGGAUAUACAAUACAAUACAAUAUACAAUAUGGAUAUACAAUAACAUACAAUAUGAUUCUGAUACAACCCCAAUAUUACAGUUAGACAAGCCCAACUCAGCUAGCUCUAUCAAUACUGAGGAAAAGGCCCAGGCAAACUCAAGUGAGGCUAUCCAAAAUCGACCCCAAGAUAACCUCAAGCCAAGUCGCGUAAGGAAGCCUCCCAAAUGGCUCAAGGAUUACACAUACUGAGCAUAUAUGAGCUGAGGACUCGGUUUCUAACGGCCUUAGCUAUUUAGAGAACAACUUUUUUGUUAUAGAGGGAGGUUGUUAUUUAGUUUUGACAGCUGUGAGCAUAUUCUUGCUGCUAUAAGUAUUUCCAUGGUUGUAUUUGAUGAUAUAUAAAAUUCUGGACCUAGUUUCUUCUUCUUCUCUGAAUUUUUCUCUCUAUUCUAUCUUGCCAUUCACUCAUUUCUUUAAAAUUCUGGGAGCUUGCACUUGCUUGAAAAGUGUGGAAACCUUGCUGUUCGGUGUGUUCACCAGCGGCAUAACAGAUUCAUUACUUGCAGGUUUUGAACUUUAUAGAGAGAAAAGCAAGUCCAUUUUUUCCAGCAGCGACUUUAUCGAUUUCAGCCUAGGACUGUCUGAUGGUCUUGUAGCAGGUCUCGCUGGCUUCCUGCAUCAUUAAUUUUCAAAAUUCAAUGGCUAAAUUUUAACAAGAGAACAUAAUCAUGCUUAUAUAAAAUUUUAAUUAACUAAUUUAUUUCUUACCCGAAAGUCCUUGGUGACAAGAUCAUAAUAUGCGUUUGACGGUGUGAUAUUAUCAAAGUAGAGAAUUGGGGCGGAUGAGGCAACUGCUCCCAAAGCAAUGUGACGAUACUUCAAGCGAAACCAUGCAGCAAGCAUUGUUGAUAACAAACCAACAAACGAGUAACUCUCGAAACCAUAUCACAUCCCAGAUCUGAUAAAAUAGGAUGAAUAGAGAAGAUUAUUUUUAAAUACAUAAUUAUCUUGAACAUAUUUAUUAUUUCUUGAUUUUACGAUCGCCAAGAGUAUUCGUUAGUUGCAAUAUUAAAUAAAUUUGUAUCAUAGUAAUAUUGCUGUAGUCAAUAUCUUGAUCGAUCAAUCGUGAUCUAAAUGAGUAAAAUGAUGUGACAGAUGACACGACAUUAAUCAAAAGAUGUAAGUAAGUUAAUAAUAUUAUAAUUUACUUCCUCCAUAAGAUGCUCCAACAACCAUAAUGGGAGACAUUUCGUCCGAUAAAUUUUUCUGGAUGUGUAAGAGAAUCUUGCAUAAUCAGCCAAAGCUUGAGCAGAGUUGAAAUAUCCACGAAGAGUUGCAUUCUUUAGGGCAUCUUUGCUUGAUACAAAAGGUACUGAUUUUCCAUAGAACCGAUACUGCAUAAAAAAUUGAAUUAAAAAAAAAUCCAUCACAACUUUUCAGUUCAUAUUGUAGAAUAUUCUGAUUAAGAUUUGUCUUUAUUAUUAUUAUUUCGUAUGUGAACUCUAUUUCAAUUAUUAUCAAGCUAGCCUGAUAACAUAUUCUUUACUUACCUCUAUGUAAACUUGUAAGGCUUUAAAUCGAUGAGCAUUAUUAGUAAGCCAUCCAAUGCCACCAAGGUCAUCAUAUCAAGACUACUCUCUUCACCAAGAUAUGCCAGUAUCGGGCGCCGCCAUGGCUCUGCCACCACCCCAAUGCUUGAAGUUCAACGCAUAUCUAUGAGGAAAAGUUAAAUAACUUUGUGGAUUAUAGUUAAAGUGAUCAAGUGUUUGAUAAUAAUAGUAAGUUUCGAGAUCAACAUAGUCACUUUGUGGAUUUUUUUGCUAGGGUUUUGAAAAAUAGUCCUUCCACGAACAGCACCAAGCUUUGGGAUGUUCUUUAAUGGUGAAGUGGUAGCAAAAGCAAAAUUUGUGACGAGAAGAAGAAAAAGGCAUGGAGCCGCCGACCUUUCAUGGCAAAGUUGUAAAUCCUUAAUUAGCAGGAUGAUUAUGUAAAUACAGAAGAAAUAGAGUUAAGAUUAGAUUAUAAAUUCAGCUUCAAAAUCGACGUGUUUGUUAAUAUAUCCUGGAUUUGUUGUUAUCGUAUAAUUUAAUUAAUGUUGGUUUUAGUUUUAUAUUAGUAUGGAUCUUCAUUUUUCAUAAAAUUAUAGUGUGUCGAAUAUAUAGUUAUCGGUUUCGUAAUUAAUAAAAAUUUUUAUUAUUUCUUUCCUAGUAAUUAAUUAUCUUGUGCUUACCAGAAUAUCACUAACCACAACUUCUGCAGAAGCUUCCUCACCUUCGGAUGACAUCAGCGGUGCGUCCAGGAUGUUUGAUCGGAUCAGCUAAAUUAAAAAUUUAUUGUAUAUGUUUGUGUGAAUAUUUACAAAGGAGUGAAAAAAAACUAAUAUAUUGAAUAACGCGACAUCAAGAACUUCGUUCUGAAUGAAAUUUUUAUAUAUAAUUUGCAAAAUAAGCUAAUAAAUAGAAUGACAAUUUACCCUUUUUAACUUGUAGAGACACAACCUUAAAUUCCUUAAUAUGCUGGUUAAUUCAGAUCAUUGAGAUGGAGACAAUUAGACAAACCUUAUUUUAUCAGAGUGAACUGCGAAAGUACUAGCUUUACAAAAGAGACUAAUGACGUAGUGUGAAUGGAAUUAAAAAAUACUAAGGCAGACAAUUCGUCGAACACAUAAUAUUUGCUACAUUGCUACUACCUAAUAAUUUCACAACCAAUUAACAGUCUCCUUUAUUGGAAAAAUCACAUUAAUCAACCAAAUACAUUUCUUGGUUUCUAAGCUCCAAAAUUGAAAUUUCAUGAAAAGGUUUCUGCAUUGGUGUCUUAUUGCGAGCGAUAAAUUCGUUGGACACGAGUUGCAUUGUAGGUCGAGACUUUGGUUGAGAACGCAAGCAUGAAAAUACUACUGUUGAAACAAGAAUGAUAUCCUGCCUAAUCAUUUGAUCCCCCGGAGGCGGGAGGCGUGGGUCCAACAAAUCAAUCAGCUUUAUAUUUUUAUCCAAUGACGAAGAUGACGAUGAGAGGAGCUCUCCUGGAUGCUUUCCCAUUAGUACUUCUAGUGCCACUACUCCGAAGCUAUAAACAUCAGAUUUCUCUGUCACAACCAUGGUGUAGGCACGUUGUAUAGGAAAACGGAAGUCUUUAUUAGUAAUGUUUCCAUAAACAAUAACAAGCACAAUUUGUUCAUGUUUUUUAGCUUCUUUAGCAAGGUAUGACAGAGAAGCAUAUGUUCUAACUGAUAUUCAGUGUAUGUGUGUUUUGAAAGGUAAAGGGAUAGGUAAAGUCUAAAUUCAGUUAUAGCUCCUUAGUUUUUUCAAAAUUCGAACCCAAGUAGCGAGCUAAAUAAAGCUGGUUAAAAACUACUUAGCAGAGUAUAUAUAAAAAUUAAAUAAGAGGAUAACUAAAGAAGCAUAAGAGGAAUAGCUAGAAGAUGACCUGGAGCAAUAUAUCCAUAAGUGCCAGCUAACAGAGUUCGAUUGGAUGAGUCAAAAUUUAACAAUCUAGCAAUACCAAAGUCAGCAACAAAAGCUUCGAAUUCUGAGUUGAGUAGAAUGUUGUUGCUUGAUAUGUCGCGGUGAACAAUUGGUGGUGUGCAGUGAUGAUGCAAGUAUGACAAAGCAUGAGCCAUACCCUUCACAAUGUUCACCCUUUUAGUCCAAUCCAACCCAACAGCUUCCUCAUCUGUGCGUAGAAUACAGAACAAGCUUCCCAUUUCCAUGUACUCAUAGAUCAAGAACAUGCAGUUCUCGUGCAAACAAAAGCCGUAAAGCUUUACAAUAUUUCGAUGCCGUAUUUGGGACAGUAGACGAGCCUCAUUCCGGAAACUCUCGAGGGAAGCUAACUCCUCAGUUUCUGAACGGUGAAGCUUCUUCAAAGCAACCACUUUUCCACUGGGCAGCCGUGCUCUGUAAACGCUGUCGUAGCCUCCGGUUCCAAUGCAGUAUUUGAUAUCGAAAUCCUCAGUGGCUUCAAUCAUGUCUUGAAAUGUAAUUCUACCAUCGUAAUUCCAAAUUGCAAACUCAUCAGCGCACUUGGUAAUUUCUCCUGUCCCAGUUGGUUCAACUUCCUUAUCCCUUCGUCUACGGAUAAUCAAGAUUCCAAAUAUCAAGGCAAGGAAUGCGACCAUAGCAAGAAUAAUUGCAACCAAGCGAGUGGCAAUUGUUUUGUGAUGUGGCGGUGGCGCAUUUGCCAAAGUAGUUGGGAUUUCUCCUCCCAAUUUAUUGCCUGACACAUCUAAGUGUGGCACUUUUCUGACAAAUACAGGGAUUCCACCGGAAAGGUUAUUCAUGGAAAGGUCCACAGUGUCUAUGCGUGGAAAUUCUCCAAGUUGGGAAGGUAUUUUACCAUUAAUGAAGUUACCGCUUAGAUCAAGAUAAUAUAGUUCUUGAAGUUUGCCGAUCUGUGACGGAAUGCUUCCGCUUAACAAGUUGUUUCCCAAUUUUAAUAUCCUCAGCUUUGAGCAAUUCAUGAGUUCUGGAGGAAUUGGGCCAUCAAGUUUAUUGUUGUACAUAUUCAAAGUAGUUAACUGAGUCAAAUGACCCAGAGACGAAGGGAUUGGGCCAACAAGUUUGUUUUGGGACAAGUCUACACUUCUCAACCACUUUAAAUGGCCAAGUGUUGUAGGAAUUGAACCUCCAAUUUCAUUUCUGGACAGGUCAAGAGCUUGAAGAACCUUCAAACUCCCGAUUCCUAAUGGGAUGGAACCAUUCAUUUGGUUUGAGGCAAUAGCCAAAGUAGUUAGCUGGGUUAGAUGACCUACAUUGGAUGGGAUAUUACCGACAAGGGAGUUAAAAGACAAGUUCAAAAUUUUCAAUUUGCUUAGACCACAAAGAGUUGGAGGGAUAUGUCCCAUGAGGUGAUUAUCAGAUAGAUCCAGGUGGACGAGAUUCCUUAAUCGCCUCAUCUCUAAAGGGAUAAUUCCUGUUGUGCAUGUGAUUUAUGAAAAACGAGAUCAGUAUUCACUAUCUUCAUUAAAAAAAAAUUACAUAGAGGGAGAGUCAAGCUCAAGUGCGGACGACUCACACUUCUUUAGUGUUGUAAAAACAGACGCCUGCUUUAAGCAGCAGCGCGAUUUUAUACAUACAUAUAUAUAUAUAUGGUGAAGUUUCACAGCUUACCGGUAAGGCCGUUGUAGGGCAGUUCAAGAGUUUGGAGCAUUGAAAGGGCAGUAAUUUCAGAUGGAAUGCGCCCAGAGAGAACAUAAUUUGUACGAAUUUUGAAAUUUCUGAGGUUCGGAAAGCAAGAGAAUUUGAAACGACCGAGCUCUCCUUUGAUGUUAUCAUUUUCAUACCAGAGUAAGCUGACCCCGAUUACGCUUCCCGCUGAAUUGCAACUGACGCCAGUCCACUUACAAUGAUCGGACGUGUAGUUGCCCGACGUCGCCCAAUUGUUGACCCACCAGCCGGUAGCAAGUAAAGCUUCCCUUUCUAACAGUAUGGGUGACGACAAUAAUCUUGCAGCUGAUGCCGUUACAGAUAUUGUCGUAUCACUUAUAGCACCAACAUUUAUUAAAAUUAAAAUGACCACCAAUCUCGAAACAGUGGAUGCUGCUGCCAUGUUUAUAAUGGUUUUCGGUUGAUUGAGCUGGCUAUUUGAUUCCUUGCAAAGCGUUUAUAUAAGAAUUAAUUGUUUUGCAAGCUCCCGGUGUUAACUUCCAAUACGCGUUUUCAAAUAGUGUGAGUCAAUGUCUUCUCUGGAUGGAUUCAAUCAUGGAGAUAUAACCUUAUCGGCUUGUAUUUGUGAGGUGUAGAUCUAUUUGAACAACUUUGCAGAAACAUGAGAUAAUAUGGACAAUAUUAGAAAUAAUUAAUAGCGCUAUUAAGAUAUUAAAUAUUACCCAAAAUAAUAAAGAAAAAAAAAAGCUCGAAGGAUUGUUGUUGUAAAAUAUGACUCAAAUAGAAAAAUAAACAAGACUAAUCAUAUCUUUGUAUAAAUUUAAGUAUAAAAAAAACUUGUAGGUGUAUUAUUAUAAUAAGCUGUAGAGAAAAGAAUUUGUAGACUUCUGUGAUUUGACAAAAUAAUAAAAUAAUCCCUUUAUUUUUUAAAAUAGUUACAAAACUCCUUUUGCAACAUGCAAACUAUAUGGAAAAUUGGAAAUUCAUGGGCUACCUAAUAUCCCUCUUAUUUUUUUAUUUUUUAUUUUACACCAAAACAUCAUAGACAAAAGAAGAUAAAAAUUUCAUUGCACUCAAUUUUUUUCAUGAAAUCAAACAAGGAAAAGAAGCAAAAAGUGUUGGAAAUAUAGCACAAGUUACUAUUUGAUGCGUGAUUUUGAGUGAGACUUAUCUGUUGUUUCAAAUAUUCCUCCGUAAAUACUUCAGAAUGAUUUUACCUAUAUAAUCAAAAUAACCCUUGGAUAAAUGAGAAAUUGUUACUCAAAGUAAAUUCAUGGAAUUGGAAAAGUAAAGGAAAUUAUAUUUGUCCCACAUGAAAAAGAUAGCAAAGGCAUGAAAGGUUUGUAUAUAAUUACUCAUGUGUGUAUAAGUAAAAUAUAAACCAAGACGCUCUCUCUUCCGUGCCCCAUCCUAAGUACACAAAUUCAAUGUGAUACGAUCCUAUAGUUUCCGUUCAAACCUAUGCACACUUUAAAAAAAGGUUUUUUUUAAUAUAUUUUUUAUGUAUUUUACAUUUUUUUUAAAAUUUAAUAAAUGCCAUAUUAUUUAAAUAUUUAAUUUUAAGGCAUCUUUUUUAAGUUGAGGGCAAGGAACCCCUCCGAUACGUAAUGCCGAAACAUGCUAAUCUAAUCACCUUGACUUUAAAGACUGCUUCCCCUAGUCAGCAAUUAUUUGGAACUUACGUCUUGACAUGUGCUGUGGAAAAUAAAGAAUGAAGUAGACUUAUUGAGUCAAGCUGUUUCUUCAAUCCAGAUAUUUAGUUUAUACGUGUGCAAAUAUUCAAUGCCUAACUUUAUUCUGCACAAAGCCUAAUGUCCUAUUUGGGAUAACGGUUGAAAUACUUAUAAGUUUUGAUAAAAAUGAUGUUUGAUAAAUUUGUUAAAAGUUUAAUUCAUAUUUUCUCCAUUUUGACAAUAACUCUUAAAAUAAGUAUGAGAUUGUCUUUUAUAAGCAACUUAUUAAAUAAAAUGCCAUUUUUUUUAAAGUUUCUAUUAUAACUUUAAUAUUUUAAGAAAAGAAUAAGUGUAUCUUAUUUUUUUAAAAAUCCUAAUAUAUAAGUAAAAGACAAUUUAAACUUAUGUUUAUUUUAAUGAUUAUAUAAUAAAAUAUUAUUUUCGUAAUCAAAUUUACCAAACACUGAGCGAGCUACUUUUAUAAUCAUUAGAUAAUUCCAUUCACAUCGCAGAAGCAGCUUAUUUCAACAGCCACCAAAAUCUUAAACUGAUCCUAAGUCAUGUUCGGAAUUGCAUGGGAUUGUCAAAUAAUUAACAAAAGAAGCUAUUAUGUAGGAGAAUAGGAACAGGUUCACCUGGAGCAAUAUACUCAUAAGCUUGGCUACUAAUAAACGGAGCGUGUAAGGAUAAACACCUAANNNNNNNNNNNNNNNNNNNNNNNNNNNNNNNNNNNNNNNNNNNNNNNNNNNNNNNNNNNNNNNNNNNNNNNNNNNNNNNNNNNNNNNNNNNNNNNNNNNNAUGGUUAAUCCAAUGUGGUUGUGUAUGAAUUGAUAUUCACCGUAUGAUUAUUACAUAAAGAUUGAACCUUUGUACGUGCUUUACAUUAAGUAAAACUGCACACUUGUUCUACACAUUUAGACAACCCAGAUUAAGAAUUAUGAAAAUGAAAUCUACAACUAGCUAGGUGCACUAUUAUUUAUCUUUGCUCCUUAAAUAUUAGAAAGAUAGAGGAGAGGGAGAAAAAGAAAAGACUAAUUUUGUAGUCCAAAUUUAAUCUUAUGCUCUAAUUUUGAAGCAAAUCAGCAGAGUAUUUGAGGAACCAAUCAUGAACCAUGUCCAUUUCAAUCUUUCGCUGCAUUACUAACCAUUCGGGGUCAUCUUCUGUUGCUGGCUGUAUGUCUAAGCAAUGGGAACCUGCUCCAAUUUACACACUAUUAAUUAUGUUAUCCAAUAAUUUAGUUAAUAAUUGAACACUAAUUUUUUAUUUUAUAGAAAACUUUACAUACUGUUUUUUGUUGUCACUGCUAUUAUAUUGUCUGAUAUAUUUUCCAGAACCCUAUAAUCCCAAACAAAGAAAGAAAAAGAAAAAGAAAAAGGUAUAUAAUAAAACGGGUAACUUCGAUAGAAAAGAAUAUCCAAAAUUCUUAAGCUAAAUUACCCAGCGCUGCUACAGGGAUCGCGAUGGCCAUUAGAGAAAAUAAUGUUGCUACCAAAUCUCUUUAAAACCACUCUUAUAUCCUGCAAAUUAAAAAGAAAUAAAAAUCAAACUCAAGAACGAGGUGAAGUUUUUAAUUUAAAAAAGGAAAAAAAAAGAGAAAAUUAAAAGAAUUAAUUUGGGGAUUAAUUGACACUUACAUGACCACCAUAAUAAGUUGUAAUCCAAUGUGGUCUUGGAACCACUCCAAAAGACUUAUUGCAUGAAUCCCUAUAUUCUGUCAGAUAAAAUGGGUCUGCUUGAAACAUUGUUUCGUUUUUGCCAAUUCCAAUUGGUGAGACCAUUUCACUGCAUGUCUACAUGAGAAACCCCCCUAUACUAAUAAUAAUAAUAAUAAUAAUAAGAUAAAAAAGAAAAAUAUUUUUAAUCAUUCAUAAAUAUAUAGUCAUAUAAAUAAAAUUAAGAGAUGUACAUAAAAUAGGUAUUGUUAGGCGAAAGACUAAUUCAUUGCGACAUAUUGUUUAUUUGACGGUCUCAAUAGAACUAUCCAAUGAAAUCAUGUCAUCUGUAAUCGCAUACUUGCCAACCCCAGCUGGAGUCCAAUGUUUCAUCGGAGAAGAAUUCAUCAACAUCAUGGCAAGAAUUCUCCCCUCUUAAAGCAACAAUUCCUGAGAAUAUCCGGCCUAGGGUAUAUGUGCCUUCUGAAUCUCCAUCAAUACCUUCACAAGCUUUGUUCACUGGAUAUUCCUGAGGAUCAUCAUACUGAGCUGCACCUGUAUACAUAAACUCCAAAUAAUCCUUCAAUUCUGAAACAUCCUUCAGAGGCCUGUUACAAAUAAACAAUAACAACAUAAAAUUAAGUGCCUCCAAGAUUAGUGACAUCAUAAAAGAUCCUUCAACAUACCUGUCUAAAAAACUUUGUUAUAUUUAGUCAAAUUACAAUAAACUUUGUAAGUGUGAAGCUAUUGAUAUUCUCAAAUACAAAAUCCAAAUUUGGCCUUAUUUAACAAUCAGAGUUGUACAUAUUGUUUUGCACGUCUGAACCUAAGUACCAAUGUACUAUAUAUGGUAAUGCAUAGGCCGUAUAUGAGGCCAAACCCCAGAUUUUACUAUGUACGUAUAUUACACAUUAACUGAAAUGUAAAUAUACCUUGAGGAUGACAGAUAAUUAAUUGGAUAUAUAUAGACAGUUUUGUAAUGAUACUACAUUAACAUUGCACUGUAAUUGAAGGAAAAUCAGAUGGAUAUAUAUCGGCAGUUAUAAAAGUAAUAUGAUUCAAUUACUUGCAGGUUUUGAACUUUUAAGAGAGAACAGUAAGUCCAUUUUUUUCCAGCAGCGGCUUUAUCGAUUUCAGCCCAGGACUGUUUGAUGGUCUUGUAGCAACUCUCACUAGCUUCCUGCAUCAUUAAUAUUCAAAAUUCAAUAGUUAGAUUUUAACAAGAAAAUAUAAUCAUACAUAUAUAGAAUUUAAUUAAUUAAUAUUAUUUUCUUACCCUAAAAUCCUUGCUGACAAGAUCAUAAUAUGCGUUCGAUGGUGUGAUAUUAUCAAAGUAGAGAAUUGGGGCUGAAGAGGCAACUUCUCCUAAAGCAAUAUGAGGAUACUUCAAGCGAAACCAUGCAGCGAGCACUGAUGAUAACAAUAACAAACCCACACGAGUAACUCUCAAAGAGCAUCUGUUAGUAGGAAUAUAAAAUAAAAUUGUAUCAUAAUAAUUGAGGCGUAAUCCAGAUUUUAGUCAAAUAUUUAAAAUAAGGUGACAGAUGACAUGAUGUCAAUCAAAAGAUGUAAGUAAGUUAAUAAUAUUGUAACUUACUUCCUCCAUAAGAUGCUCCGACAACGAUAAUGGGAGACAUUUCGGCCGAUAAAGUUUUCUUGAUGUGUAAGAGAAUCUCCGCAUAAUCAGCCAAAGGCUUGAGCAGAGUUGAAAUAUCCACGAAGAGUUGCAUUCUGUAGGGCAUCGUUACUUGAUACAAAAGGCACCGAUUUUCCACAGAACUGAUGCUGAACAAAAAAUCAAAUUAGAAAAAAAAUAUAUAUCACAACUUUUUAGUUGAUAUUAUAGAUUAAAUUUAUCUUUAUUAUUAUUGUUUGGCGUUCGAACUCUGUUUCAAUUAUUAUCAAAUUCUUUACUUACCUCUAUGUAAACUUGUAAGCCUUUAAAUCGAUGAGCAUUAUCAGUAACCUGGAUUUGUAUGUGAUUAGGAGGUCAUUGCUUAGAGAUUCCCAUGUCCACUCUUAGUGCCAAAAGACUUGGUCUUGAUGCACAGGUGACAAGUUUGUUGGGGAGUACAUUUGGACUCACUAUCUUCAUUUAAUUCCAAACAUCUUAGCAUUUGGUUAUUUAUGUUGGUCAAAGUUCGCAAGUUCAGUUUGCUUGGUCAACUCAAGUAGACGAGAGAGUUGCGGCUUUAAAAUUUGGCAGUGAGGACAUGUGAGCUUUUUUGAACGAAUGUGAGUCUGAAACCUUUUUUGAACGAAAACACGGAGCAAAUGUGAGCUUCUCGUAGGCUAAGGUUCCAAGAGAGGUUACAUAUGUUUACCAUGAAGUGUCAUAUGAACUUGUACAGAUUGAUUUCUGAUGUUUCUUUUUCCCGGUAAUUUCUUAUUUUAAAUCUUAUUGCUUGUCUUUGUGUAUGUGCGUUGGGCUGGAGGCUCCAUUGAAAUGGUGUUUCCUCAAAUUAUGAAUUAUAACGCUCGUAAGUGUUAAUAUCAUCUCUUCUUCUUGUCCAGCUUAUUAAGAAAGUCUUUCAGAAUCCUUUUCAAACAUAUUCCUUUUUUUUUCUGAUUUUUGGAAGGAAAGAUUUUCCUAGUUCAGUGCUGGAAAUGUUGUUAAUUAACAAGGAUUUUGGUUGUAUUAACUAUUUAAAUGUACUUCUACAUUCCUACCUUUUUUGAGAAUUCACAAUUUAAAAUAAAAUGUGUGCAUUAGUAUUUUGUAAACAAAUUCUUUCAUCUGUACUACAAUAGCAAAUGAUGGAGCUCACUGGGAAUUUUUUUCAUUUUUACCAUUGAUGUGAUAACUAAUAUAAGGCAUAAUGGUUUCUGUAUCAUUUCCAGCCUCAGCCUGAUUCCAAUACUUGUGGAUCAAAGCAGAAAGCUGCCACACCACCUGCAGGUUCUGGAGAGCUUCCUUCAACGAGUUCAAGCAAAACCAAGGAGUGGAGUUGUGCCCUCUGUCAGGUCAAUGCUACUACCGAGAGAGAUCUAGACGUGCAUCUCCAAGGUAAGAAGCACAAGGCCAAGGAAAAAGUACUUAGAGAUUUGAAGAUGUGCAUUAACUCCACUUCAAAAAAAUAUACGGAAAGCAGAGAUAGUGCUGACCAAGAAAUGAAGUCUAAUGUAGAAAAGGAAUCACUUAAAGGUAAUAAAACUGUUGUUGGUUUAGACCAGAAAGUGGAGGAAGGUCAAACCCUGCAGGUUAAGCCCAAUUCCAAUCUUUGUGGAUCAAAUCAGAAAGCUACCGCACCACCUGCAGGUUCUGGAGAGCUUCCUUCGGCGAAUUCUAACAAACCCAAGGAGUGGAGUUGUGCCCUCUGUCGGAUCAGUGCUACUACCAAGAGAGGUCUAGAUGAGCAUCUUCAAGGUAGGAAGCACAAGGCCAAGGUUUCAGGACUACUUAGAGAUAAGAAAAUGUGCAGUAACUCCACUUCAUCCACGUCAGAAAAAUCUACUGAAAGCAGAGAUGGUGUUGGCCAAGAAAUGAACACUAAAGUACAAGAGGAAUCAGUUAAAGCUAAAAAAACUGUUGUUGGCCUAGACCGGAAAGGGGAGGUUGGUGUAGAUGAGCAUCCUCAAGGUAAGAAGCAGAAGGCCAAGGAAGAACUACUUGGAGCUCAGAAGUGGAUAAAAAAAUCUACAGAAAGCAGAGAUAGUGUGAUACAACCUGGCCAAUUGUUGUGAAUCAGAUCGAGCACAAUGAGACAGCAAGGGAAGAGACCCAGCCUGCAGAAAUGGAAGAAGUCCAACCCGUGAAUGAGACACAAGCUAGAGAGCAGCUCAAGACAGGUUCAGCUCGCGCGAGAAAGAAACCAGGAUGGCUCAAAGACUUUGUCAUUUGAGGAAUGUUCGAGAAUGCUUGAGAGAUUAUAAUAACGAAUAUUGUUUUGUUUUCAAUUAUUAUUUUGUUGUUAUCAAUUUUAUUCUAUUUUAGUUAGUUAAGGGUGCGUGGCUGUUUUUGGGAGAGAGAAUAUAUUGUACUGUCAAAGGGACCCGUGAGGGAUAUCAAAAAGGAAUAUAUCAUUUUGUCUUUUUUCAGCUUCGUCUUCUUUCUCUUCUCUGCAAUUCCCCUGUCCCUUUUCUCUUUCUGCAAAUUCUUUUCCCCACAGAUUGGAGCCUGCACUCGCUCAAAGAGUGUCGUAUCAACUGGUGCUUUCAUUUCAUCUCUUCACACACAAAAAAAAAAAAACAAAUGUCUCUCACAGAACCAACGACUGAUUCAGCAGUUCUCUCCACCAUGAAAACGCUCAUUGAAAAUCAAACGCUUGCUGUUCAUCAGACCUUACAACAAUAUAUGUCCACGGUGGAUUCUCGAUUUGAGGAGCUACGUUCCCAAAUCAAUGGUUCUGUCGGAGCGUCAGUGGGUUCUUCCCGCCCAAUGGCACCGGAACCAGCGUCUUCGACUGUACUGUCAGGUGUUUCGGAUAUCUCUCCUCUGUUGCGUUCUAUGAAAAUGGAUGUCCCAAAAUUUGAUGGCACUGAUCCGAAUGGUUGGGAUUUUCGAAUCAAUGAGUUCUUUGAUUUUCACGGCACCCCUGACCAGUUACGCCUUCGUAUUGUAUCUUUUCACAUGGAGGGAAAAGCAGCAGCAUGGUAUCAAUGGAUGAAGGCCAACAACUUGCUGAGCACUUGGCAGAAUUUUUUACUCAAUCUUAAGCAAAGAUUUGGUACAUCCAUGUAUGAAGAUCAUCAAGGUAACCUCUCCAAGCUCUCCCAAACGUCGACUGUUGCUGAUUUUCAGUCUGCCUUUGAGGAUUUGAUGAACAAGGUCACGAGCAUCUCCGAGCCAUUGUUGGUUAGUUUCUUUAUCACGGGCUUAAAACCCGAUAUCAGACGAGAAUUAUUAUUUGCAAGACCCACAUCUCUCAUGGAGGCUUUUGCUUUAGCCAAAGCUUAUGAGGCACGGUCGGAAGAAAUCAAGACCUCUAGCCAUUCUUGGACAAAGUGGACACCCUCAUCUACUCACACCCACCAAUCCACCAUUACUGCCUCCCCACAACCUGCAUCAUAUAAAACCCCAACAACAACUCCUCUUCCUAGUUUUUCAGCCACUAAACAGCCACCUCAACCCCCAUUAUUGCCUACUCCCACCUUGCCCAUUCGUCGAUUAACUCCAGCCGAAUUAAGAGAGAAAAGAGAAAAAGGGCUCUGUUACAACUGCGACCAAAAAUAUAGCGCCACACAUCGCUGUUGUAGCAAGUUUUUGUUAUUAAUGGGUAUGGAUGAUGAAGAUGAUGAGCCAAGUAAGGACGCUUUUAGUCAUGCACAACCAGAUGAAGUAGUCACAGCGGACAUAUCUAGUUUGAAUGCCUUGGCUGGGCAAACUAAUCCACGAUCUUUAAGGGUGCUGGGCACCGUUGCCAGCUAUCAGUUUCAGGUGUUAAUUGACAGUGGCAGUACCCACAAUUUCCUUAAGCCACCAUUGGCUGAACGCCUUGGCCUUUCCGUUCAAGCUAUACCUCCUUUUCGAGUCUACAUUGGCAAUGGCGAUUUUCUUACUUGUCGAUUUCUCUGUCCUAAAGUGCCUAUUAAUAUGCAGGGGCAUGAAUUUCUUUUGGAUUUAUUCCUUUUGCCAAUCGAAGGCCCUGAUGCUGUCCUUGGGAUUCAAUGGUUACAAAGCUUGGGAAGAAUUUCUACGGAUUACUCCGAGAUGACGAUGGAGUUUCAAUGGGAGGGAAAAUCUAUCAUUUUACGGGGAGACCCAAUUCCAAACCCGAAUUUUAUCUCUUUUAACCAGUUUCAUGCCUUGUUAUCUAACUCCAAAAUCGACAGCUUAUUUGAACUUCAUUCUUUACCAACUGAGCCAUCAGCCACUCACACAUCUACCAACACAUUGCCGGAUAAUGACUUCGAAUUUCUGAGGUCGUUGCCUAAACCAAUUACUACUCUCUUAAAAAAAUUUAAGGCAUUAUUUGAUCCACCCACUGGUCUUCCCCCUCAACGGCUAUUUGAUCACAAAAUACACCUCAUUCCCAAUUCCAAACCAGUCAACGUUCGCCCCUAUCGGUAUCCUUAUUUUCAGAAAACCGAAAUGGAGAAAUUGGUGAGAGAAAUGUUAAAUCAAGGCAUCAUAAAACCCAGCCAAAGCCCGUUUUCUUCACCGGUAAUGCUAGUAAAGAAAAAGGAUGGCUCAUACAGAUUCUGUGUGGAUUACCGCGCUGUGAAUGCAGUGACGGUGAAGGACAAAUUUCCCAUCCCCACCAUUGAUGAACUAUUUGACGAACUUGGCGGUGCUAGGAUUUUCAGCAAACUUGAUCUAAGAGCCGGUUAUCACCAGAUAAGAGUUCACAAGAGGGAUACUUAUAAAACAGCGUUUCGCACGCAUGAUGGACACUAUGAGUUUCUUGUUAUGCCGUUCGGUUUGACCAACGCGCCGUCCACUUUUCAAGCAACAAUGAACCAACUAUUCGCUUCCUUUUUACGUAAAUUUGUUAUUGUCUUUUUUGAUGAUAUCUUGGUCUAUAGUGCAUCAUUGGCUGAACAUGUGCAUCAUUUGGAGCAGGUCAUGAGUUGUUUAUACACAUCUCAAUUUUAUGUCAAAUUCUCCAAUUGUUUAUUUUGUCAGGAAUCAAUUGAUUAUUUGGGCCAUAUUGUGUCGACUCGAGGAGUGCAUGCUGAUCCGCAAAAGAUCACAGCCAUGGUAGAUUGGCCCUUGCCUAAAUCGGUGAAGCAACUGAGAGGGUUCUUGGGGCUGACAGGGUACUACCGACGUUUUAUUCAAGGCUAUGCAACCAUCGCAGCUCCUCUCACUGAGUUGCUUUGUAAGGAGGUUUUUCAUUGGAACCUGGCAGCUACUCAAGCUUUUCAAGCAUUAAAGAAGGCUCUUGUGGAAGCCCCUGUACUACACUUGCCGAAUUUUGCCUUGGAGUUUGUCAUUGAGACCGAUGCUUCUAAUGUCGGGAUCGGUGCUAUGCUAAUGCAAGCCGGGCAUCCGCUAUCUUAUUUUAGCAAAAAGUUGGGUCCUCGAAUGCGUGCAUCCUCAACAUAUUUGAAGGAAUUAUAUGCUAUUGUAGCUGCAGUUCAAAAAUGGCGUCAAUACCUCCUUGGCAGAUUUUUCCUUAUACGAACUGACCAUAAAAGCAUAAAGGAAUUGUUUCAACAAGUUAUUCACACCCCAGAGCAGCAAUUUUACAUUCGUAAGUUGAUGGGAUAUCAAUUCAGAAUCGAUUAUAAAGCUGGUACCUUCAAUAAAGCUGCUGAUGCUUUAUCGCGAAUUCAUAGGGACAACGUGACUGAAGAACCCAAACCAACAACUCUUUGUUUGUCGUUUGUAAGCCAACCUUCUAGUGAACUAUUGACAAAUCUGCACAAGGAAAAUUGCUCUCUUCCUGAUAUGAAACAACUCCAUCAGAGGUAUGCAGCCGGUUCACUUUCUUCUGCCUUCUCAGUUCAAGAAGGGUUCCUGCUAUUUCAACAUCGAUAUUACCUCAGCCCCAACUCAUCAUUAAAAGCCGUGCUACUCAAAGAGUUUCACGAGACACCUAUGGCAGGCCAUGCUGGUAUUAAAUAGACAUUGGUACGUCUUUCAUCGACUUUCUUUUGGCCUAAGAUGAGGGAAGAUGUUGAGCAACAUGUAGCUGCUUGCCUUGUUUGCCAGCAAAUUAAAUACUCAACUCAAGCGCCGGCGGGUCUAUUACAACCCUUGCCUGUCCCUUCAUUAGUUUGGGAUGAGUUAACCAUGGAUUUCAUUACAGGGCUGCCACUUUCGAGAGGAUUUGAAGCAAUUCUAGUUGUUGUGGAUCGUUUAUCAAAGUCAGCUCACUUUGGAGCCUUGCCUUCUCAAUUUACUGCCAUCAAAACAGCAGCUUUAUUUGCUGACAUGGUUGUAAAAUUACAUGGAUUUCCUAGCUCUAUAAUUUCAGAUCGUGAUCCUAUAUUCAUGAGCAACUUUUGGCAGAAAUUGUUUGAUUUAAAUGGUACACAGUUACGGCACAGCACGGCUUACCACCCCCAAAGGGAUGGUCAAUCCGAAGUAGUUAAUCGAGGGCUUGAGCAAUAUUUACGAGCCUUCUCACAAGAUAAGCCACAGACAUGGUCUUCAUUUUUAGGCUGGGCUGAAUUUUGCUACAAUACCAGUUAUCACAGCAGCUUGCGAAUGACUCCCUUUCAAGCCCUUUAUGGUCGUUUUCCUCCCACAAUUCCAAGUUACUCAAGGGGCUCUACUUCAAUCCAAGCUUUAGAAGACAUGUUAAUUGAGAGGGAUGCCAUGCUUUGCUCAUUGAAAGAGAACUUACGACAAGCUCAGCAUCGAAUGGCUCAAAAGGCUAAUUUACAUCGCCGAGAAACUCAAUUGCAGGUAGGUGAUAAAGUGUUGGUGCACCUUCAGCCAUAUCGCCAGACAUCAGUUGCUAAGCGCUCAUCUCAUAAGCUGGCAAGGUGCUAUUAUGGACCAUUCACAGUGGUAGAGCGUAUUGGACCCGUUGCUUACAAGUUAGAGUUACCCACAAAUUGUAGAAUUCACCCGGUGUUCCAUAUUUCCUUACUAAAACCUUAUGUGGGAAACUCCCCCAUUGAUGUUUAUUCACUGCCUCCAGGAAGUGUGGAUAACAAGCCCUUGUCAUCACCAAUUGCAGUAUGUGCUGAGCGAAAGAUACUUCGACAAGGCAAAGAAAUUCCACAAAUUUUGGUGCAAUGGUCUGAUAGCUCACCAGAAAAUUCAACUUGGGAGGACUUUGAGGAAUUUCGUAAACUCUACCCUGCACUACACCGUGAGGACAAGGUAAGCUUUCAAGGAAUGGGGAAUGAUACAACCUGGCCAAUUGUUGUGAAUCAGAUCGAGCACAAUGAGACAGCAAGGGAAGAGACCCAGCCUGCAGAAAUGGAAGAAGUCCAACCCGUGAAUGAGACACAAGCUAGAGAGCAGCUCAAGACAGGUUCAGCUCGCGCGAGAAAGAAACCAGGAUGGCUCAAAGACUUUGUCAUUUGAGGAAUGUUCGAGAAUGCUUGAGAGAUUAUAAUAACGAAUAUUGUUUUGUUUUCAAUUAUUAUUUUGUUGUUAUCAAUUUUAUUCUAUUUUAGUUAGUUAAGGGUGCAUGGCUGUUUUUGGGAGAGAGAAUAUAUUGUACUGUCAAAGGGACCCAUGAGGGAUAUCAAAAAAGAAUAUAUCAUUUUGUCUUUUUUCAGCUUCGUCUUCUUUCUCUUCUCUGCAAUUCCCCUGUCCCUUUUCUCUUUCUGCAAAUUCUUUUCCCCACAGAUUGGAGCCUGCACUCGCUUAAAGAGUGUCGUAUCACAGUGCUGGCCAAGAAAUGAAGAAUAAAGCAACAUAGGAAUCAGUUAAAGCUAAUAGAACUGUUGUUGGUUUAGACCAGAAAGAGGAGGGUUGUCAAGCCCAGCAGGUUAAACCAUAUCCCAAUCUUUGUGGAUCAAAACAGGAAGCUUCCACACUACCAGCAGGUUCUGGAGAGCUCAUGUUGACGAGUUCAAAGAAACCCCAUGGAUUGGAGUUGUGCCCUCUGUCAGGUCAGUACUACUAGCAAGAGAGAUCUAGAUGAGCAUCUUCACGGCAAGAAGCACAAGGCCAGGAAGAAGGACUACUUGGAGAUGAGAAGAUGUGCAGUAACUCCACUUCAAAAAACUCUACUGAGCAGAGAUAGUGCUGGCCAGGAAAUUAAGGCUACUCUAGAAGAGGAAUCAGUUAAACCUAAUAAAAAUGUCGUUGAUUUAGACCAGAAAGUGGACUGUGGUCAAGAUGAGCAUCUUAAACGGAGCUAAUUGGAGCUCAGAAGAUGUGCACUACCUCAUCUUCAACAAUGUCAAGGCUGCUCAUUAUUCAAGCAGCUUGGUGAAGCCACGUCAGCAGAAGGUUGUUAGUGAAGAAUAACAGCUCAGCGUGAUUAGUCAAGUGUUAGCGAUCCAGCUCAUAAAAGUUAGUUAGUUAGUUAGUGAGUUACUAAGCAAUUCUCACGUGUAAGGAAUAAUAUAAAUACUUGUACUGAUUUGUAAAAGUUCUUAUGAAUCGAAUCUUAUCCAAUACCAGUAUUGAGAAUUUUCUCUGUGAUUUUCUAUUCAACCAAACAGCACAUCUCUGUUUUCUUUCAAACAACAUCAAAAGAAUCUGGAAAGACAAUUAAGCUUACCGAAAGUAGAGAUAGCUCCAGCCAAGAAAUCAAAGCCUAAACAGAAUCAGUUAAAGCUAUUAAAACUGUUGUGGGUUUUGACCAGAAUGUGGGGGGCGAAGAAGAUUCAGAGAACAAAAAUGAGGAGCUGCCAAAGAAGAAGGCGUUGAAUACAAUCACUCAGAAGACAACAAAUGGAAUACCAACUGGAGGGACGAUGAGGAGAAAACUUCCCCUUAGAGAGAACUUCGAAUUCUGGUGUGAAGUUUUUCAGGUUGGUACUCACUCCGCUGUUGUGAUGGAGGGUCAUAAAAGGGGGAAGAAACACAUGGCUCGGUCUAAUGGAUCCAGGAAAAAUAAUGAGGCUGUCCCCCUCACUACCCCCACUACAAUUGUGACACCAUCAGAGCCUACUGAGAAUGUUGAAGAUGAAGAUGCGGUGGCCCAAGAAUGAAAUGAAGAAACCGCAGAGAGUGUCAUUGAGAAGGCUGAAGAUGAAGAGGUGGUGGUCUAUAGAGGCAGAUAAAGUGAGCCUGAUGCAGCAGACUCCUUAUUAUGCUGAAGGUAAAGCUCUUAACUUUUAUUUUUCUCUUGCGCUCCAUUUUGAAUGUCUUAAAUUUCAAUGAACCAGCAGCGUGUUACUUUAUCAUUUUAAAACUCAGAAAUUACAAUAAUAAAUUUAAGUUCAUUCUUCCAUCUCGUCAUAUAUAGAUUUGAAGGUACUGAAUGAUGAAGCCUGUAAAUUCAAGCAACAAUACUGUAAUGGGGAUCAUGUGUUGUUCUCUACUCUCCAGUCGUUGGUAAAAAGCUCAAAAAAUGAAAACCAGACACUGUUAGAUCAACCAUUUGAAAGUGCUUCAUAUAUGCAUGAUUAUGACAUUGGACUCUUCGGCCCAAUGCAAAUUUUUCUUGAUCAUGACCUGACGUUAGUUUAUCUUGUGCUGGCAGGUAGUUGGUGGGAUAUCACUAACCACAACUUAUGCAGAAGCUUCCUAACAUCAGCCGUGGGUCCAGGAUGUUUGAUCGGAUCGGCUAAAUUAAAAUUUUUUUGUAUAUGUUUGUGUGAAUAUUUACAAAGGAGUGAAAAAACUAAUAUAUAUUAAAUAACGCGACAUUAAGAACCUCGUUCUGAAUAAAGUUUAUGUAUAUAAUUUGUAAAAUAAACUAAUAAUUAAAAUAACAAUUUACCCUUUUAACUCGUACAGAUACAACCGUAAAUUCCUUAUUUAAUUCAGCUCAUUCAGAGGGAGACAAUUAGACAAAACUUAUUUUAUCAGAGUGAACUGCGAAAGUACUAGCUUAACCAGAGAGAUUAAUGUCGUAGUUUGCACAUUUGUUUAAUUGCAAUUCAACAUAUAUAGGAAGUGAACGUGAAAAUAGAAUUAAUAAUACAUUGCAAGUACCUAAUAAUUUCAGAACCAAUUAACAGUCACCUUUAUUGGAAAAAUCCAUUAUGAUUAGAAGCAAUCCCAUCACAUGCAUGAACAGUUAAAUAUACGCAUCCAUAAUUAGAUAUCACAUUAAUCAACCAAAUACAUUUCUUGGUUUCUAAGCUCCAAAAUUGAAAUUUCAUGAAAAGGUUUCUGCAUCAGUGCCUUAUUGCGAGCGAUAAAUUCGUUGGACACGAGUUGCAUUGUAGGUCGAGACUUUGGUUGAGAACGCAAGCAUGAAAAUGCUACUGUUGAAACAAGAAUGACAUCCUGCCUAAUCUUUUGAUCCACCGGAGGUGAGAGGCGGGGGUCCAGCAAAUCAAUUAGCUUAAUAUUUUUAUCCAAUGACCAAGAGGACGAUGAGAGGAUCUCUUCUGGAUGCUUUCCCAUUAGUACUUCUAGUGCCACCACUCCAAAGCUAUAAACAUCAGAUUUCUCCGUCACAACCAUGGUGUAGGCAAGUUCUGUAUGAAAACAGAAGCCUUUAUUAGUGAUGUUUCCUAAAUAAUAACAAGAGCAAUUUGUUUAUAUCUUCGAGCAUCUGCAGCAAGGUAUGACAGAGAACCAUAUGUUUUUAACUGAUAUUUAAAGUGUAUUUUUUUUAAAAUUAAAAAAAAAAAGUGAAACUGGUAGGCAAAGUUUAAAUUCACUUUUCCAGCUCUUUACCUAUUCAAAAAUUUGAACCUAAGUAGCUAAUUAAAUAAAACUGCUUAAAAAUUACUUAACAGAGUGUAUAUAAAAAUUAAUUAAAAGAAUAAUUAAAGAAGCAGAAGAAGAAUAGCUAAAAGAUUACCUGGAGCAAUAUAUCCAUAAGUGCCAGCCAAUAGAGUUCGAUUGGAUGAGUCAAAAUUUAACAAUCUAGCACCGCCAAAGUCAGCAACAAAUGCUUCUAAUUCUGAGUUGAGUAGAACGUUGUUGCUUGAUAUGUCGCGGUGAACAAUUGGUGGUGUGCAGUAUGAUGCAAGUAUGACAAAGCAUGACACAUGCCCUUCACAACGUUCACCCUUUUAGCCCAAUCCAACCCCACAGCUUCCUCAUCUGUGCGCAGAACACAGAACAAGCUUCCCAUUUCCAUGUACUCAUAGAUUAAGAACAUGCAUUUCCUGUGCAAACAAAACCCGUAAAGCUUUACGAUAUUUCGAUGUCGUAUUUGGGACAGUAGACGAGCCUUAUUCCGAAAACUCUCGAGGGAAGUUAACUCCUCAGUUUCUGAACAGUGAAGCUUCUUCAAAGCAACUACUUUUCCACUGGGCAGUCGUGCUCGGUAAACGCUGCCAUAGCCCCCGGUUCCAAUGCAGUAUUUGAUAUGGAAAUCCUCAGUAGCUUCAAUUAUGUCUUGAAAUGUAAUUCUACCAUCGUAAUUCCAAAUUGCAAACUCAUCAGCGCACUUGGUAAUUUCUCCUGUCUCAGCUGGUUCAACUUUCUUAUCCCUUCGUGCACGGAUAAUCAAGAUUCCAAAUAUCAAGGCAAGUAAUGCGACCAUGGCAAGAAUAAUUGGAACCAAGCGAGUGGCAAUCUUUUUGUGAUGUGGUGGUGGCCCAUUUGCCGAAGUACUUGGGAUUUCUCCCUCCAAAUUGUUGCCUAACACAUCUAAGUGUGGCACUUUUCUGACUGAUUUAGGGAUACUACCGGAAAGGUUAUUCAUGGAAAGGUCCACGGUAUCUAUGCUUGGAAUUGCUCCAAGCUCAGAAAGUAUUUUACCAUUAAUGAAGUUAUGGCUCAGAUCAAGAUAAUAUAGUUCUUGAAGUUUUCCGAUCUCUGACGGGAUGCUUCCCCUUAACAAGUUGUUUCCCAAUUCUAAUUCCAUCAGCUUUGAGCAAUUCAUGAGUUCUGGAGGAAUUGGACCAUCAAGUUUGUUGUCGUACAGUUUGACAGCUUCAACACGUUUCAAGUUCCCAAUUUCUAAUGGGAUGGAACCAUUGAUUUGGUUUGAGUACAUAUUCAAAGUAUUUAGCUGAGUCAAAUGACCCACAGACGAAGGGAUUGGACCAACAAGUUUGUUUUCGGACAAGUCUAAAAUUCUUAUCCUGUUUAAAUGACCAAGUGUUGAAGGAAUAGGUCCAGUUAGAUUGUUGUAAUGCAGGGACAGAGACGUCAAGUUUACUAAACUAGCUAUGGUCGAAGGAAUUGGACCUUAAAGUUUGUUGAAGCAUAGGUCAAGAACUUGAAGAAAGUUCAAAUUCCCGAUUUCUAAUGGGAUGGAACCAUUGAUUAGGUUUGAGCGCAUAUUCAAAGUGGUUAGCUGAGUCAAAUGACCCAGAGAUGAAGGGAUUGGACCAACAAGUUUGUUUUGGGACAAGUCUAAGCUUUUCAACCUCUUUAAAUGGCCAAAUGUUGAAGGAAUUGAACCUCUAAUUUCAUUUCCAGACAAGUCAAGAACUUGAAGAAAGUUCAAAUUCCCGAUUUCUAAUGGGAUGGAAACAUUAAUAUGGUUUGAGGCAAUAGCCAAAGUAGUUAGCUGGGUUAGAUGACCUAGAGUGGAGGGGAUAUUACCAACAAGGGAGUUAGAAGACAAGUGCAAAUUUUCCAAUUUGCUUAGACGACCAAGAGUUGGAGGGAUAUAUCCCCAGAGGUAAUUAUCAGAUAGAUCCAGGUGGACAAGAUUCCUCAAUCUCCCCAUCUCUAAAAGGAUAAUUCCU
This 114941-nucleotide long non-coding RNA is filed under the name Citrus x clementina. Its description in RNAcentral is "Citrus clementina (C. clementina) long non-coding RNA (CCLE_LNC003366)". The stretch from base 51410 to 51518 matches the Rfam family "Plant small nucleolar RNA R71". The record is from RNAcentral. Lineage: Eukaryota; Viridiplantae; Streptophyta; Magnoliopsida; Sapindales; Rutaceae.